This 102664-nucleotide long non-coding RNA is filed under the name Malus domestica (apple). RNAcentral's name for it is "long non-coding RNA (MDOM_LNC012264)". The record is from RNAcentral. Lineage: Eukaryota; Viridiplantae; Streptophyta; Magnoliopsida; Rosales; Rosaceae.
AAUAUCGGGAUAUUAUCGAUAUCGAUAAAAAUUGUAUAAAAACCACGAAAAUUGUAAGAAAAACUUUGAAAUUUUUAUGAAAACUUUGGAGAAUGUUUAUUUAGUCAAUUAUCUAUAAGUUUAUCAAAAACAAUUAGAAGGAAAUGCAUUACAUGAUGGAUUUAACUGAUUUAAGUUGAUUGUACAACGAGCUGGCAAACACUGUGAGUGUAGAAAAUAUGUAAUAAUUAAUGAAAAAAAGAUUAAACACACCAUAAUCAUUUAUAUAUAAUGAUUUACUACAAUAUUUUACACUUUAUACAUUGCAUGGUAAGAUACAUGAGUGAUUUAGUACCACAUAAAGUUCCUAUGAGGUUCAAAAUUUUCACUAUCUUCAUCAUCUCUAUGUGUAGAGUAAGUUUAUUGUCAAGAGUAUUCAUCAAAUGAUAAAUCCCCAAAAUAGUUUUGCAUGUAAUUGUUAACAUGCCACUCAUAUAAAUAUAAAUAUUUUAGCAUAUUAUCACUAAAACAUAAGUGAUAUAUGGUGGUUACGAUGUUGGAGGAGUAAAAUGGGAGGGGUUCAAAUCCCUUUUGUUUGUGUUUUUUUUCCUCCCUUUUUCCCUUUUUUUUUUCUUUUUUUUCCUUCCUUUACAUCGAUAUUUUCGAUAUUUUAGCGAUAUUACACCGAUAUUUUGACAAAAUAUUACUGAAGUGUGAGCGAAAUUAUCGACAUCGAUAUUUUCCGAUAUUAUCGUUGAUAUUGUCGAUAUUUGUACGAUAUGUACAUAGAUAUGUUCCGAAAUAUCCGUGAUUCGAAAAAACCGAAAUAUCCUCGAUAUUUCGUCGAUAUUAUCGAUAUUUCAGACUAUGAAGAUACCAUAUCGUCCUACGUCAAUAAUGUGUCAUGUAAAACAGUUGUGUCUUUGUUUCUAUUGGAUUCUAUCUCAUUGUAUCACAUUUUGUUUUGUGAUAUUUGAGAAUCACCGUCAAUACCUUGGUGUAGGUCCGGGAUAAUUCUUUGUUCCACACUCUAGGGUUAUUUACAACUAUCCAAUUAAGAAUACUCAGAUGUACUAGCAAGUGCAUCAAAGAUGCAGUCAUCGAUUUGCCCGAGAGGCCACAAUUACCGCGAGCAAACAUAUUAAUGACGAGGACGGCAUUUUUGCUAUGUUACUAAUACUUGUACUUGCUCUGCUAUUCUGCCCCAUCCUAGCUGAGGAAUAAUUAUGGGGUGUAAAACAAAAAAAUAUGCUGAUUGGGGCCGGGCAUGCUAUACUUAAUUAACUCCCCAUUAACAAUAAAUAAUAAAUAAAUAAAUAAAAAGAAAAAGUAAGGCCAUUCCAUUAACAAAAGACCCACGCCCGAAUUCCAUAGCUUUGGGUCCGUUAUCCCGAUCAUGAUUUUCCUAACCCCAAAGGGAAAGGUCCUUCCCUUUUUGGCCAGUUGUGGGCGAGGAGGGAUUCGAACCCCUGACACCGUGGUUCGUAGCCACGUGCUAUAAUUCUCUGAGCUACAGGCCCCACCCUGUCUCCACUGGAUCUGUUCGCAGGAGUACCCUAAAAAAAGGGAGAGGAAAAAGACAUGGCUUCACAUUAUUAGUGCGGAAUGACACAAUCACUUUACGGGGGUUUUGACCACAUUCAAUUUACUCAAGUCGUUACAAACUUGAACGUAAUCAAGUUGAUUAGAGUAGUGUCUUCCUCCUUUUUGCACUCAAGUUCAAAACCCCCUCACAUGGUUCAGACUCUUGAGAUUUCAAAGAAUUUGCUCAAGGAUUUUGCUUAGUUGUAUGCAAGAAAUUCCUAAAAUAAAAUCAUGAUUUUAAAUCAGAAUUGUCCGGCGAAGUUCACCUACACACCCCUUUAUUUCAUCGUUUCGUAAAUACAUUCUAACAUGCUGUAACGAUUACACAUACAACACGUACGGCAGCUACCCGACAUAUACAAGACAAAACCUUGCAGGAUGGAUGUUACACCCAAUAUUCCGUAAUCUCUGCUAUCUAAUAACAUUUAGUUGCAAAAUCUAAAGAUGUCAUACACUGAUCAGAUUGUAAUGAUAGAACUGCCUACUGCAAAAAAUCUCUCGGGUCGGUGACGUAACCAGUCAAAGCUGACGCAGCAGCCGUAUAGGGGGAAGCGAGAUAUAUCUGGCCUUCCUUGUGACCCAUUCGGCCUGGGAAGUUCCUGUUUAUUGUUGAGACGCAUACCUGCAAAGACAAGAUGGUUAAAAAUCUACCAGUAUUUAUUUUCAAUACAAUUGAAAUUAAAACCAAGAUGUUCUCCUCGCAACAAGGUUAUCUGCAAAUGGGGUUAUGAAACCCCCAAAGGCAGGGAAGUCAGCCCUAAUUCUAUCAAAGACAACGAUAUAGUGAAAUGCAACAAUGCAUGAGGUCCAGCUGCCCCAAGACAUGAGAGCACAUUAGAUCCUUGUGGAUGUAUUGCAGAAAAGGAUGUACUUGGCUGAGGUUCAUUUAAGCGAGCAUACGUGUCUUUCGGACCACCCAGGCAAGCACCGCAACUGGGACUUGCAGGUGUGUCGCAUCCAGCUUCCUCAAAUAUCUGAGAGCAAGUCUUGCCACCAGACCCUGGUACUGGGAGACCAUACACGUCCAUCUAAACCUACAAAUUUAAAAAUAUUCAAAAAACAAGAUUUCAUGUGGAUCGUGUCUUUGAGAAUUUAGGCUGCUUAUAGAAUUCUUGAAUUAAGGGCAUUACUGAAGCAUUGACAUUUCCUGUUUAUAUUUUCUUUCCAUAUUCUUACAAAUUAAAGGUGGAUGAAUGGUCAACACUUAAGAGCACUUCCAUCUGAGUAGUUGACAAAGCUUAUUGAUGAGCAAUGGAAAAGCACAGGCGUCCUCACGGAAGCAGAGGGCUCAUUUAUUGAAGUAAGACUCAUUUAUUCCACAUUUUCAAUUUUCAGUUAAUUUUUUGUUUCUAAGUUCUUAAUUCUUCAAUAUUGCUGUAGAUGACACCUCUCUUUCAAACAAGAUUGUUUGUGGUUUACAAUCUUUUAGAAAAGGUCUGCUGUAUUUGGUUAUAGAGGUUCUUUUCUAUUUAUUUUUUAUUUCGUGGAUUGUAAACACUAGAAAGCUAAGCCUCUGACUACCCUGAGCCACGUUUUUAGAAGGUAAAAAGAGAGGGAUACUUUAUGUUCUAUUUCUUUUGUGUGUUCUUUUAAAAUUUAAGGUUGUGUGAAUAGCAUGUCAAUAAUCAUGCGGAAUCAGGAAGCAUUGCUCAUCUAAUUGUGGAAUUUAGAAUCUAAUCUUGAGGUUGUAAUUAUGACACUUAAAGUGAAACAAAUAUGGUCCAACAUUGAUCCAAAACAUGACUUGCUGGUUUACCACUUUUGUAAUUUGGAUAAUCUUGCGAAGAAUUUCUUUGAGAUUUUUAUAGUGGUUUCUUUUUUUGGUGGGUAAGAGAAUGGAAGAGUAUUUUCUGUGUUACCAACAGUUCAAAAUAGUAACUAAUACUCAUCCAUAUAUUCGCCAGUGAAAUACUUUCCAUUUUUAACUUAUCCUUGGGUAGGAAAUUUUGAUGAAUUUAUGCUUUUUUCCUCCACUUCUCAGUGUUUUCAGGCGAUUGGAGCUGAAUAUGGAGAAGGUUUUGAGAGUUUUGGACAUGUUGGACCUCUCAGGGUUCAUGUGGUGUAAUUUAUGGAGUUAUAUGUAUAGUAGUCAUUGUUUUUUAUGCUCUGUCGAAAUUCAUUUACUGAUUAUGCUAUAUGACUUACUACUGUUAAUUUUUACUGUGGGUAGGAUUUUUUGGAUGACAAACUGCAAUAAGAUUUUCUUAAACGAAUACGAUAUGUCGUGAAACUGGAUGAAGCUUAUGGUCUUAUAUUCUCUUUUGACAAUGUUGUGGUAAGUUUUUAUAACACUCAUUAGUUAUGUGUUUCAGGUUCAGAUGGCUAGAAAUGAAAAUGUAAUGAACUGUGAAACAUUGUAUUUAUGACAUCUUACUAAUCAAGAAAAAGAUUUAAACGUGCAAUUAUUAAAAGAGAUCUAAUUGUAUAACAGUUACUUUUUUCGGCAAGGGUUUUUGAUUUUUCCGACAACUCUAUUUUUUUUUUUUUUUUUUUGAGUUGCAUGUGAUAAUUUAUUUUCAAUGUGAUCCCGUAUCUGUUUAAUUAAUUAUAUUCUUAAAUCAUGUAGGAAGACUAGCAAGUAGCAAUGAUGCUGUUUUCUAAAUAGUUACUCUUCUUAUCGUAGACCAAACCAUUGAGAUAAUAACACUGCAUGUAACAUUCUUUCGAAGCAAUCCAUAUGUCGAUAUUGGUAAGUAUCGUUUCUCUAUUUGUCCCUUAUGAUAUAUUUGUUCACAAUGUGGUAUUUUGACCAACAUUUUGAUAUUAUAAAGGAAUUAGCUUCAUUUUUCACAACUUGAUAUUUCCAAUUUGGUGGAUGUACUUUAUUAAGACAUUUGAACACGGUUGACCAUCUAUGCACAAAUUCAAAUUAUAGUUUCUGUUUUGGGAUUUCUUUAGUCAUGUUAGAAGUUAAAUUGCAAAGACAGAUGAUCAACUGUAUUUAAUAUUUUGUUUGUUUUCUUUGGUUUAGGUUUGAACUAAAAGAAACUAAGAAAGGAAUGAUGCACAGUCACAGUGAUAUAGAACGCUUACAUUGCAGCUUCAGCUAUACAAUUUUUGCCACCCCAAGUGAUCGAUAGGUAUAUAACUUUCUGUUUACACCCUACCAAAGAGUGUUUUCUCCUAUUUUUCAUCCAGCUUUUAUCUAAUAUACAUUUGUCAUUUUUCGAUCUUUGUUAUACAUUUAAGGUAGUGAGACAAAACUAAUCAAAGAGGCAAACGCACAAAAGUGAAUGAGGUGCUAUAAAAUUGCUGAAAAAGGUAACCAUACUAUAUUCUUAUUUUCUUUAUGGUAUAAUUCCAUUGUCAUAUAAAUUCAUGUGUUACAAUAUUUUCUUUCCUUGCCUAGGGUGCUUUCUUAACAAUCAAUAGUACUGGAGAAAAACUUUGAGCGUUGCAGUAAACAACAUUUGUCGUAUUUUGUCAUUCUAGAAACUUCUACAAUUUUUGGUGUCUGUUGCAUAUAGAUUAAAUCUUUCAUAUGUAAAUAGUAUAAAUCUUUCAUGGCAUAGACUUUACAUCUUUGAAACAUAAUCUUUCUUACAAUUUUUAAUCCAAAAGCAACGCGCGGGUAGAGCUUUCUAGUAUAUAUCUAUACGUAUAAUACCACGUAUCCCUAGGUUCUUCGAAUUCAUGCUUUUUGUGUUGAUUAUUUUUCAGUUGUAUUGUUUUUCUGUUUGAUAGCUGAAAAACUGAUACAUUUGAAGCAAUGAAAAGAGAAAACCUAAUAUACAUGCAAUAGAUUAGCUAAUAUGCAUGUUUUUUUAACCAGCCGAGAGGAACUUUGGAUAUUUUACUCCAAAUAAUUGAAAGGGGAUUGAAUAAAUUUGAUGGGUUUUUAUUAUUUCUUAAAUAUAUGUGGUCUGUGAGAAUUCAAGAAUUGUUGUUUUUUUUAUUAGAAGUGUAUUUGGGUUUAGUUCUUAAUCUGUGUUCAGUUCUCCAUUGUCAUUGUUAGGUUAAUUAAGGAUCAAAAUUCUAGUUUUUGAUCACUAGUCCAUUUUUCCUUUCGCUAGAAAAAAAGAGGGCAGUUUCAAAGGUUUCGUGGACUGGAACUUUGCUCUAAAAUCUCUUAAUUAUAUAAUCCUUUAUGGUUGGGAAAAUCCUUGAAUUGAUGCCUUUCUUUAUUGUAUGAUUUCAACCAUAACGAGAUUUCUUCAACAUUAUAUUGUUGUGCUUUGGCCACUAUCUCACCAACUUAUAAACCCACAGUUGAACAAUUUAAAAUACAAGAAAUAAAGACACCAAGAGAAUUACGAGGUUCGGCAAAAACCUGCCUACGUCCUCCGAGAGAUAUUGCUCUUCACUAUGAGAAUAACUAGUACAAGAUACACUUGAGUUAAAUCGACAUAACCCAAACCCCAAUCCCUUGUACCCUCACAGAAUUUUACUAAGAGACUCACUCUCUCCAAGAGUUUCUCACUCUCACUCUAUAUUUUUCUACCACUUGUGUUCUCCUCUGGAUGUUCCCACACUUCUCUUCCCCUCUCACUCGGCAAGCCCUACUUAACAUGCAACCCCUUUCUUUCUUUACAUUAAAUUACAAAGAAAGCAAGCACACUUGCAUAAAGAAAACCAAAGUUUACGGGGUCAUGUUUCCAAAGUCCAAAAGCAAGCCUACUCUUGCUUUGUCCUUUGUAGCAACUUUAAAUGAUGACUACAAACACAAUCAUGAUUGUCUUCCACAAAACAUGCUCCUUGCUUUGACUUUUAAUCAAGCCCCAAAGCCACUCACGGGUUACCUUAUUGUUGCUAGCUCAAAAUAUGAGCCAAUCACAACAUAUAUAAUCCUUUAUGGUUGGGAAAAUUCUUGUUUCUCUUGCUUGAGGAAACUGAUUCUCUUUUUGUAUGUAUCAACUUUUGGAGAUUCUUUCCGACUGUUGUUGAUGUGGUGCAUUGAUUUUUGGUUUCUGCAAAUGAUCAUUCAUAGGUCAUUCGCAUUAUUCUAUUCAUUUGUUAAGAGUUUCGAUUGAAUAUUUUCCCCUAGUUUUGUUUGUUGUAUUGAAUUUGGUUAUUAUGAUUAGCAUUUUUUCAUGAAUUUGAUUAUUAUGAUUAAUUAGACUAGAGCUUACUAUAUUUGUUUGGUUAAUUAAGGUACUUUGUUGUUUUAUUAACGCAUUGCAUAUUAUAUGAUUCGGAUGGUUUUUGUUAAGUAUGUCUUGAAUUGAUUUUUUUGUUACUGCUACUGUUUCCAUCACUAGUAAUUAGAAAUGGGAGAUGAACAACAAGAAAUUGGAAAAGUGAAGGCCAAAAGUGAUUAUAGCGCUUGGACUUUGGAAGAGUGCAAAGUGUUGUUACAAUUGCUCGUUGAAGCUACAUUGCGUGGAUGGCGUGAUGCUAAUGGCUUGCUAACCAAAGAUAUUGUGACGACAAGAAUACUUCCGGCACUUAAUGAAAGACUAAAGUGUAAUAAAACUUAUAAGCAUUACACAAGUCGAAUGAGAUAUUUUAAGAAAGAAUAUGGAAAGUAUAGUCAACUUAUGGGAAGCAACUUUGGCUUUGGGUGGGAUGCCAACACAAAGAGAUUUGUUGCUGAUGAUGAAGUUUGGGAAGAAUACUUUUGGGUGAGCUUCUUGGCUUUUAUUUAAAAUAUUAUAUGUAACUUGAAUGUAUACUUAUAAUUUAUUGAACAAUUGUGAUUUUCUUGUUUAUUUUGUAGGCCCACCCAGACCAAAGAAGCAUUUGCAAAAAAUCUUGUGAUGACUUUGAAGAUUUGCAAAUCGUACUUGGAGAUGCAACUGCCACUGGAAAACACUCAUUGGGAUUGGGUGAGGAAACUGAUGCAAGAACUUUUGUAGUGGAAGAUAGACAAGGUGGAACAGAGGAAGAUGAACAAGUUGGAUAGAGAACUUGUUUUACGAUGAGGAAAAUGGGGGCUUUGUACUAAAUCAAAACCAAGCAUCACACCAAACUUCAUCAUUCGAUCAAUCAUCCCCAUUCUUACCCACUCAAGCCACUAGCUCAAAGAUUCCCUCAGAAAUCACCAACCGUAGGAAACGAAACAGAACCCAAUAGCAAGGGAAUACUAGAUCAUUUGAGACCACUAAUCAAGCUAGAAUUAUGGAAAAUAUUUCACUUACUCUCGGUUCAAUUGCCACUGACUUCCGAGGAGUCCAUAGUCUGUUGGAGAAAAGGGAUAAGGAUAGAGAGAGACAAAAUUCUAUAUGGGAUGCCAUCAAGGAAACCCCAAAUUUGGAUGAACCUACUCGCUAUCAAGCGGUCGCUUUGCUCGAUACUAAAACAAAAAAAGAUGCAUUUAUGAAGAUGUCACCGGAAGAGCGGUCAAAUUGGAUACGCUAUAAUUUGAAAUGAUAUGACUCAUGAUACAUUAGUUUUUUUUGUUCGUUUUAUUUUGGAUUAUGUUUAAUUGGCUUAUUCAUACUUGUUAACUGAAUUAUGUUGGAUUAUGUUUAAUGAAUGAUGUGUUUAGUUUAAUUAAUGAUAUUAUGUGAGAAUGUAGGAUUUAGCUCUGUUGAAUUUGGAUAAUGUACUAUUGCUAUUAGACUAUGUAGGAAAUUGAAUGUGGGAAUGUAGGAUUUGGCUCUAUUGAAUUUUUGUUGUGGUUAACCGAAAAGGCUGCUUGGCUUCCCCCAAUUGAGGAAAUCUGAACUCUACUUGAUCAUAGUGUUCGUGGAACACUCUCCACUUUUUCUCAGGUUUCUAUAUCAGUGUUUUUUGUUCUUUUUCUGAAAUUAAUUUGUGUUUCAUUGUUAUUUGAUUCUAGAUUAGUGCGCGACCUUCUUACACUUUGUAAGUAGUAGACUCGUCAAUUAGUAUUUCUUGGUCUAUUGUGGAGAUUAUGAUAAUGAACCACCAGAUAUCAAUCUUAUUUAAGGGUAAAAUCCUAAGAGUAAAAUCCUAAGAAAUCUUUGAAAGAAGUCCAAAUCUUAAGAAAUCCAUGAAAGAAAUCCAUACAAAUCCAUAGAAAUCUAUAUUAGAAAUCCAUAUAAAUCUGACAAAAUCCAUAUAAAAUUGAGAAUAUUUUAAAAUCCUUUGAAAUCUGUCACUUAAAAAAAGUCUAUUAAAAUCCCGUGAAAUCCAAAUUGAUUUUUUUGGUGGAACCAAGGUACAUAGCUUCAACAGGAAGUAGCACUUGUCAGAUUUCAACAGAGAAGAGCUCUCAUCACCUUUUGGUUAAGGGAGCUUAUUCCGAUGGUGAUUCAAGAAGAAACCCAACGUUCUUAAAAUUGAAUUUCCUUGGGAGAUAUGGAGAAUUUGACAUCUUUUUCCAGAUGAUUUUGGAUUUUAUCAGGCUAUACUCGAGGGGCCUAAGUAGAAGGAAUUUAAAUCUCCCAAUCUCACACUCCUAGGAGGUGUUUGUGAACAGGAAGAAGAAAAGGAGAUUGAUGAUGAUGACGAUACAAUAUGCCCAUCAGGCGAGUUGAUUGAGGGGAAAUUAUCUGAACAAAGAGAGAGGUUGGAAGGGUUCAGUUUUUUUAGUGUGGAGGAACUAAGGGAGUUGAAGGAGAUAACCUCGAACAACAGUUUUGUGGACAAGUCCAGAUUGACAGAGGAUUUUGGUUUUGAUUCUUCGUGUCCGUUCGAGUUUGGUGAAGAAGAGGAGCUUGGUGAUUCUACGCAAGAUGAAAAAGAAAUCUUUGAUGUUAUUGAACGCUUUGACGGCGUGCUCGAGAAUCUCUUCACCGAUACAACCGUGGAAAUAAGAUCGACACUGGAUGAGGUAGUUUCUCAGUAGUAUUAUAAAGGAGUUUCAGACGCUGUGGAACAAGUUGAAAUCAAGGAUACUGAAAAGAACAAGAAUUUGUUAAAAGUAUAGCAGGAGGAAAAGGUUGGGAUCCAUAUCGGUCAAAUGUGAGGCAAAUAGUCGAGCUACCAAUUUCAUGUCAAAUCUGAAAGUUUCUUUGGUUCCACUGAAAAGGUCUUUAUUUCAUGGAAAAAAUACUAGGAAAGUCAAUUUUAGCAAGUAUGUGGGUGGAAAGAAGGGAGAUAAAAAAGUUAAGAGGGGCAUUGUCAAACUUUGUGAAGAUAAUUAGUUGGAACGUUAGAGGUCUGGGAAGUAGGCAGAAGAAGGUAUCUUUGAAAGAGCAGUUUCGUCGCUUAAAGCCCGACAUCGUAAUUUUACAAGAAACAAAGAAAGCAUUAAUAGACAGGAGGCUAGUGGCAAGUGUUUGGGGAAGUAGAUUUAAAGAGUGGCCGGUUUUCGCCCCUGCACAAGGAAGAUCUGGGGGUAUAGUAGUGAUAUGGAACAUAAAACAAAUCUCAGUUUUUGAAUCUUUGGUUGGAGUAUUCUCAGAUUCAAGUCCCUGUUUAGCAGCAAUGAAGAGGAGUGUUGGGGUUUGGAAGGCAUUAACUGGUGCUCAAUAAGGUACCGUUUGGUACGUGGGAUGAGACGGAACAGAGUGGGACGAGACGUUCCGUCCCACGUUUGGUACGCCUAAAACGGGUGGAACGUGUUGUUCCACGGGACGAGUUUUGGGUGAAUUUUCGUUCCACCUCAUCCCCUGGAAUGACUCGUUCCACAUUCGUGGAACACAAAAUUAUAACCUCUUCGUCUCCUUCUUCUUCCUCCUUGUUUUCAUCCGAGGGCAUCUUACUCCCUCUCCGUUCCAUUCCGUCCAGUCCCAUCUGCAUACCAAACGAUACCUAAAUGAAUAUGAGGCAGCUUGGCUUGAGAGGCCUUUUGAGAAAUAGGAAGUUCAAAGUCAGUUUUUGAUUGUGGAAGGGAUAAGUCGCCAGUUCCAGAUGGGUUCUCUUUGCUAAUGUUUCAAAAUUGCUAGGAUAUCUUGAAAGUGGAUAUUUUGAAGGUGAUGGAGUUCUUUGAGAAAGGGAUAAUAAAUGUGGUGACAAAUGAAACAUUCAUCUGUCUUAUUCUGAAAAAGUCAGAUUCUUUGAAAGUGACGAACUACCGGCCUAUAAGCCUAGUUACUAGUUUAUACAAAAUUGUGGCGAAAGUGCUUGCAUCAAGACUAAGGGAGGUUAUUGAUGAGUCAAUUUCAUAUUAUAUAUUUUACCCUAUUCUUAGUAUGUUUUGGUAAUUAUUUUGGUAGAAUUUUGAUACUUUGAUUUAUAUUUUCAAUAUAGGAUGUUCGACUUCCUCUAGAGCAAAACGUGGUCAAACAGACGAAUUUUGGAGGGAUUCAAAUUGAAGGACGUUCAUGUGUCUCUUGGCGUGUUCGUGUAAAAAUUUGAGAUUUUUCUACCAAAGCGGUUAUUUUCUGGAGACGAAAUAAAGUAGCAGUGUGCAGUGCUGGAAAAUGAAGUUUCUGGGCUUGAAUUGCGUUUUUGGAGCCCAAGAUGACCUCUGAUGGGUUCGUAGCCUUCUAGAAAAGUGUUCAGAAUAUUCCAAACCUUAGAUCCAGCUAUAUUAGACCGGAUUUGGAGCAGUUUAAGGGUCCAAAACGUGGCUGUUCAGAUUUUAGGCGAAUAUUACUAUUUAAUUUAGGGAUAUGUUUCCUAUUUUAUUUUAGUAUUUAGUUUCCUAGUUGGAUUGGAAGACAUUUUAUUAGGAGGAUUUAAUUUCUGCUAGGUUACAUAAGCUUUCCCGCUUUAUUCUGGUAACUUCUUCGUGCGUUCUUGAAGAGAGGAAAUUGGCCAAGCGUAGAGAUUUUUAGACUUUUUCCAUUCUAGGUGUUUUCGAUCUUUUAUUUUUUCAAUAAAGAACUUUAUGAUUUUUAUUAUGAAUAUGCGUAACGAAUUCUCUUUUCGCUAGGGUGAGGUCACAAGCAUUAGUAAGAAUAUGUAGUUUCUCUUCAAUUUGCUUAUGAUUAUAUGCAUGUCGGUUUUCGAAUUAUUAAUAACUGAUUUAAACAAUCUAAUUAUCUUGACGCUUGAUCACCAUUAUGACGUUUAGAAAAGUAAUUUGAUGCAAUUUUGGUCAGAGGUUGGUCCCUGAAAUUGACGAAGGCUUCUUGUGAUUAAUAUGUGCAAGUUCACUUAGGAUGAAUACCACGUCUUGAGGGUUGCAUGGUUUUUCAAAAGGUUUCAUAGAAUUUAAUGAGUCAUGCAUGUUUAGAUUUUAUUUGAAUCCCACAAACAGAUUGCAUGUUUGAUAUACGCUCUAUGUUGGGGGUCCAAGUAGGCGUAUAUUAGGAAAACCUAACCUUCGAAAUAUGCAUGUAUAAGUCAUAAGUAAUUAAGAGAACUAAAUAGGAUUGUUAAGGUGACAGUGGAUCCCUAGUGUUUUCUUAAUUUGAUUUCUACCAAAUUGUUUCCUUUUUCUUCAUCUUUAAUAUUGCAGAUUAGUUUAUUUUUAUUAGUUAAAUUCGUUUUAUUAAAUUAGGUCAUAAAAAUCAAUCAUCUCAAAUUUCUGUUUUACAAUAAUCAAUUGGAAUUUGGUUUGCUUAGAAUGAUUUAAUAAUUCCUGUGGAGAACGACCUUAUGAGAUCCGUUUAUACUACAAUAACCUUGUUAUUCCUGCAAGUAUUAUAUGAGUUUUUAACCCUUUUGCAUGUGUGGUAAAAUCUCUAUCAGUUAUGGGUAGCACAAUCUUUCUAUAUCAAGGAGCUUUUGUUAAAGGUAGACAAAUUUUGGAUGUGGUCCUCAUUGCAAAUGAGGUUGUAGAAGAGGUAAGGCAGAAGAAAAAGGAGGGAUUGGUGUUCAAGAUUAAUUUUGAAAAGGCUUAUGAUCAUGUGGAGUGGAGAUUUUUGGAUGAAGUCUUACAAAGAAAAGGUUUUGGCAAUUAAUGGAGGAAAUGGAUGCAGGGUUGUCUAAGUUCCGCAAAUUUCUCAGUUUUGAUCAAUGGGAGGCCUAGAGGAAAAUUUAAAGCUUCAAGAGGUUUGAGACAAGGUGAUCCAUUGUCACCUUUUCUUUUCACCUUUUUAGUUGAUGUCUUGAGUACAUUAUUGGAGAAGGCACAAAAGAAUCAUCUGAUCAAAGGUUUGUGCAUUGGGCAAGAAAAGGUGGAGAUUUCGCAUCUUCAAUUUGCUAAUGACACCAUUUUUUUCUUGGCAGGGGCUGAGGAAGUUUGGAACAAUUUUUAGAGUUGCUCAACUUAUUUUGUACUAUUUCAGGUUUGAAAAUUAACAAAGCAAAGUGCUCUUUGGCUGGAAUAAACUCAGAUUGUGAGAAAAUUAAAAGGAUGGCAGAUUCUUGGGGUUGUGAGGUGGGUAGUUGGCGAAUAAAGUAUUUGGGUCUCCCUCUUGGGGGAAGGCCAAGAGCACUUACGUUUUGGGAUCCAGUUGUAGAAAAGAUCGAACAAAGACUUCAAAGUUGGAAGAAGGCUUUCUUAUCUAGAGGUAGUAGAUUAAGUUUGAUUCAAUCUGUUUUGGGAAGCUUGCCAAUUUAUUACAUGUCUUUGUUCAAAAUUCCUUGCGGGGUGAUUGGAUGGCUGGAAAAACUAUUGAAAGGGUUUUUUUGGGAAGGGGUAGAGGAAGGAAAGAAAAACCAUUUGCUGAAAUGGGAGGUAGUUAUUAAAAGUAAGGAGGAAGGGGGUUUAGGUGUGGGGAAUUUGAGGAAACGGAAUGAAGCGUUACUGGCUAAGUGGUUGUGGAGAUUCCCAAAGGAAUCAAAUGCUCUUUGGCACAAGGUGAUAAGAAGUACGGGUUGCAGGAAAAUGGGUGGGAUGCAAAUCCUUCGUUGUGUGUUUCAAGUCGUAGCCCUUGGAAAGAUAUUUCGUCUGGUCUUCAAUUGUUCCUAGAGUGCUGUAAGUUUGAGGUGGGCAACGGGGAUAGGGUGAGGUUUUGGGGGGAUGAUUGGUUGGAAGGUGGAUCAUUGAAAGAGCAAUAUCCUAGAUUAUUCUUGUUAUCGAGAAUGCACAACCAGAGCAUUUCAAGUUUUGUGGAUUUUUCUCUUCAUUCUUUGAGCUGGACUUUUGAUUUCAGAAGAAAUUUGAAUGAGUUGGAGAUAGAAGAGGCGGCUAGGUUAUUACAGAAGGUGGAAAAUCUUUGUUUGAUUCGAUCAAGAGCGGAUAAUAGAAGGUGGAAACUAGACUUAUUAGGAUUGUUCACUUGCAAAUCCUAUAGCUCUUUCUUGAGCAACAAUGCAACUGUGCAACAUUUUCCACCAUUUUCUCAUAUUUGGAAAUCAAAAGCUCCUCCGAAGGUCAAAGUUCUUGUGUGGUUAAUGGCUACUGGGAAGGUCAACACUUGUGAUCAAGUUCAAAGGCGAAGGCCUUUUAUUUGUAUUUCUCCCCAUUGGUGCAGUUUGUGUAAAUUUGAGGAGGAUAAUGUUAAUCGUAUUUUUCUCCAUUGCUCUUACUCAAUACAGUUGUGGUGGAAAUUGGUUCAGGAAGUUAGAGUUAGUUGGGUCAUUCCGAAGGGUUGUUUCGAGAUUCUAAGCACCAAUUUUGAGGCUUUAGGAAAGGGGAGGAAAGCUAAAGCUUUGUGGGGUUGUUUGGUGUUGGCAGUUUUUUGGAACAUUUGGUUGGAGUACCGUUUGGUACUCAGAUGGGAGGGAACAGGACGAGACAGGACGGGACCGAACAGAUGAUGUAAAUAUUGAAAAAGAUAAGGAGAAAUUUUGUCAUAAAAUGUUAUAAAUUUGUGUUCCACGGAUGUGGAACGGGUCGUUCCAGGGGGAAGAGGUGGAACGAAAAAUCAACCAAAUUUUGUCCCAUGGGACAACCCGUUCCAUAGUUUUUAGGCACACCAAACGUGGGACGGAACGGCUCGUCCCGUUCCGUUCCGUCCCGUCCCACGUACCAAACGGUACCUAAAAGAAGAGUUUUUGAGGAUUAUAAUGGAGUGGGGGUAGCAAAACUAUGGGGUAGAGUAAGAUACUGAGCAGCCCUGUGGGCAUCAGCUUCGAAUGAGUUAAAGGAUUAUUCUCUUUCUCAUAUAGUGUGGGAUAUGUUAGUAGCCGUAAAAUGAUUAUGGUUGAGGUUAUGUUACUUGUAAUCAGAUUUGUUUGAGAGGUCUUAGCUAGCUUUGCUACAUGGGUGGAUUUCUUAUCCACUAUUUUAUAAUUCUUGGGUUUUUUUUUUUUUUUUUUUGAAGUGUUAUCGUUUAUUCUCAAAAAAAAAAAAAAAGAAAAAAAAAAGUAGUAUAAAUUACCUUGCUUUAGCAUCACUGUAAACAGGUUCAUAGGGAACAGACGUCUUAUCCUGCAAUUCAACAUAAAACAUUAUAUAGCUUGUGCUAGACAACACAAAUGUAUGUAACAGUCAAAAUGAACAAUUUUGUGACAGCCACCCACAAAAAAACGUAACUGUAACAAGAAAAUGUAGUGCUCCCAAGCCCAUUUAAAGGAGGAGUGGAAAGAGAGGGAGAGAGGUUGCCAUCGCAGCGUUUGCAGAUUUGUAGCACUAACCUCAAGGUACUUAAAUGUAGUGCUAUCAGCAGGAACAACACCAUUUUGACCCUCAGCCUCAACAACCAUGUUGCAUAAUGUCAUCCUUUCUUCCAUCUGUCCAGCACAGGUUUGUGAAAGAGUAAUUAACAGAUAAAACCAGAUGAAUGGUAUGAUCAUACAUGCGGUAACAACCAUUAUAUUCACUCACAGAUAAGCUUUCAACAGUGCUGCCAACAAACUCCAUAGCGUUAUAUGUUCCACCAGAAACAGAUAUUUCAACAAUAAUCUGCCAUAUGAAAUUCAUUUAUCAAGGAAACAACAAGGCUGGAUGUGUUACAUAUCAAGCAAAUAAAAUCAUAUGUCUCACUCUUAGAAUUUUAACUUCUUCUUAAGCUAUGCAGACUGAAUGAAAAAUAAAAAAAAAAUGCCUUGAGACCUGGUUAAACUUACUUGCAGAAUCAAAUCUUUGGCAAGCAAAUAGUCGGGUAUUUCACCAUCCAUCACAAAUCUCAAUGUUGGAGGCACCUGCAAAUUUAGAAGGAAAUCAGAAAAGUAUGAAAAUACAAUAAAAUUCACAGAAAUUACUGCAAACAACAAUAACAUUAAAGUAUGAGAUAUAUGUAAUACAGCAGAAAUUGUGAAUCUACAGAUACAACUACCUCAAUCACUCAUAGUCAUAGCUCAUACAGGAAAGAGAAACACAUUUAACUUAUCAAAAGCAUAAUUCCCCCUUUUCGGUUCUCUAUAUGGUUUACUUUCUGUUUUCUAAAUUUUUAACAAUGUCCAUAUUCCUUGGUGUAUGCUUUUCGCAGACGAUAUAGUGUUGAUAGAUGAAACUCAGGAAGGGGUAAAUGCGAAGCUUAACCUUUGGAGAGAAGUGUUGGAAUCUAAAGGUCUUUGCCUAAGCCGAUCAAAGACAGAAUAUAUGGAGUGCAAGUUCAGUGCAAAUGGAGGCCAAAAUAAAUUAGGGGUGAGGAUCGGAGAUCAGGAAAUACCAAAGAGCGAUCGUUUUCGCUACUUAGGAUCUAUCUUGCAAAAGAACGGAGAAUUAGAUGGAGAUCUCAACCAUAGAAUACAAGCUGGAUGGAUGAAGUGGAAGAGUACAUCCAGCGUGUUGUGUGACCGCCGUAUGCCACUGAAGCUCAAGGGAAAUUUUUAUAGGACUGCAAUAAGGCCGGCGAUGCUGUAUGGCACAGAAUGUUGGGCGGUGAAGCAUCAACACGUACACAAAAUGGGUGUAGCGGAGAUGAGGAUGCUUCGUUGGAUGUGUGGGCACACGAGAAAUGAUAAGAUUAGGAAUGAGGAUAUCUGAGGUAAAGUAGGAGUAGCUGAAAUUGUAGGAAAAUUGAGAGAAAAUCGGUUACGGUGGUUUGGACAUGUGCAAAGAAGGCCUACUGACGCUUCGGUUAGAAGAUGCGACUACGAGACAGAGGUUCAGGGCCGAAGGGGUAGAGGAAGACCUAGGAAAACUUUGGAAGAGACUCUAAGAAAAGACUUAGAGUAUUUGGAUCUAACGGAGGACAUGACACAGGACCGAGCACAAUGGCGUUCUAAGAUUCAUAUAGCUGACCCCACUCAGUGAAGAAGGCUUUGGGGUAUUUAACACAAUACGUUGAAAUGAAGCAAAGCUUAUUUAUUGAUAUCUCCGAUAAGUUACAAAUAUGUACAUAUACAUGAGUCAAAAUAAACAAACAAGAGGGAGCCUUCACAAAGGUUGCUUAGGAGAAGUCUCAGCAGUCGGUAGAGCCUCAGAAAGAGAAGACACCGGAGGGGGAUCAUUCGGAGCCUUAGUACUGGACAAAACCCUAGAAGGAGGAGGCAUCGGAGGUUGAUCAUUUUGAGCUUCAUUACGCGGUACAGCCCCAGAAGACGAAGACAAUAAAUGCCUUUGGAACAAACCCACAAACCGCUGAUGAUCAAGUAAAACCUGACCAUUAGAUUCCUUCAUCUGGUCAAGCUUCCUCUUCAUGUUUGUAGCAUAGUCAUGUGCGAGCCGGUGUAAUUGUUUAUUCUCAUGCUUGAGCCCUCUAAUCUCUUGUUUGAGACUCAUCACUUCAGCCGCCAAUGAUUCAACUUGGCGGGUUCGAGCAAAUAGGCGUUGGGCCAUAUUAGACAUAGAACCUGCACACUUAACACUUAGAGCUAGAGAAUCCUUAACAGCCAACUCAUCAGACCGUUUGGAAAGUAGUCUGUUAUCUUUGGGAGUGAGAAGGUUCUUGGCCACUAUUGCAGCAGUCAUAUCAUUCUUCAUCAUGGAAUCCCCAACUAUAAGAGGACCAGUAGGGGAUAAGAAGGAUGGGCGCCAUAUGUUGUCUGGAGAAGACGUGGCUGCCUCUUGAACAAGGUUCAAGUCAAAACGAUGGUCGGAGGGGCCAGACAUUUUCAAAGGUGUUGAAAAGAGAAGAGGUCGGAUAAAUCAAGAUCUUAGAAGUGCAAGAAGGGAGCUUCUAUUGGUGAAGAUUCAAGUGUGCUUUGGAACUUAAUGCCAGCCUCUAUAAAAAUCUGCACUCGACAGAGCUUCAGAAAUCGAAGAGGCGUCUGCCCAGAAAUCGAAGAGGCGUUUGCUUUCUCAAAAGCUGGGCUGCUCAGAGACCACAAGGGUCGAUCUCAGAAAUCAAAGAGGCGUUUGCUUUCUCAAAAACUGGGCUGCUCAAAGACCACGAAGGCCGAUCUCAGAAAUCGAAGAGGUGCUUGCUUUCUCAAAAGCUAGGCUGCUCAGAGACCACGAGGGCCGAUCUCAGAAAUCGAAGAUGCACUUGCUUUUUUCAGCCUUGUCAGCACCUGUCACAUGUACACUCAGCUUUGCUGAAAUUACGGGCAUUCUGUUGAAGAUUUCUGGUGAAGUAGAAAACACGUGAAUCUUACUAUUCAAUCAUCCACUUUCCACACGCACCAUCAGCUCAUGGGUACCACAUAUAACUUUGCCAAAGAUCUCUGACAAAGUUUAGACACGUGAAGCUUGCAGCUCUCACUACAUCGCUAUGACCAAGAAGGGUAAAAGAAUAGCAAAGAAACAGCACUAACAAAGUUUAGACACAUAACUUUUAAAGGUCUAGCUACCAUAUUAUUACCCACAAGGGUAAAGGAACAGCACCACUGCUGGAUAAUUGGAAAGUCCCUGUGUGUCAACCUCUGUGCUCCGUGGCAAGGUAGACUAGCAAACAUGCCCAACCUUUACUCAUAUUCGAGAAAACACUCCCAACAAGAUUGCUUGCUCCAAAAUCCAAGAGGCACCGUCCUCCGAAUCUCGAGAGUCAGAUUCCCAACAUGAUUAGUCUCUCAAAAAUCGAAGAGACACCGCUAUCCGAAUCUCGAGAGCCAGACUCCCAGCAGGAUUGCUCUCUCAAAAAUCGAAGAGGCACCGUUCUCCGAAUCUUGAGAGCCAGAUCCUCGACAGAAUUGCUUGUUCGAAAACCGAAGAGGCACCGCGUUCUCAACUUCGAGAGCCAGAUCUCCUUGGAUAAAGCUUGUUUGUAAUCUUCACACGCAACAUCAGCUUUCCAGAUACCACAGACCACUUUUUCAAAAUGCUCUGACACACGUGAAGCUGGCAGCUACCACUAUCGUGCUAUGACCAAGCAGGGUAAAGGAAUAGCAUUACUACUUGUUGUUAGGGAAACUCCUAUGUAUGUCGACCUCUAUCCUCAAUGGACAGGCAGACCUGCAAAAAUGCUCAACCCUUCCUCAUAUCUGAGAGGGCACUCCCAACGAAGCCUCUCGAAAUACUCUGCUUUCUUUUCCAUCGAUAAUACCUCUGCAAACAAGCUACACUAGAGCAAUAAUAUCUCAUAUCAUCAAGGUUAAAAGCAAGAGUAUCCCAUAUCAUGCUUUUUCCCUGUCUUUUCCUUGGGCCUUGUUCUUACCUGCAAGACAAGGAGAAAGAGAGCAAUCGGUCAGCACUUGGAAUCAAGCUUCCAGUCAGGACCUGACUGCCUGGAACCCCUUACCUGAUUACUUACCUGGCAUUGCUCUCGAGUACUCAUCUUCAACAUCUUAUGCUUCCAGAGAAGAUACCACAUCUGCCUGAGGAACAGAUAGGGAAAGUGAGAAGGAUACAAGGAAGCAUGUGGAGACAAGCGUAAUAGAACACGUGCCGAUACAUCCACUACUUUGUCAACAACAAAAGUAUCCCAUAUCAGCAGGGUCGAACGUACUCUAGAUUUGAUGGACUUGUUUUGAUCCUCAAAUUCUUCAGUCGACCUUAUACUCUGGAGGAAACCAGAAAAUCCUCCAACCCAGUUCAAGAAUAAGCUUGUGGAAAGUUACUUCUUCAAAAGCAAAAGUAUCUCAUAUCAUCUAUUCUCCUUUUCUUCUCUUUAUCCUUCAUGCUGCCUGCAAGAUAGGGAGAAUGAGAACAAUCAGCCAGAACUCGAAAUCAAACUUCUGAUUUGGGACUGAUUGCUUGGAGCUCUGAUUGCUUACUUUGUCUGUCACCUCUUUCAGCAGAUCCCCUAGCUCGGCGACUUGGGGGACUUUUACUACAUGGUUUGUAUCGCACUUGACCAAGCCUGAAACUACAAGUAAGCUUCAAGUGAAAUUGAUACAUUACCUUGUGCAUCUCCACCAGUUAAAGAUACCACCCCUGGAUGGAGGAAGAAUACUUCCAGAGAAGAUGCCACAUCUACCUAUGAGACAGAUAAGGCAAGUGAAGACGAGAGCUUGAACCUAUGUCAUUUGUACUAAAUCAUUCACUUGUACUCACUAAAGGAGAGCUUGAACCUAUGUACUUGUGUAAACCCUUCACAAUUAAUGAGAACUCCUCUACUCCGUGGACGUAGCCAAUCUGGGUGAACCACGUACAUCUUGUGUUUGCUUUCCUAUCUCUAUCCAUUUACAUACUUAUCCACACUAAUGAUCAGAGCAAUCUAGCGAAGAUCACAAACCUAAUCUUUUCUGUUGUACCAAAGUCCUCACUGAUUGUGUGCAUCAACAAUCCUUAAGUCCUUACCUUUUUGCGUUGGUAAUGGAUGAGUUAACAGGACAUAUUCAAGAUGAUAUUCCUUGGUGUAUGCUUUUUGCAAACGAUAUAGUGUUGAUAGAUGAAACUCAGGAGGGGUAAAUGCGAAGCUUAACCUUUGGAGAGUAGUGUUGGAAUCUAAAGGUCUUCGCCUAAGCCGAUCAAAGACAGAAUAUAUGGAGUGCAAGUUCAGUGCAAAUGGAGGCCAAAAUGAGUUAGGGGUGAGGAUCGGAGAUCAGGAAAUACCAAAGAGCGACUGUUUUCGCUACCUAGGAUCUAUCUUGCAAAAGAACGGAGAAUUAGAUGGAGAUCUCAACCAUAGAAUACAAGCUGGAUGGAUGAAGUGGAAGAGUGCAUCCGGUGUGUUGUGUGACCGUCGUAGGCCACUAAAGCUCAAGGGAAAAUUUUAUAGGACGGCAAUAAGGCCGGCGAUGCUGUAUAGCACAGAAUGUUGGGCGGUGAAGCAUCAACACGUACACAAAAUGGGUUUGGACAUGUGUAAAGAAGGCCUACUGACGCUCCGGUUCGAAGAUGUGGCUACAUGUUAGAGGUUUAGGGCCGAAGGGGUAGAGGAAGACCUAGGAAAACUUUGGAAGAUACCUUAAGAAAAGACUUAGAGUACUUGGAUCUAACGGAGGACAUGACACAAAACCGAGCGCAAUGGCGUUCUAGGAUUCAUAUAGCCGACCCCACUUAAUGGGAAAAGACUUUGUUGUUGUUGUUGUUGUCCGUUGAUUUGUUUUGAGACAGUCAAACCUCAGGUUGAGUGAGCCUGCAACAUGUACCCUUCUUGAUAUUGCCUUUCCAUGAUCCCAAUGACAAAAUCAAAUAAUACAGCCACGUCUAAUGGCUUUUAUAAAGUCUAACCCGUAGCUUCAAAAAUCAAAGGGAAAUCAAAUGAAAACCCCACUUCCUAAUAAUAGAACAUAAUAUAAAAUGAAAACAUCUCAACGUGGGCUUGCAAACCUGGUACUUGUGCUUAAUAAAACUUGAGCAUCACAUGCAAAUGCUACUAGAGCCAGUUGUUUCAUAUGGCAUGUAUCUAAACACCUCAAGCAGCACUUGCUUCCAGGAAAUAUACAACAAUCUAAAAUUGUCAAAAUCAACCAUUUACUAAAAUCCUUUCAUGUGCAUGAUAACAAAGUUUCACAAACUCAUCACGCCUGCUAGUGCACUUUAGAAAACCAUCACUACCUUCAUGACCACACUUAAAUAAGAGUAACGAAGGCAGAAAAGUUCUGCAGCAUGCAUUUAAAUCAUACUGGUUGGCACUACCUUCUAUUCGAAGCCAUUUCAUAUUGUUUUCUUAUCACUUAUUACAACAUAAAUACUACUACUUUCUUCAACAAAAUACACAGUUCUUGAUGUUUGAAGUCGAAUACUCUGCCAAAAAUCACUGAUUCUAUCAGUCUGUAGAUGUAACAUAUCUGAUGGAAGAUCAUGAUACCAAUGACAAUGCUUCAUUAACCCUUCAUUUAUUGCAAAGAACUUAGAAACUUAUUAUUAUCAUCACAAUAUAAAUAAAACAAAAGAGGAGGUAAGAAAUAACUCCAAAACCAUUGAAGAACUACACUGCAACAAGAUCAGCAAAUAAUAUCAAUGACUCAAAUUUUUUAUACUUGUAAAGCACUCUAUGAAACCUAAACAGGGUGAAGGGGGCCAAUAUUCACCAAUAUUAUGUUAGUGGAAGCUAACCUAUCCGUGGAAUUAAACCAUUUGCAUGAAAUCCAUGAAAACAUACUUAAAAUCUGCAAACCUUGAGCAGGAGCUUCCCAGUGCCCAAUACAAAUACUGCAUCAGUGUUCCCAGUAGCAAAUUGUCCAAAAGCUCCAGCAGUACGUACAUGUAUGAGAAUCUGUACCCAGCAGGACCUGAAGACCAAAUCAGGUGUUUGAUUGCUGCUUUGGACUGAAAAACCAUAAAAUAAUAAUAUUGAACUCUUCAAAGGAAAGUACCUCCCCCGGCCUGCAAUGACCUUCUUGAGCAAGAGCAACAUGGCGUACACCCUUAUAAUCUGGGUUGGCCUGCCAAAUUGUCAACUAAACUCAAUAUCUGAUGAUUAAACCAAUUUUAAAACAUGGUGAAAACGUAACACUUAAAAGCCACACCUUGAAAUUACUUAUCCUUUAUAUCAUAGAAAUACUUGAUGUUUUGCUCCGUGAACAAAUCCCUCAAGAUAUCCACAUUACGGUUUGCACGUUCAUCAGUUGUAAAUAUAUAAUGGUCAGGUAUGAUUACAACCUUUUCACGGUUCCAAACCUGCAAUAGAAAAACAAUGAAGCUCUAUUGAUACCCCAUGACAACAAAAACUGCAGUGAUUACAAAAUCUCAGAUAUGAAAAAUAGACCUUUUCAAAAAUAAUCAACACACCUUCAGAGAUGAUGAAUACUGAAGCUAAACGAAGAAAAUAUACCAUCAAGCAAUGAGUUAAAUGCAAAUGAAUUCCUUCUUUCUUUUAUUUCUGUGAUUGGUUAUGGUUAUUAACAAACAAAGCAGUAAGAGAGGACUUGUAAGUUGAUAUGUUAUAUUGGCCUCGCAUACAUACAAGAGGUCUACCAGCAGAAACGGGCAUGUGGACUAUGACAACAAAAAACAAAGACAACCUUCUCAUUGCUACCAUCCACCGUUGGGUUGGGUCAAUCUACGCUAUGAUGCUAAUGUUCCUUGACUCUUGUAGUGAUGGGCAGAAACCAUUUGGGACACAUUCAUGCAGAAUGUUUUUUUUUGCGAAGCUGGCCUAACCCGACACAUAGAAGUAGAUUCUCUAAUGUGAUCAUUACCAUUGCUAGAUGAGUCAACGACAACACGACUUGAUCAAUGAACGUAUUACUUCUAACUAAAUAUUUAUGCCAACCCCUUUUCCUUGUUGGUUUGUAAAGCAUGUCUAGAUCAGCAAACUAAGCUAUUCAAAACUGACAAAUAUGGCUUCCAAUGGUACUGCUAGUCUUUUGGGUGUUUAAUACUGAAAGUUCUAGGAUGGGUACUAGUUUAACCUAGAGGGGGAGUGAAUAGGUUCCCCUUUAAAAAUCAAAUUCAAUUUUCAAUUUAAUUUUCAGUUCUCAAAUUAAAUCCAAAUUCAAAUCACAUAUCAAACUAUCAUACUCAUAUGCAAUUAAAACGAUAAAUAAAAAGUGCUCACAUGAUGUAGGAUCACGACUGGAAAAAUCCUUGGGCUUCUAACCCAGGACAAACACUAAGAGAAAUACGUACAGAAAGACUUACAAAACUCAUCAACUAGACACGCAUACUAGUAGGCAGUUUUGUUUCCGCGCUUUGCUACUCGAUCUCUCUCAGUCUUCGAGUUAAAGUGGCACGACACUAACGCGAUCAUCAAUCACCUUUUCCUCUGAACUUUGCAAGAUACUAACUUGAUCAUGCAGAAUGUUUAUAUGAUGAAGUGUUUAUUUGAAAAGCAAUCAAUUACGAAAAUCACAAGGCACAUUUUCAUAAUUGACAUUUGUUUGUACCAUACUUGACCAAUCCCGAAACUACUGAGCACCGGUCAACGUUAUACCGUCAAGGACCCAGAAGAGUUUCCCUCCAACCAGGAGGCCAAUCACAGCGCGACAUGUGUUGACAUCAGAAGCCAAUCAUAGCGCGACACGUGUCAACAUCAGAAAUCAAUCACAACACGACACGUGUCAAAGUUAGAAUAAAACUGGAAACUCUCUUCUAUAAAUAGAGAUCAUUCUCUCACAAUAUUUCUUAAUGUCAUUUGUACUAAAUCAUUCACUAGUACUCACUAAAGGAGAGCUUGAACCUAUGUACUUGUGUAAACCCUUCACAAUUAAUGAGAACUCCUCUACUCCGUGGACGUAACCAAUCUGGGUGAACCACGUACAUCUUGUGUUUGCUUCCCUGUCCCUAUCCAUUUACAUACUUAUUCACACUAGUGACCGGAGCAAUCUAGUGAAGGUCACAAACUUAACACUUUCUGUUGUACCAAAAUCCUCGCUGAUUUUGUGCAUCAACAUUUGGCGCAGUAUGUGGGAAAGACACUUAUUCCCACUCUCUUCAGCUUUGCCAAGCUGGUUUCCACCAUUCGUACACUCUCUUUUGACCAGGCAUCCCUCUCCAACAUGGGGAGCGAAGGAAGCCACAACACACAUAAUGACACCCAUCUUGCACCUGGUGCGAAGCAACGAAAGAAGGAAGGAAAAAAGGUUGCUUUUCAAGCUAAAGUCGAUGAGCCAGAAGCUCAGAACAACGAGAUAGCAAUGAAGAAUGAAGUCCUCUAGGAGCAGUAUGAAAAGCUCUUUGAGACGCUCCACGAAACUAGGCGUACUCAAACACGUGAACUCGUUGCCCCUGUGGACAUCAACCAUCAUCUGGGUGCCCCCCAACACAGAGGGUCACCUCCCUUCGACAUGGGUAUCCCUGAUGAGGAGCGAGCUAAUCAUCAAAACAUUGAUCAACAUGAGACUUCUUUCAACCCAGAUGCUUCGACCCGAAGUAGAAGAAGUGGAGGAAGACACCUCAUUGCAGAAGGGUUGGAAGGAUCGAAAGCCGUUUAUUGUGAUUGCUGAGACUUCCUAAAGCAACGUCGAGAGAAUCCCCUCCACAUAUGCUUGAAGAUCAAUGACCCAAGGGUUUCUGAAAGACUCGGUCCCCUCCCACGACCCAGGCCAACUGCCAAUCUAGGGAAGAAACGACUGAUCCCAGAGGAACAUAAAGGUACGGGGGACUCUGAGGUAUUCCGACAGAUUCGCCCUAGAAGUCAGUACGACGAGUCCAAGAAAAAACCACACGCCCUUCCUCAAACUUUUCUACUUCCAAGAGGGGAUGGAGACUUACGAAAGAAAAUUCCAGUGGUACAUGACUCCACUGAUGACCCCCUUGUCCUACAGUGCAUUAAGGAAGUAAACAAGUUGAAGGCCGAACGUCAGGCCGAGAUACCUGACUGGAACCAACCCAGGCCUGGCCUUCUCACAAGAAAGAUCCUCGACACCCCCUUCAAGCGAAGACAAAACAAAAGCUUGGUUUACAACUUUAUACUGGAAGGGAGGACCCAAUUAAACACUUUAACCUUUUUGAGUCCACCAUGGCAUAUCGGAUGCACACCGACGAAGUGCGAUGUCUUCUCUUCCCCUCCACCCUUUCUGGCGGAGCUCUAAACUGGUAUUGCUGUCUUCCACCUGAGACAGUAGACUCAUUUGAGGAAUUAAGGAAACUAUUUGUCUUUCAACACAUCUUCCAGACCGAUCACUUUCAUUCUACAGAUGACUUGUACACUAUUUGCCAGAAGCUGGACGAGUCACUACGAGAGUAUGCCGGUCGAUUUAACCAUGAGUAUUCUUGCUGCGCUGAGGCAGAUGACAAGACCGCCCUCAAGGCCUUCACGGCAGGCCUAUGUGAUUGUUUCUUCAAGUACAUGACCAAUGCCAACACUUGAAAGACUUACUCUGAGGUGAUGGCACAUGCUUACAACCACAUCUCCACCGAAGCAAGGACAUACCAAGGGAACCCCCAUAUGGUUAACCCCUAUCAACAAAUAGGAAGAGGAAGUUAAGUUCUACCAAGUGAGGAGAUAUUAGCCAUUCAGACACCCAUUGCAUCAUCUCCUGCCUCAUUCAGCUACUUGCUAAGUCACCAAACGUAUUUGUCUCUUGGUAAGAGGAAGGAUUUUUACUCUCAGCAAGCCCAUUACAACAAGAGGGAUACAAGUUCGUAUCAAGACAACCAGGGGUGAACAUACCGUCGACUAUUAUGACUAUGGGGCAAAGCCUCACUCUUUCAAAGUGGAUGACUAGGUACUGAAGGAAAUGCUAUUAUAAGAAGGCAUACACAUUACAAAUGUUUUGACUCUCAACCGCUUGAGAUCUUUUGUCACACAAGCCAUUCGGCAAAUAUUUAAAGAAGAGGGAAUUCAUACAACUUCUUCUGAGUCUUUUGCGUUCCUAGCAUUGGAACACUUGGUCUACGCUGACCUACCCUUAUACUCCAACUCAGAGCUUCAACAUGCGUACUUUGACACAAAGUAUGUGAUACUAAGUGUUACAACCAACAUGGUUCACAUAUCAAAAGCAUGGAUCCCUUCAUGCAUAGCAAAACAUUCAUAAGCAUCACUCAUAUCAAUCAACAUAAACAUUAUACAUUCCAACACAUUCAUACAUAAACAUCAUACAUUCCAACACAUCCAUACAUAAACCAACUGUGCUUCGAAAGGGUUCAACAUACUUUGUGUCUUUGACACUUGCUACAAUGUGCCUCGACACCUUGCCCUUAUUCUCACCAACCAGGUGAUGAAAUGUGAAGAAUGAACUCAUCUUCAUGCCACCAAACAGGUGAUGAAAUGUACAACCUGUACUCUCCUUCAUGUUACCAACUAGGUGAUGAAAUGUACAACCCGUACUCUAAUAUCAUUUGGUAACUUGGCACUUAUGCCACCAACCAGGUGAAAAAAGAACUCAUUUUCAUGCCACAAACUAGGUGAUGAAAUGUACAACCCGUACUCUCCUUCAUGCCACCAACCAGGUGAUGAAAUGUACAACUCGUACUCUAAUAUCAUUUGGCAACUUGCCACUCAUGCCACCAAGUAAGUGAAGAAAGAACUCAUCUUCGUGCCACCAACCAGGUGAUGAAAUGUACAACCCGUACUCUCCUUCAUGCCACAAACUAGGUGAUGAAAUGUACAACCCGUACUCUAAUAUCAUUUGGCAACUUGCCACUCAUGCCACUAACCAGGUGAAGAAGGAACUCAUCUUCAUGCCACAAACCAGGUGAUGAAAUGUACAACUUGUACCAUCCUUCAUGCCACCAAACAGGUGAUGAAAUGUACAACCAGCAUUCUAAUAUCAUUUGGCAACUUGCCACUCAUGCCACCAACCAGGUGAAGAAGGAACUCAUUUUCAUGCCACCAACCAGGUGAUGAAAUGUACAACCUGUACUCUAAUAUCAUUUGGCAACUUGCCAUUCAUGCCACCAACCAGGUGAAGAAGGAACUUAUCCUCAAGCCACAAACCAGGUGAUGAAAUGUGAUGAAAGGUGAUGAAGGAACUCACUUUCGUACCACCAACCAAGUGAUGAAAGAAACUCACCAUUCAUUCCACCUACCAGAAGACGAGUGGUACAACUUAUACAUGUGAACUCCUAACAUUCACAAACAAUAAAAAACCCUCAAGCUUGACAACUCAACUAGGGGAGCACUUAUGCCCAACAAGAGUUAUAGUCACCAACAAAGUCUUAUUGCAAGCCAACAACAACUUCAGUGCAUGGCAUACAAAGAUCAAGCUAUUCAGCCCUCUUGCAUCUGCUUCAGACAUUUCCCUUCUGUACCAAUGCAAACACUACAACUCAAGGAAAACUUCACACUCUUGAUCAAGACAGUGUGAAGCAAAACCAAUUUAUGGUGCCAACAAUAGCUUCAUCAAAUGAGUUCAACCACAAUUCUCAAAAGCUUCACACACUCUUGAUCAAGACAGUGUGAAGCAAAACCAAUUUAUGGUGCCAACAAGAGCUUCAUCAAAUGAGUUCAACCACAAUCCUUAAAAGCUUCACACACUCUUGAUCAAGACAAUGUGAAGCAAAACCAAUUUAUGGUGCCAACAAAAGCUUCAUCAAUGAAGGGCAACUACAACUUAUAGAAAGCUUCACACACUUUUGAUCAAGACUGUUCGAAGCAAAUUCAAUUUAUAUGGUUCAUCCAAACCUUCGACUACUACAAGGUGUGGCUUGCAUCACAAUCUCUUACUCAACAGUGUGACCUUCGACUACUACAAGGUGUGGCUUGCAUCACAAUCUCUUACUCAACAGUGUGGAAGCAAAAUUUGUAUAUGUUGUCUCUCCCACAUUUUCAAAUUUAUAGUUUCCAUGAAAAAUAAAAAAAAUAAAUUGGGAAAUUCAACAAAGCUUCAUCAAUGGAGGACAACUACAAAUUCUCAAAAGCUUCACACUAUCUUGAUCAAGAUAGUGUGAAGGAAAAUCAAUUUGUGGUACCCAGCAAAAGCUUCAUCAAUGUAGGACAACUACAAAUUCUCAAAAGCUUCACACUAUCUUGAUCAAGAUAGUGUGAAGCAAAAUCAAUUCAUGGUACCCAACAAAAGCUUCAACUUCAAAGCUUCACCUACAAAGCUUCAACUUCAAAGCUUCACCUACAAAGCUUCAACUCCAAAGCUUCACCUACAAAAGCUUCACCCACAAUAGUUUCACCUACAAAAGCUUCACCCAUAAAAGCUUCACCCACCACAAAAGCUUCACCUACAAAAGCUUCACCCAUAAAAGCUUCACCAACAAAAGCUUCACCCACCACAAAAGUUUCACCCACAAAAGCUUCACCCACAAAAGCUUCACCAACAAAAGCUUCACCCACAAAAGCUUCCCCCACCACAAAAGCUUCCCCCACCACAAAAGCUUCACCAAUAAAAGCUUCACCCACCAUAAAAGCUUAACCCACAAAAGCUUCACCCACAAAGUUUUAACACAAAAGCUUCACCUACAAAAGCUUCCCACUAUCUUGAUCAAGAUAGUGUGAAGCAAAAUCAAUUCAUGGUACCCAACAAAACUUCAACCUCAAAGAUUCACCUACAAAGCUUCACCUAUAAAGCUUAAUAUAUAUAUAUUUUCGGAAAUUCAAAAAUUCAAAAAUUCGGAAAUUCAAAAAUUCAAAAAAAUUCGGAAAUUCGAAAAUUCAAAAAUUCAAAAAUUUAAAAAAAAAAAAAAAUUGCCUAGGCCUCAUCUUCUUUGGGCCUAACAACUUUCAUAACAAAUAUAUAUGAAGGAGGAGUUUUGGGCUACCACUUAGAAAGGAAAAUGGUGAAGUUUUGUUACUUUGGAAACUUGGCUACUAGCAAGACACCUCCUUCAUCAACUCCCUCGACCAGAGACUUGGGGGACUCCUACCAUAUGCUAUUGCACCUUGAUACUCUUAAGUCUCACGACCACUUAGUGACUUGGAUUUUUUCAACUCUCCAACCGAGAAGUUUUCCUCACUCGGGAAAUUAAGAGAGCACUACCUCAACCUACAUGCUUCACUCACAAAGCUUCAACAUACAAGAUUCAACAAAAGGAAAAAUUCAAAGAAUUUAGUGAAGAAGGCCUUAGUGUAUUUAACACAAUACGUUGAAAUGAAGCAAAGCUUGUUUAUUGAUAUCUCCGAUAAGUUACAAAUAUAUACAUAUACAUGAAUCAAAAUAAACAAACAAGAGGGAGCCUUCACAAAGGUUGCUCAGGAGAAGUCUCACCAAUCGGCAGAGCCCUAGAAAGAGGAGGCACCAGAGGGUGAUUAUUUAGAGCCUCAGUACUAUGCAGAACCCCAAAAGGAUGAGGCGUCGAAGGUUGAUCAUUUGGAGCUUUAUUACGCGGUACAGCCCAGAAGACGAAGGCAAUAAAUGCCUUUGGAACAAACCCACAAACCUCUGAUGAUCAAGUAAUAUCUGACCAUCAGAUUGCUGCGGCUGGUCGAGCUUCCUCUUCAUGUUUGUAGCAUAGUCAUGUGCGAGCCUGUGCAACUAUUUAUUCUCAUGCUUGAGCCCUCUGAUCUCUUGUUUGAGACUUAUCACUUCAACCGCCAAUGAUUUAGUUUGAGACUUAUCACUUCAGCCGCCAAUGAUUCAACUUGGCGGGUUCGAGCAAAUAGGCGUUGGGCCAUAUUAGACAAAGAACCUGUACACUGAACACCAAGACCCAGAGAAUCGUUAACAGCCAACUCAUCAGACCGUUUGGAAAGUAGUCUAUUAUCUUUGGGAGUGAGAAGGUUCCUGGUCACCACCGCAGCUGUCAUAUCAUUCUUCAUGACAGAGUCCCCAACAGUAAAAGGACCAGUAGGGGAUAAGAAUGAUGGAUGCCAUAUGUUGUCUUGAGAAGGCAUGGUUGCCUCUUCACCAAAGUUCAAGUUAAAACGAUGGUCGGAUGGGCCAGACAUUCUCAGAAAUGAUGAAGGAGAAAUGAGGUGCAAUAAAUCGUUGAAGUAAGGGGAAAAUUCCUACAAGCAAUAACUUUCUGAAUGUACUUCUUACACACAAUUGGUGCUUUUAUAAAAGAAAGGGCAGCAAGACCGUUGGUUCAAAAAUCGAAGAGACACCACUAUCCGGAUUCCGAAGAGGCACCACUUUCCACAUGUAACAACAGCUCUUCGGGUACCACAGAUAACUUUGCCAAAGAUCUCUGACAAAGUUUAGACACAUAAAUUUUGAAGGUCCAGCUACCCUACUAUUACCUACAAGGGUAAAGGAACAGCACCAUUGCUUGAUAACUAGAAAGUCCUAAUGUGUGUCAACCUCCGUGCUCCGUGGCAAGGCAGACUGGCAAAAAUGCCCAACCUUUACUCACAUUCGAGAAAACACUCCCAACAAGAUUGCUUGAACAAAAAUCGAAAAUGCAUCGCCCUCUGAAUCUUAAGAGCUAGACUCCUAAUAUAAUUACUUUCUCAAAAAUCGAAGAGACACUGCUCUCUGAAUCUCAAGAGUCAGACUCCCAACAGGAUUGCUUUCUCAAAAAUCGAAGAGGCACUGCUAUUUGAAUCUCGAGAGCCAGACUUCCAAUAGAAUUACGUGCUCGAAAAUCGAAGAGGCACCGUCCUCCGAAUCUCGAGAGCCAGACUCCCAACAGGAUUACUUUCUCAAAAAUCGAAGAGACACUGCACUCUGAAUCUCAAGAGUCAGACCCCUAACAGGAUUGCUUUCUCAAAAAUUGAAGAGGCACCGUUCUCUGAAUCUCGAGAGCCAGAUCCCUGAUAGGAUUGCUUGUUCGAAAACUGAAGAGGCACCGCUCUCCGAACUUCGAGAGCCUGAUUUUCUUGGAUAAAGCUUGUCUGUAAUCUUCACAAUCAACAUCGGCUUUCCAGAUACCACAUACCACUUUUUCAAAGUACUCUGACAAAGUUAAAACACGUGAAGUUUGCAGCUCCCACUACAUUGCUAUGACCAAGAAGGGUAAAGGAAUAGCAUUACUACUUGUUGUUAGGGAGACUCCUAUAUAUGUCGACCUCCAUCCUCCACAGCCAGGCAUACCUGCAAAUAAAAAAAAAUGCUCAACUUUUCUUCACAUCCGAGAGGGCACUCUCAGCAGAGUUUCUCGAAAUACUCAGCUUCUUUUCCCCCCGAUAAUACCUCUGCAAACAAGCCACACCAGAGUAAGAGUAUCUCAUAUCAUCAGGGUUAAAAGCAAGAGUAUCCCAUAUCAUGCUUUUUCCAUGUCUUUUCCUUUGGCCUUGUUCUUACUUGCAAGAAAGGAGAAAGGGAACAAUCAGUCAGCACUUGGAAUCAAGCUUCCAAUCAGGAACUGACUGCCCGAAACCCCUUGCCUGAUUACUUACCUGACAUUGCUCUCGAGUACUCAUCUUCAACAUUUUAUGCUUCCAGAAAAGAUACCACAUCUGCUUGAGGAACAGAUAGGGCAAGUGAGAAGGAUACAAGGAAGCAUGUAUAGACAAGCGCAACAGAACACGUGUCGAUACAUCCACUACUUUGUCAACAGCAAAAGUAUCCCAUAUCAUCAGGGUUGAACAUACUCUAGAUUUGAUGGACUUGUUUUGACCCUCAAAUUCUUGAGUCGGCCUUAUACUCUGGAGGAAACCAGAAAACCCUCCAGCCUAGUUCAAGAAUACGCCUAUGGAAAGUUACUUCUUCAAAAGCAAAACUAUCUCAUAUCAUCUCUUCUCCAUUUGCUUCUCCUUAUCCUUGUUGCUGUUUACGACACAAGGAGAAUGAGAACAAUCAACCGGAAGCCAAAGUCGAACCUCUGAUCCAGGUUGCUUGCUUGGAAGUCUGAUUGCUUACCUUGUCUAUUACCUCCUUCGGCAAAUCUCCUAGCUCGGCGACUUGGGGGACUCCUACUAUAGGGUUUUGUAUCACACUUGACCAAGACCGAAACUACAAGUAAGCUUCAAGUGAAAUUGAUACAUUACCUUAUGCAUGUUCAUCGGUUAAAGAUACCACCCCUGGAUGGAGGAAAAGUACUUCCAAAAAAGAUGCCACAUCUAUGUAUGAGACAUAUAAGGCAAGUGAAAAUGAUACCACACUUCGGUAGUUAGAAGUUUCGUGAUUACUCAAUGGCUUGGAUCUUGCAAGUCCCCAACCGAAGAGCUUCCCUCACUUGGGAACUUAGGGGAGCACUGUUUGUACCAUACUUGACCAAUCCCGAAACUACUGAGCACCGGUCAACGUUAUACCAUCAAGGACCCAGAAGAGUUUCCCUUCAACUAGGAGGCUAAUCAUAGCGCGACACGUGUCAACAUCAGAAGCCAAUCACAACACGAUACGUGUCAAAGUCAGAAUGAAACUAGAAACUCUCUUCUAUAAAUAGAGAUCAUUCUCUCACAAUAUUUCCUAAUGUCAUUUGUACUAAAUCAUUCACUAGUACUCACUAAAGGAGAGCUUGAACCUAUGUACUUUUGUAAACCUUUCACAAUUAAUGAGAACUCCUCUACUCCGUGGACGUAGCCAAUCUAGGUGAACCACGUACAUCUUGUGUUUGCUUCCCUAUUCCUAUCCAUUUACAUACUUAUUCACACUAGUGAUUGGAGCAAUCUAGUGAAGGUCACAAACUUAACAUGACUCGGUACACUAGGUGUUAUGAAGAAAAAGUGGAAGAGUUGUGUUUUGGUUUUGCGACUUAUGGGAGGCGCCGGCCGGCUGAGGGGCGUGUGUUUUGGAGUGGAAGUGACUGUGAAGCAGAAAUGACAUGUAGAGGUGUGCAGUUGGUGUUGGUCUGUUUAGGAUGAACUAAUUUAGUUAUUUUAUGUUGUCCAAAGGGGGAGUUGCGAUCAUGAGACAAUGUAGCAGUCGACCAAAUGUACGUAGCAGCAGCAUACCACAUGUUUGCCUGAACUUAUUUAAUUUUGUUUGUUUGUUACCCCCGCUCCUAAGAGGUGGGUUAACUUGAGCGGUUUAAAGCAUAUUCAAAGUGAGGUUACAAGAGUAGUGAACAAAUUUCAAACACCAUACUUCACUUAACCAACCUCGAUCAUCCAUCAAUCACUUUAUAACAUAUUAGUGUAAAAUAUUACCUAUAAAAGGGAAAAAAAUGAAAAGUAUGAUUUGUACUUUAGAUUUAACAUUGUAGUUUCUAUUAAAAAUUUAACCAAAUUUAGUAGUGUGAUUGUCAUGUGGAAGGGGUAAAAGGUGAUAAGUAUAGCGAAUUAUUCACACUUUUAUUUUUUUUAUAUAAUGAUAUAUUACCCUAAUAGACAGUAAUAAAUUAGUUUUAAAAUUGGUCAUGAGAUUUGAAUUUAAAUACAAAUGAAACAAAAUAUCAUUAGACUGUAACAUUACAUGGAAAAUAUAGUUUCACACCUAAACCCUUUUAAUGAUUUUUUUUUUAUCAGACGCACGAAUAUUGAGCAAAUUAUAUGAGAAAUUCGAUGUUGAUAACAAGGUUUUUUUUUUUUGUUUUGUUUUGUUUUUUUGUUUUGUUUUUUUGUGUUGGAUGUUAAUAACAAGUUUAAUCACUCAACAAAUUUAUUGUGAAGCGUUUUAUUUAAGGAAAACUAACAAAAAUUCCAAAAAAAAAAACUUUAGUUUUAAUGAAAAAUAACAAAUAAAUGUGUAGUGAAUGGUACAAAGGAAAGGGAAAAAUGUGGUUUUUCGUUAAAACUCUCUUUUCUUUAACCGCAUAGCUAACAUUACCAUAUGAUUCCCGUCGCGUGAAUUCCCGAAAGAGAGUGAAGGAUAAUUGAAGAUUAGUAGUGCUAUUUGAGGAGAAAUUUUUAGUAUAUUGUGAAUACGGCUUCACGAUCUGGUACGUUAAAUUUCAAAAUAAAAGUGGUAUGAAAUUUUUUUUUAGGUAUCCAACCACUUGUAUCAUAACACCUAGUGUACCGAGUCAUGUUCUCAGUACAACAAAUCUCUUCUAUUAGGAUUGAUAUACAUUCCUCUUGAUCUCAUACUUAGUGUCUUCUUUAACCGCUUAGCUGACAUUACCAUAUGAUUUUCAUCACGUGUAUUCCCAAGAUAGAGUAAAGGAUAAUUGAAGAUUAGUAGUGCUAUUUGAGGAGAAAUUUUCAAUGUAUUGCGAAUACGCUUUGGUGCACAUUUGAUGUGACAGCCCGUCCCGAAAUAUUUUAUCGAUGGUGUGAAAUAACCAUUUUGCCCUUGAACGUUUGGUGGUGGUGUGUAAAUAGGCCAAGGAUUUGGGCCAAUCCAUUUUCUCCCUAAUAUUUUGGACCCAAUUAGAAGUAAAAUUUUUUGUUGGUUUUAUUUUGUUGCCAUUUGGACCACACACACACCCAAACUCCCAUUGACCCUUUCUCUCUCUUCCCUCUCGGAUUUCAUCCAUUUUCAGUACAAUCGUACGAACAGCUUCCAAACCAACACUUCCAUCAUGGAUCGAGGUUCUAGUUGGCAUCUUUGGACUCCUAGUAAGCUCAGGAGUUGUUUUAUACCCUUAGUUGGUCGUGAGAACUUGUAGAACUUUAGUUACCCGAACUCCGGUGAGGGGUAAUUUUUCCUCCGACGUGAUCACGAAGGUUUUAAGUGGUUUUGAGACUUAAGAAGGUAAUAUUUUUACUUUACCAGCACGUUGGAUUGAUUUUGGAGUGGUUUUGACGUUAGCACGUUUGGUUUAUACAGUUGCAGGGUUUGGCUGAUUUCCUCGAUUUUUUCCGAUGACAUUCCGUUGGUUUUAGGACCUUAAAGUGGUAAGAAUGUGUUCUUCUCAUCCUAAGCUUCAUUUUGGUACAAAUUUCAUGAAUUUUGGAUGAGAAAUGAAGAAGAUAUGAAGAUUUAAAAUUUUAUAGUUUUCGACGACACAGAUAGCGGCAGGCGGCGGUUUCUGCGAGGAUCAUCAGAAAAGACAAAGAAUAUUCCGUCAAAAUUAACGGAAUAUUCUUGACGGCGCAAGGUAACUUCGUAAGCUUCUGUUAGUAUUUAACGGAAUAUUCCUGACGAUGUAAGGCUAGUUGACGACACUGGCUUGCGCAUGCGGAAGCGUCUGGCCGUGCUAUUACCGGCGCGUGGGGAUAGAGAAUUUUUUUUAUAAAAAUAUGGGGUUGUUCGUGGGGUUGAGUAGAUCACAUUGGUAUAUUAAAACAUCCCAAUUGAGCAAUGUAUGAGAAGUUAUUACGUAGUUUUGUUUAUGUGUUUUAAAAUAACGUUUAUAUAGUUGUUUCGCAUAUAGGUGAGACCUAUCCAGAGGACGAGCGUAAUCAAGCGAGACUCGGAGGCUACGACCCUUCUGCAUAUCAGUGAGUGGGCUUUUGGUUUUCAGUAUAUACUUAUAUACUUGGUAUUUUUCCCAGAAAAUGUGUUUAAAUGAAAUUAUUGAAAUGCCAUGCCUAUUGAUUUAUGCUUAGACUAUGAAUUAGUAUAGUAUGCAUAAAUGUGAUUUGACGCUGUGGAUGCUCAGGUAAGUACCAGGUGAGUUGUAGAUUGUUUAUGUGAAUUGAUGAUUAGGUGGAUGUGUUGAGAACUCAUAAACCUGCACCUCGGUGUUAGUGCUCCCGCCUGUGGUUAGGGCACAGUCAUUCACGUGAUGUUCACCUCCUGCACCAUAUGCUCACCUUGGAUCCAAGUUAGGUGCACAGUCCUGUCGUACAGACCACUAUAGGUGGUUUCGACUCGUAGGUGACCAACGAUUAUUCGCACAAUUUUCACGUGAUCGUAGCACUAGAGCAUAUUUAUUUACACCUAGUCCUGUCGUGUGCAGGCAUACUUGUUGAGCUAUAGAUUCAGCCGUACAUGCCACUUUAAGUGGAUCUGGCUGAUAUGUUAUUUCUCAUGAGUUAAUUCACCUGAGUUACUUAUUCAGUUAUUUUGAGAUAUUUGGCAUGGCAUACUUUUGAAUAUUACUAUUUUGAGCAUGGUUUUGAGAUAUGUAUAUAUGCUAUUUUAUGGGAAUUAUACAGGUUUUAUGGCAAGGGGUUAUUACUUUUGAUAAUGAAUGGUUUUAAAAAGCUUUGUUUUUGCCCACUCACACUUUCUAUUUUGCGACCCUCGAGGUUUUAGGUAGGAGUGCUUGUUGGUGGCUUACGAGGUUUUGAUGGAGGUUCUGACAGAUUAUCACCAAUGUAGGAUCACCUUUGGGUGUUGUAUAAUUAGUAUUUGUCUUGCUAGACUGUACUUAGGCUACUUAUGCUCUGGUUGUGUAAUCAUACUUAAUAUCGCACUUGCACCUUAUCUUAUCAAGUACUUUAGUUGGUUUUGUUUUUGUUUGUUUGCAUUUUUUUUUUCAUAUUAAUAUUGCUUUCGCACGGGGCACAUGGCUACAUCACCUUCACGUGACGGCCAAUAUGCCUCGAUGUAGGUCGGGGUGUGUCAGUUUGGUAUUAGAGCCUAGGUUUGGCAAUCCUACAUAUCUUGUGAAUGUUCUAAUUAUCUUGGUGUCUUCUAUCAGAACUAUGCCGCCUCGUAGAGAGCCACGUCCUUUAGCUGAGUCUGGUUUCCCUAAUAUAGCUCAAUUAGGGGAAGCUAUAGCUAAUGUUAUUUAGUCAUCAUUUUUCCUUCCCCAGAAGACUCCCCUGGAGACUGUGUAUAAUUUGAAGUUAAGUAAUUUUAUAGGUAAUGAAGGACAUGAGGGAGCAGAGAAAUGGCUUAAUUAUCUUGAGAAGAUUUUCCGUUUGAUGCAUGGAUAGGGAAAUCUCCAGGAGGAUAGGUGGGUUGAGACGACUACAUGGUUUUUAGGUAAGUAGCCUGCAUCCUGGUGGAGAUAAGAGUCUUAUCAAUUGUCACAAGAGGAAGCUGCUGAUUGGGAAGUUUUUAAGCAGUUAUUUCAGAAGAGAUUCAUUCCUCUAGAAUAUAUAGAUCGCAAGAAGAAAGAAUUCACGCACCUAAAAUAGGGAAAAAUGAUAGCUAAUGAGUACUACAUGAGGUUUACUGAUUUAUCUCGCUGUCACCCGGAGGUUGCUGCUAGUCCGGUUAAGAUGCUUUGUCGUUUUAGGUUGGGUACUCGAAAGAAACGGCGUUCUAUGACGACCACAUCUUCCUGUGCUACUUACCAAGAGUUUUAUGAGAUUUUGCUACAAAUUGAAAAUUCAAAGAAUAUGCCUAGUGAGAAUGAAGAUGAGGAAAAGGAUGGAAAUCAGAAGAAAGAUGAUAAAGGUAAAGGUCAAUCAUCUUUGGAACCUCACAAGACUCAGAGCUUUAAGAGAGGUGGAGCUAGUUCUAGUUCUUCCAAUGGGAGUUGGGGUUCCACUGGUCAGAGGAGAGGUGGUAGAUUUUCUGGAGGUCCUCAUUUUCAGAGGCAAAAAGAUUCUAGUGCCACAUGUGCACUUUUAUGUCGUAGGUGUAAUAAUUGGCACUUUGGGGAGUGUAAGCGAGGCAGUAGCGGAUGCUAUACUUGUGGUGAAAUGGGGCAUAUGGCUAUGCAUUGUCCUCAGAAUCAGCAGAGGCCCCAGUAGCCUUCCUUACCACCACCAGUGCUGAUCCAACAAGUUUAAAGAUCUAGCAGUUAUGGUCAAACGGGUUGCGAAGAUGCUUAUCAUUACCAGGGUGAUGUAGCUCCUUAUUUUGCAGGGCAAUAUCAUUACCCACAUGACCCGUAUCAGUAUAGUGGUUAUCCUCAGUAUUCUGGAGGUUAUAUGCCAUAUCCGUCGUAUUCAGCUGGUGGAUCUCAAUGGUAUACUGGAGGACAGCCCCAACAUGUAGAGGUUGCUUCCAGUAGUGCAGGAUCUUCGAGGCAGCGUGGUCAGCCAAGUCAGGGGCGAGGUGUGCAUGGGCCAAGUAAUCAAGCUAACAGAGGUCGUGGAGGACGACAACAAGCCUAGGGACAUAUUCACCACAUGAGAUUGCAGGAUAUGAUUUAGAGUUUGCAAUUCCUAGAUGGGAGAGAUGUUAUGUUAGUUGUGUAUAUCUAGGAUGUCCUGUGUUAGUGGAGGAUGUAGUUAUGCCAGCUAAUAUCAUCCCGUUAGAGAUUGUUGAUUUUGAUGUUAUUUUGGGCACAUAUUGGUUACAUUAUAAUCGUGCCAAUAUAAAUUGCUAUGGGAAGACAGUUACUUUUCAUCGUCCUGGAUUAUCUUAGGUUACUUUUGUGGGCGAGCAUAGUGGGGUGAGGCAUGGUGUUAUUACUGCCAUAAGAGUUAAAAAGUUGUUAGAGAAAGGUUGUCAGGGAUAUUUGGCUCAUGUAGUGUUGAAUGAUAAUGUUCCUAGCAGUGUGGAGAAUGUGUGAGUAGUCAUGCAUUUUCCUGAUGUGUUCCUUGAUGAUUUACCUGGAUUGCCUCCAGACCGAGAUGUGGAGUUCAUUAUUGAUUUGCUUCCAGGUACUGAUCUUAUAUCAUUAACUCUUUAUCAAAUGGCUCCUGCUGAAUUGAGGGAACUAAAAAUACAGUUGCAGGAAUUAGUUGACAAAGGUUUUAUUUAGCCUAGUACUUCACCCUGGGGAGUUCCGGUGUUAUUUGUGAGGAAGAAAGAUGGAACUUUGAGGCUAUGCAUUGAUUAUAGGCAAUUGAAUCGGCUAACAAUUAAAAACCGUUAUCCAUUGCCGUAUAUAGAUGAUUUAUUUGAUCAGCUUCAAGGCACCUGUGUGUUUUCUAAGAUUGAUUUGAGGUCUGGUUAUUAUCAAUUGAAGAUUAAAAGUGAAGAUGUUCCUAAGACAGCUUUCAAGACUCAUUAUGGUCUUCUUAUGAUGCCAUUUGGGCUAACUAAUGCACCUGCAACUUUUAUGGAUUUGAUGAAUCGAGUAUUCCAGCCAUAUUUAGACAUGUUUGUUAUUGUUUUUAUUGAUGAUAUUCUGGUAUACUCUAAGUCUAAAUCAGAACAUGUUCGACAUCUUACUUGGGUGCUGAAGAGAUUAAGGGAACAUCAGUUGUACGCUAAAUUUAGUAAAUGCCAAUUUUGGCUGGACUAAGUGGCAUUUAUGGGACAUGUCAUAUCUGUUCAAGGUAUUCAGGUGGAUCCUCAAAAAGUGGCGGCUGUUGAGAAUUGGAAGCAACCACGAACCAUCACUGAGGUACGAAGUUUUCUUGGUUUAGCAGGUUAUUAUUGACGGUUUGUUAAAGAUUUUUCAGUUAUUGCUUUACCACUGACGAGGUUAACUAGGAAGGAUAUUAAAUUUGAGUGGCAUGAUUACUGGGAGCGGAGUUUCCAGUAGUUGAAAUAUUGUCUCACUCAUGCACCUGUUUUGGCGCUUCCAGAUGAUAGUGGUAAUUUUGAGAUCUACAGUGAUGCUUCCUUAAAUGGUCUGGGAUGUGUGUUGAUGCAGCAUGGUAAGGUGAUUGCUUAUGCAUCGCGACAGUUGAAGCCUCAUGAGAUGAAUUAUCCUACUUAUGAUAUUGAGUUAGUAGCUAUCAUCUUUGCUUUGAAGAUGUGGAGACAUUAUCUUUAUGGCGAAAAAUGUAAGAUCUUUACGGAUCAUAAAAGUUUUCAAUAUCUUUUUACUCAAAGGGAUCUUAAUCUUCGAUAACGAAGGUGGAUUGAAUUGCUCAGUGAUUAUGAUUGCACGAUUGAGUAUCACCCUGGUCGUGCAAAUGUAGUGGCGGAUGCACUUAUUAGGAAGCCUCAAGGGAGAAUUAAUGCUUUGUACGCUUGUCAUGUUCCUCUUCUUGCAGAUUUGAGGUCCACUGGAGUGAAGUUAGGGGUGGAAAAACAAGAGGAAGCUUUACUUGCUAAUUUUCAGGUCAGGCCAAUAUUAAUUGAUCAAGUACUCGAGGCUCAAAUGAAUGAUGAAGAAAUCUAGGAGUUAAUUGAGGCAAGAAAUCAAGGGAAAAAGAAAGAUCUUAGAAUUCGGGAGACUGACGGCAUGCUUAUGCAGGACAACAAAAUGUAAGUGCCGAAUAAUGUGGAAUUAAAGAAAGAAAUUUUGGAUGAAGCGCACUGUUCGGCUUAUGCAAUGCAUCCUGGAAGUACUACAAUUUAUCAUACCAUUUGACCAUUUUAUUAUUGGCUAGGUAUGAAAAGAGAAAUUGCUGAGUAUGUGAGUAGGUGUGUUAUUUGUCAGCAUGUCAAAGCUAAAAGGAAAAAGCCAUUUGGAUUGAUCACUUCCCAUUCCACAAUGGAAAUGGGAAAUCAUUACCAUGGACUUUGUGUAUAAGCUUCCUCUUACACGAAAUGGUUAUGAUGGAAUUUGGGUGAUAGUUGAUCGGCUUACUAAGUCAAUGCAUUUUAUUCCAGUGAGGGAGAAAUAUUCUAUAAGCUAAUUAGUUGAAUUGUUCAUAUCGAAAAUCAUUAAGUAUCAUGGAGUUCAAGUUAGUAUUAUCUCGGAUCGGGAUCCUAUAUUCACUUCUAAAUUCUGGGUGGCAUUUCAGAAGGUUCUUGGUUGAAGGUUACUUUAUAGUACGAUAUAUCAUCCCCAGACAUACGGACAAUCUGAGAUGACUAUUCAGACACUGGAGGAUAUGCUAAGAUCUUCUGUCUUACAGUUUCAUAACGCCUGGCAUUAGCGGUUAGAUUUGAUGGAAUUUGUAUAUAAUAAUAGCUACCAUUGGAGCAUUGAUAUGUCACAUUUUGAGGUACUUUAUAGCAAAUCUUAUCGUACACCUUUAUGUUAGUUAGAGGUUGGUGAAAGACUUUUGGUGGGCCUCGAGAUUAUGGAUGAGACUACUCAGAAUGUUCAAGUAAUUAAGUCUAACCUAAAAACGGCCCAGGAUCGACAUAAAAGUUUAGCAGACAAGCAUGCCACUGACCGGUUGUAUAAAAUUGGUGAUUGGGUGUUUCUGAAGUUGUCACCAUGGAGAGGUGUUGUACGGUUCGGGAAGAAAGGUAAGCUAAGUCCUAGGUACAUCGGACCACAUCAGAUUACCGAGCGAGUCGUUGAAGUUGCUUACAGGCUUAAGUUGCCUCCAGAGUUGUCUAAAGUGCACGAUGUGUUCCAUGUUUCCAUGCUUCGUCAAUAUGUUUAUGAUCCAUUGCAUGUAAUACCUCAUCAACCAUUGAAAAUUAAUCUAGAUUUGACUUAUGAUAAGGGGCCAGUGACGAUUUUGCAUUGGAAAGAUAAGGUUUUGAGGAAUAAGACCGUGCACUUGGUGAAAGUUUUGUGGAUAAACCACUCAGUGGAGGAAGCUACCCGGGAGAUGGAAGAGCUUACGAAAGAGAUGUAUCCACGCUUGUUCUAUGAUUAUUAAUGUGUGAAAUUUCGAGGAUGAAAUUUUUUUAAAGGGGUAGGUUGUGAAGGUUGUGACAGCCCGUCCCGAAAUAUUUUAUCGAUGGUGUGAAAUAACCAUUUUGCCUUUGAACGUUUGGUGGUGGUGUGUAAAUAGGCCAAGGAUUUGAGCCAAUCCAUUUUCUCCCUAAUAUUUUGGACCCAAUUAGAAGUAAAAUUUUUUGUUGGUUUUGUUUUGUUGCCAUUUGGACCACACACACACACCCAAACUCCCGUUGACCCUCUCUCUCUUUUCCCUCUCGGAUUUCAUCCAUUUUCCGUACAAUCAUACAGACAGCUUCCAAACCAACACUUCCAGUCACGGAUCGAGGUUGUAGUUGUCAUCUUUGGACUCCUAGUAAGCUCAGGAGUUGUUUUAUACCCUUAGUUGGUCGUGAGAACUUGUAGAACUUGAGUUACCCGAACUCUGGUGAGGGGUGAUUUUUCCUCUGACAUGAUCGCAAAGGUUUUAAGUGGUUUUGAGACUUAAGAAGGUAAUAUUUUUACUUAACUAGCACGUUGGAUCGAUUUUGGAGUGGUUUUGAUGUUAGAACGUUUGGGUUUAUAUAGUUGCAGGGUUUGGCUGGUUUCCUUGAAUUUUUCCAGCGAGAUUUCGUUGGUUUUAGGACCUUAAAGUGGUAAGAAUGUGUUCUUUCUCAUCCUAAGCUUCAUUUUGGUACAAAUUUCAUGAAUUUUGGAUGAGAAAUGAAGAAGAUAUGAAGAUUUGAAAAUUUUCCAGUUUCCGGCGACAAAGACGGCGACCGGUGGCGGCUCCGACGAGGAUCACCAGAGAAGUCUCCCUCAAAGUUAACGGAAUAUUCUUGACGGCAUAAUGUAACGCCGUAAGCUUUUGUUAGUAUUUAACGGAAUAUUCUGUGGAAUAUUCCUGACGGCACUGGCAUGCGCGUGGGGGUGGGUCUGGCUGUGCCAUUGCCAGCGCGUGGGGACCGAGAAAUUUUUUUAUAAAAAUAUAGGGUUGUUCGUGGGGUUGAGUAAAUCAUGUUGGUAUAUUCAAACACCCCAAUUGAGGAAUGUAUGAGAAGUUAUUACCUAGUUUUGUUUAUGUGCUUUAAAUAACGUUUAUAUAGUUGUUUCGCAUAUAGGUGAAACCUAUCCAAAGGACGAGCGUAAUCAAGUGAGACUCGGGGGGCUACGACCCUUCUACAUAUCAGUGAAUGGGCUUUUGGUUUUUAGUGUAUACUUAUAUACUUGGUAUUUUCCCCAGAAAAUGUGUUUAAAUGAAAUUAUGUUUUGAAAUGCCAUGCCUAUUGAUUUAUGCUUAGACUAUGAAUUAGUAUAGUAUGCAUAAAUGUGAUUUGACGCUGUGGAUGCUUAGGUAAGUACCAGGUGAGUUGUAGAUUGUUUAUGUAAAUGGAUGAUUAGGUGGAAUGUGUUGAGAGCUCACAAACCUGCACCCCGGUGUUAGUGCUCCCGCCCAUGGUUAGGGCAUAGUCCUUCAUGUGAUGUUCAUCUCCUGCACCAUACACUCACCUUGGAUCCAAGUUUGGUGCAUAGUCCUGUCGUAUAGACCAGUAUAGGUGGUUCCGACUCAUAGGUGACCCGCGAUUAUUCGCACAGUCUUCACGUGAUUGUAGCACUUAAGCGUAUUUAUUUACACCCAGUCUUGUCGUACAGACCAUUUUAUGUGGUUCCGACUCGUGUGCAGGCAUACUUGUUGAGCUAUAGAUUCAGCCGUACAUGCCACUUUAAGUGGAUCAGGCUAAUAUGUUAUUUCUUAUGAGUUAAUUCACCUGAGUUACUUAUUCAGUUAUUUUGAGAUAUUUGGCAUACUUUUGAAUAUUACUAUUCUGAGCAUGGUUUUGAGAUAUGUAUAUAUGCUAUUUUAUGGGAAUUAUACAGGUUUUACGGUGAGGGGUUAUUACUUUUGAUAAUGAACGGUUUUGAAAAGCUUUGUUUUUGCACACUCACACUUUCUGUUUCACGCCCCUCCAGGUUUUAGGUACGAGUGCUUGUUGGUGGCUUACAAGGUUUUGACAGAGGGUCUGACAGAUUAUCACUAAUGUAGGAUCACCUUUGGAUAUUGUAUAAUUAGUAUUAGUCCUGCUGGACUGCACUUAGGCUAUUUAUGUUCUGGUUUUGCAAUCACACUUAAUAUCGCACUUGCACCUUAUCUUAUCUAGUACUCUAGUUGGUUUGGUUUUUGUUUGUUUGCAAUUUUUUUUUAUAUUAAUAUUGCUUCCGCACGGGGCACAUGGCUAUGUCACCCUCACAUGACGGCCAACAUGCCUCGAUCUAGGUCAGGGUGUGUCAUUUGAGACAUGAUUAGGUACCGCAAAUUUCAAAAUAAAAGUGGUUGGAAGUUUUUUUUUUCCAAGUAUCCAACCACUUGUACUAUGACACCUAGUGUACCGAGUCAUGUUCUCGGUAAAAAAAAAAAAUCUCCUAUUUGCGAUACAUUUACUUUCACAAUAAUGGCAUAUUCAAAUUGUUGUUGAGGAUGGAUAUACAUUUUAAUUCCACAAUAAGCGUAUUUAGUUACUUGAAAUAUGAGAGACUACGAAUUAGAUGAUAUAAGAAUGUUACCUACUUGUUUACUUGUGCCAUAAACGACUUCCUCUUGGUCUCAUACUUGGUUGGUUGUUCAGGUACAAAUGUAACUUGCAUAUUUUCACUAUGCGAACGUUUUUAUUCAUCUAGAAUCAUCCGUUCAUGGUUAUGAUGGUAUACAAGUUUACAACUUAAAAAGUAAAAUUGUUAAGUCAUAUUCUAAAACCCAAGCGUCUAGCGAGCCAUUUGGAUUGCUCCUAAUCUAGAGGUUUGUUGCGUCUAUCAUUUUUGUGGCAAAGCUACAUUGGUGGUGGCUUUUGUGUUUGUGGUGUGUGAAGUCUAGACUUAGUUGUUUUUGGCUUUUCUUGUCAAUCUUGUAAAUAAGUACAACACAUGCUCUUUAGAUUAGUUUUCCUUAGAUGAGACUUUAGGAUACUUGGUUUAUAAAGUCGGGGUUAUGGAACAUCAAAGUGCAAAUGGUGUUGCUUCAUGACAAGUAAGGUUUGUACAUGCAUAUGCAUUUCAUGUUUAAAGUUUUUAUGCAUUAUGACAAGUAAAGUUGACCCGUCAGAAUUGCAAGCUACUUUUAUGCGAGCUGGGCAUGUAAUUUAAGACAGCCUACAUGGGUUGACUGACACCUUUUAUAUGAGAUUUAGCUUUUCAUCAUUGAUUUGCUCAAAUUGUUUUUACAUUUGACAAGUGUCAUUUUGUACUUUAUUUACAACAAUCAAAGUUUUUGUUUAAUAGUGUUAGAGGAUUUCAUUUCCUCCUUGGCUGAGAUAGAUUAUAUUUUAAAGGAGUAUCUUUGUUUUUCCUCUCCAACUUAGAUCCCCUAGAAGCAUCAAACAUUUUUUUAGGUAAAGUUCUUCAUUGAAUAAUCACAAAACUAUCCAUGAAAAUAUUUGCUUAAAUCUUCUUAGAUGCUCGUUUGUUUUAGGGUAGAUAAAUUUCAUUUUCAAGAGAGUGCCAUAAGCUCUGUGAGCUUCCGCUUCUUGUUUCUGUGAAACCCUAGCAACAUACACCUUUUUCAUGCCUUAAACUUGUGGUAGCUCACCCACAUCAUAUUUGAAAAAGGUUUGCAUUGUUCAUGGUCUAGAUUUUAGUUUCAAAUCAAUAGAUCUUUAUUUGGAUUCUUAGUUAGUUUCUUAUUUCGACUGUUUAACUGGAGAAACUGACUUGUCAUUUGAAUCCACAUCUCAUAUCAUCAUCAUUAUAUCAUUUUGUAUUGGACGUGUUGCUCUCGGUGCCACAAGGAGAAGAGUUUAAGGUUGGAGUUGCCUUCUUGUAAAGACUGAAGACGGCUCCAUCUCAUGCAAAGUAAGGUUACACAAAAGUAAAGCUGCUUCAUAGAUUAGAUCUUGGAAAUGAGCUUGUUGUGGUACUUUGUAUGAACCUUGUUUACACUAGUGCAUUAGACUUAGUAAAGUCCCCAGCUUUUUAACUGAGAGGUGGGUCUUUUCGAUAAAAAAACUUCUUGUGUUCUCUGUUAGUUACCCUUGUUCGCAUAUCUUAUUUAUUAGCAUAUGUUACAUGCAUCCUAUAGGUCGUUAUAUGAUAUGUGUUUGAGACUAAGUUUACAUUGCAUAUUUCGAGAGACUCUGCUAAGAAUGCCCUCUCGGAUGUGAAGAAAAGUUGAGCAUUUUUUUUUAUUUGCAGGUCUGCUUGGCUGUGGAGGAUGGAGGUCGACAUAUAUAUGAGUUUCCCUAACAACAAGUUGUAGUGCUAUUCCUUUACCCUUCUUGGUCAUAGCAAUGUAGUGGGAGCUGCAAGCUUCACGUGUUUUAACUUUGUCAGAGCACUUUGAAAAAGUGGUCUGUGGUAUCUGGAAAGCUGAUGUUGCGUGUGAAGAUUGUAGACAAGUUUUAUCCAAGGAAAUUAGGCUCUCAAAGUUCGGAGAGCGGUGCCUCUUCGAUUUUCAAACAAGCAAUUCUGUCAGGGAUCUGGCUUUCAAGAUUCAGAGAACAGUGCCUCUUCGAUUUUUGAGAAAGCAAUCCUGUUGGGGGUCUGACUCUUGAGAUUCAGAGAGCAGUGUCUCUUCGAUUUUUGAGAAAGUAAUCCUGUUGGGAGUCUGGCUCUAGAGAUUCGGAGGGUGGUGUCUCUUCGAUUUUCGAGCACGUAAUCUUGUUGGGAGUUUGGCUCUAGAGAUUCGGAGAGCGGUGCCUCUUCGAUUAUUGAGAAACCAAUCAUGUUGGGAGUCUAACUCUUGAGAUUCGGAGAGUAGUGUUUAUUCGAUUUUUGAGAAAGUAAUCCUAUUGGGAGUCUGGCUCUCAAGAUUCGGAGGACGGUGCCUCUUCGAUUUGUGAGCACAUAAUCAUGUUGGGAGUCUAGCUCUCGAGAUUCGGAGAGCGGUGCCUUUUUGAUUUUUGAGCAAGCAAUCUUGUUGGGAGUGUUUUCUCGAAUGUGAGUAAAGGUUGGGCAUUUUUGCCAGUCUGCCUUGCCACGGAGCAUGGAGGUUGACACACAUUGGGACUUUCUAGUUAUCAAGCAGUGGUGCUGUUCCUUUACCCUUGUGGAUAAUAGUAGGGUAGCUGGACCUUCAAAAUUUAUGUGUCUAAACUUUGGCAGAGAUCUUUGGCAAAGUUAUAUGUGGUACCCGAGGAGCUGAUGUUGCGUGUGGAAAGUGGUGCCUCUUCGAAAUCCGGAGAGUGGUGCCUCUUCAAUUUUUGAACCAAUGACCCUGUUGCCCUUUCUUUUAUAAGGGCACCAAUUGUGUGCAAGGAGUACAUUAAGAGAGUUAUUGCUUGUAGGAAUUUUCCCUUUACUUCAGAGAUUUAUUGCACCUCAUUUCUCCUUCAUCAUUUAUGAGAAUAUCUGGUCCAUCCGACCGUUGUUUUGACUUGAACUUUGGUGAAGAGGUAGCCAUGCCUUCUCAAGACAACAUAUGACGUCCAUCUUUCUUAUCCCUUACUGGUUCUCUUAUCGUUGGAGACUCUGUGAUGAAGAAUGAUAUGACCGCUGCGGUGGUGGCUAGGAACCUUCUCACUCCCAAAGAUAACAGACUACUUUCCAAACGGUUUGAUAAAUUGGCUGUUAAGGAUUCUCUGGCUUUCAGUGUUCAGUGUGCAGGUUCUGUGUCUAAUAUGGCCUAACGCCUAUUUGCUCGAACCCGCCAAGUUGAAUCAUUGGCGGCUGAAGUGAUAAGUCUCAAACAGGAUAUCAGAGGGCUCAAGCAUGAGAAUAAACAGUUGCAUAGGCUCGCACAUGACUAUGCUACAAACAUGAAGAAGAAGCUCGACCAGCUGCAGGAAUCUGAUGGUCAGACUUUACUUGAUCAUCAGAGGUUUGUGGGUUUGUUCCAAAGGCAUUUAUUGGCCUUUCUGGGCUUCUGGUGGAUUUUUUUCCUGCUUCUGGGUUUUAGUGACUGAGCUCCAAAUAUGCUCUAAUGAUGACUUAAAGGGAACUUCGGUCAAGCUUUCUUGUCCCUUGGGUUUAUUUUGAUCGUGUAUGUACUUUGUAACUUAUCAGAGAUAUCAAUUCAAGCUUUGCUUCUGGUGCAAUGUAUCUUUUCUAGGGCUCUACAGCUGUUCUUGACUUUCUUUGAGCAACCUUUGUGUGAAGCCCUCUUUGUUUGUUUAUUUUGAUUCAUAUUGGCAUCAUUGUAAAUAUCAAUAUUCUAAUUUUUAAAGAUAUCAUUUGAUAAACAAGCUUGCUUCAUUUCAAUGUAUUGUGUUAAAUACACAAGGCAUUCUUCACUAAUUCUUUGUUUAAUUUUUCCUUUUGUUGAAGCUUGUAUGUUGAAGCUUUGUGAGUGAAGCAUGUAGGUUGAGUGCUAUUUAAUUUUCCUAAGUGAGGAAAACUUCUCGUUUGGAGACUUGAAAAAUCCAAGUCACUGAGUGGUCGUGAGACUUCCGAGUAUCAAGGUGCAGUAGCAUAUGGUAAGAGUCCCCCAAAUCUUCGAUCGAGGGAGUUGACGAAUGAGGCAUUUCCUUUUCUAAGUGGUAGCCCAAAACUCCUUCUUCUUUCAUACAUUUGUUAUGAAAGUUGUUAGGCCCAAAGAAGAUGAGGCCUAGGCAAUUUUUUUUUCGAAUUUUCGAAUUUUUGAAUUUCCGAAAAAAAAAAACAUAUAUAUAUAUAUAUAUAUAUUUUAAAGCUUUGUAGGUGAAACUUUGCUGUUGAAGCUUUGUUGGGUACCAUGAAUUGAUUUUGCUUUUUGCUUCACACUAACUUGAUCAAGAUAGUGUGAAGCUUUUGUGUUUUUGUAGGUGAAGCUUUUGUGGGUGAAGCUUUUGUGGGUGAAGCUUUUGUGGGUCAAGCUUUUGUGGGUCAAGCUUUUGUAGGUGAAGCUUUUGUGGGUAAAGCUUUUGUAGGUCAAGCUUUUGUGGGUCAAUCUUUUGUGGGUCAAGCUUUUGUAGGUGAAGCUUUUGUGUUGAAGCUUUUGUGGGUGAAGCUUUUGUGGUGAAGCUUUUGUAGGUGAAGAUUUGGAGUUGAAGCUUUGUAGGUGAAGCUUUGGAGUUGAAGCUUUUGUUGGGUACCAUGAAUUAAUUUUGCUUCACACUAUCUUGAUCAAAAUAGUGUGAAGCUUUUGAGAAAUUGUAGUUGUCCUUCAUUGAUCAAGCUUUUGUGGGUGAAGCUUUUGUGUUGAAGCUUUUGUAGGUGAAGCUUUGGAGUUGAAGCUUUGUAGGUGAAGCUUUGGAGUUGAAGCUUUUGUUGGGUACCAUGAAUUGAUUUUGCUUUACAUUAUCCACACUAUCUUGAUCAAGAUAGUGUGAAGCUUUUGAGAAUUUGUAGUUGUCCUCCAUUGAUGAAGCUUUUGUUGGUGAAGCUUUGGAGUUGAAGCUUUGUAGGUGAACCUUUGGAGUUGAAGCUUUGUAGGUGAAGCUUUGGAGUUGAAGCUUUGGAGUUGAAGCUUUUGUUGGGUACCAUGAAUUGAUUUUGCUUCACACUAUCUUGAUCAAGAUAGUGUGAAGCUUUUGAGAAUUUGUAGUUGUCUUCCAUUGAUGAAGCUUUUGUUAGGUACCAUGAAUUGAUUUUGCUUCACACUAUCUUGAUCAAGAUAGUGUGAAGCUUUUGAGAAUUUGUUGUUGUCCUCUAUUGAUGAAGCUUUUGUUGGUGAAACUUUGGAGUUGAAACUUUUGUUGGGUACCAUGAAUUGAUUUUGCUUCACACUAUCUUGAUUAAGAUAGUGUGAAGCUUUUGAGAAUUUGCAGUUGUCCUCCAUUGAUGAAGCUUUGUUGAAUUUCCCAAUAUUUUUUUUUUGGGAAACUAGAAAUUUGAAAAUGUGGGAGAGACAACAUAUACAAAUUUUGCUUCCACACUGUUGAGCAAGAGAUUGUGAUGCAAGCCACACCUUGUGGUAGUCGAAGGUUUGGAUGAACCAUAUAAAUUGAAUUUGCUUCAAACAGUCUUGAAUUUGCCUCGAAGGUUUGAGAAUUGUAGUUGCCCUCCAUUGAUAAAGCUUUUGUUGGCACCAUAAAUUGGUUUUGCUUCACACUAUCUUGAUCAAGAGUGUGUGAAGCUUUUGAGAAUUGUGGUUGAACUCCUUUGAUGAAGCUUUUGUUAGCACCAUAAACUUGUUUUGCUUCAUACUGUCUUGAUCAAGAGUGUGUGAAGCUUUUGAGAAUUGUGGUUGCCCUUCAUUGAUAAAGCUCUUAUUGGCACCAUAAAUUGGUUUUGCUUCAAACUGUCUUGAUCAAGAGUGUGUGAAGCUUUUGAGAAUUGUGGUUGAACUCCUUUGAUGAAGCUCUUGUUGGCACCAUAAAUUGGUUUUGCUUCACACUGUCUUGAUCAAGAGUGUGUGAAGCUUUUGAGAAUUGUGGUUGCCCUCCAUUGAUGAAGCUCUUACUGGCAACAUAAAUUGGUUUUGCUUCACACUGUCUUGAUCAAGAGUGUGUGAAGCUUUUGAGAAUUGUGGUUGCCCUCUAUUGAUGAAGCUCUUGUUGGCAUCAUAAAUUGGUUUUGCUUCACACUGUCUUGAUCAAGAAUGUGUGAAGCUUUUGAGAAUUAUGGUUGAACUCAUUUGAUGAAGCUCUUGUUGGCACCAUAAAUUGGUUUUGCUUCACACUGUCUUGAUCAAGAGUGUGUGAAGCUUUCUACGAGAUGUAGUGUUUGCAUUGUUACAGAAGGGAAAUGUUUGAAGCAGAUGCAAGAUGGCUGAAUAGCUUGAUCUUUGUAUGCCAUGCACUGAAGUUGUUGUUGGCUUGCAAUAAGACUUUGUUGGUGACUAUAACUCUUGUUAGGCAUAAGUGCUCCCCUAGUUGAGUUGUCAAGCUUGAGGGUUUUUGAUUAUUUGUGAAUGCUAAGAGUUCACAUGUACAAGUUGUACCACUCGUCUUCUGGUAGGUGGAAUGAAUGGUGAGUUACUUUCAUCACUUGGUUGAUGGUACGAAGGUGAGUUCCUUCUUCCCCUGGUUGGUGGCAUCAAUGGCAAGUUGCCAAAUGAUAUUAGAGUACGGGUUGUACAUUUCAUCACCUUGUUGGUGGCAUGAAGAUGAGUUCAUUCUUCACCUGGUUGGUGGCAUGAGUGGCAAGUUGCCAAAUGAUAUUAGAGUACGAGUUGUACAUUUCAUCACCUGGUUGGUGGCAUGAAGGAGAGUAUGGGUUGUACAUUUCAUCACCUGGUUGGUGGCAUGAAUGGCAAGUUGCCAAAGGAUAUUAGAGUACGGGUUGUACAUUUCAUCACCUGGUUGGUGGCAUGAAGGAGAAUACGGGUUGUACAUUUCAUCACCUCGUUGGUGGCAUGAAGAUAAGUUCCUUCUUCACCUGAUUGGUGGCAUGAGUAGCAAGUUGUCAAAUGAUAUUAGAGUACGGGUUGUACAUUUCAUCACCUGGUUGGUGGCGUGAAGGAGAGUACGGGUUGUACAUUUCAUCACCUGGUUGGUGGCAUGAAUGGCAAGUUGCUAAAUGAUAUUAGAGUACAAGUUGUACAUUUCAUCACCUGGUUGGUGGCAUGAAGGAGAGUACGAGUUGUACAUUUCAUCACCUAGUUGGUGGCAUGAAGAUGAGUUCAUUCUUCACCUGGUUGGUAGCAUAAGUGGCAAGUUGUCAAAUGAUAUUAGAGUACGGGUUGUACAUUUCAUCACCUGGUUGGUGGCAUGAAGGAGAGUACGGGUUGUACAUUUCAUCACCUGGUUGGUGGCAUGAAGAUGAGUUCCUUCUUCACCUGGUUGGUGGCAUGAGUGGCAAGUUGCCAAAUGAUAUUAGAGAACAGGUUAUACAUUUCAUCAUCUGGUUGGUGGCAUGAGUGGCAAGUUGCCAAAUGAUAUUAGAGAACGGGUUAUACAUUUCAUCUUUAUACAUUAAGGUUGCACGAUACCACCGGAGAAGAUUAUCAGAAGGGAAAUCGAGCGGUCGAGCAAGUGUUCAACUACAUUAAGUGCCCUGAAAGCUUCAGCAAACAUGAUAUUGACCGAAGCCCCUGUGUCUACCAAGAUUCGUCGUACUUCAAAGUUGGCUAUGUGAGCUUCCACGAUCAAUGGGUCGUUGUGAGGGUAAAUGAUACCUCUUUCUUCCUCAGUGUAGAAACAUAUUAGAUCCUAGUUAGGCUUUUGAUACUUACCUCCCCUGAUGUCUUCCACGUGAAACACUUGGUGGCUAGACCUUAAAGCUCGUUCAUUAUUUUUCAUGGCCCUGUUGGAAGAUUUAGAUAUAGGUGUGCCACCACUUAUGGAAUAUAUCACAUUUACCUGGCGUUGGUUACGGUUACCCCUUGGAGGGUGAAGAAGGAAUUGACCAAUUUUUCCUUCACAUGCCAAAGCUUUAAUAUGAUCACGAAUGGUGAUACACUUCUCGCCGUCAUGGCCGUUAUGCUCGUGGUAGCAGCAAAACAUGCCUGUGUUCUUCGUGGGCUUGUAAUUCGGGUGCCUCGGCUUUGACUUCGGUAUCAAGUGUGCUAUGCUGGGGUAAAUGGCCACUCAUGUGGCGUUCAAAGGUGUGUAUGCCUCAUACCUCGGGGUAGGGGCUGUCCUGACAUGUGCUUGACCCACUAUGUUGACUGCCUAGGGUCGGGGAUUGUCAUGGCGAUACCCUUGGUUAUCACGGUAGUGUCCCUUACUCCUUUUACUAAAAUGAGACUGGUGAGGAUGGAAAUCUUUCUUUUUGCCCUGAGAUUGAUAUGUCUGUUGAUUUGGCAAAGUAUUAAGUAAGGCAGGGGGAGGCACCGCUGCCGUUUGGAAGGUCGAGGUCUUCUCAUUUCGUUGGAUCUAGCUUCCACUCCCUACUUGCUGAUAAGGGGUGGCUAUGAGGGGUUUCCCUUGAUAUGUCAUUGCCUCGGCGGAGGCAUGGCUGUUAGCCUAUGCCAUCACCUCAGAGUAAGUCUUCCAAGUGUUGGCAUUGAUUAUGUACUUGAAGAAACAGUCACGUAAGCCUGCCGUGAAGGCUUUGAGGGCAGUCUUGUCGUCUGCCUCGACAGAACGGAAUACUCAUGGCUGAAGCGGCCAGCAUACAUACGUAAUGACUCGUCUGGCUUCUAGCGAAUAGUGUACAAGUCGUCCGUAGAGUGCAAGCGAUCGGUCUGGAACAUGUGUUGAGAAACAAACAGUUUCCUCAAUUCCUCAAAUGAGUCUACCGUCUCAGGUGGAAGACGGCAAUACCAGUUUAGAGCUCCACCAGAGAGGGUAGAGGGGAAGAGAAGACAUCACUCUUCGUUGGUAUGCAUCCGGUAUGCUAUGGUAGACUCAAAAAGGUUAAGGUGUUCAAUCGGGUCCUCAUUUCUAGUAUAGAGUUGCAAGCAAAGCUUCUGCUUUGUCUUUGCUUAGAGGAGGGUGUCGAAGAUCCUACUUGUAAGAGGGCCAGGCCUAGGUUGGUUCCAAUCAGGUAUCUCAGCUUGUCGUUCGGCCUUCAACUUGUUUACUUCCUUAAGAAGUUGUAGGACAAGAGGGUCCUGAGUGGAGUCAUGUACCACUUGAGCUUUCUUUCGUAAAUCUCCAUCUCCUCUUGGAAGUAUGAAGGUUUGAUCAAGAGCAUGUGAUUUUUCCCUGGAUUCCCCAUACUGACUUCCAAGGUAUGUUUGUCGGAACAUCUCUGAGUCCCUUAUACCUUCUUGUUUCUUUAGGACUUGCUGCCCCUUCCCCAAAUUGGUAGCCGGCCUGGAACAUGGGAGGGGACCGAGUCUUUUAGAGACCCUUAGGUCAUUGAUCUUCGAGCUUACAUGGAUGAAAUUGUCUCGACGUUGCUUUAGGAAAUCUUGACAGUCGCGAAAGACGGCUUUCGAUCCUUCCACUCCUUCUGUAAGGAGGUGUCUUUCUCCACUUCUCCUAUUUCGGGUCGAAGCAGCUGGGUUGAGAGAAGUCUCAUGUUGAUCAAUGUUUUGAUGAUUAGCUCGUUCCUCAUCAGGGAUACCCAUGUCGAAUGAAGGCGACCCCCCGUGUUAGGGGGCACCCAGAUGAUGAUUGAUGUCCACAUGGGUAACGAGCUCGCGUGUUUGAGUACACCUAGUUUCGUGGAGCGUCUCAAAGAGCUUCUCAUAUUGCUCCUGGAGGACCUCAUUCUUCAUUGCUAUCUUGUUAUUCUGAGCUUCUAGCUCAUCGACUUUAGCUUGAAGAGUAACCCUCUUUCCUUCCUUCUUUUGUCCUCGCACCAAGUGCAAGAAGGGUGUCAUUCUGCGUGUUGUGGCUUCCUUCGCUCCCCAUGUUAGAGAGGGAUGCCUAGUCAAAAAAGAAUGUACAAAUGGUGGAAACCAGCUUAACAAAGCUGAAGAUAGUGGGAAUAAGUGUCGUUCCCACAGAUGGCGCUAAAUGUUGAUGCACAAAAUCAGUGAGGACUUUGGUUCAACAGAAAGUGUUAAGUUUGUAACCUUCGCUAGAUUGCUCCGGUCACUAGUGUGGAUAAGUAAGUAAAAAUGGAUAGGGACAGGGAAGCAAACACAAGAUGUACGUGGUUCACCCAGAUUGGCUACGUCCACGGAGUAGAGGAGUUCUCAUUAAUUAUGAAGGGUUUGCACAAGUACAUAGGUUCAAGCUCUCCUUUAGUGAGUACUAGUGAAUGAUUUAGUACAAAUGACAUUAGGAAAUAUUGUGAGAGAAUGAUCUCUAUUUAUAGAAGAGAGUUUCUAGUUUCAUUCUGACUUUGACACGUGUCGUGUUGUGAUUGGCUUCUGAUAUUGACAUGUGUCGCGCUAUGAUUGGCUUCUGAUGUCGACACGUGUCGCGUUGUGAUUGGCCUCCUAGUUAAAGGGAAACUCUUAUGGGUCCUUGAAGGUAUAACUUUGACCGGUGCUCAGUAAUUUCGGAAUUGGUUAAGUAUGGUACAAACAGGACAUAUAUGUGAAUGUGUUCCAAUUUGUGAUUUUUUGUUGUUAGACAGAUCUAGGUAGACUCUGACUAGUUAGACAUACUAGUCAAUUAAGUUUAGUUCUUGCAACUAUACUUUCUGUCAUUGAAAAACUUGUAACUAGUUAGCUAGCUCAUUUAAAUAGUCUAUUGUGCAAAGUUUAAAUUUUUAUUAGCAGGAUAUUCCGCCUAGUACCAAUUUGAAUUGGUAUCAGAGCUUUGCUCUAGUUAUACAUAGAGUAAUCUCUGAGAGUUACUAAUAUUGAGUAGCAUCUCACCAUUGAUUGUGAUCGUGUUACUGGCUCUUAUAACUCACCUCCGUUCUUUGUUGGAACGGACUAUAUGCCGCAUAGAGUGAGAAGUUCACCGCCACGCCCUCUUUAUUCCAUCGUUUCAUAAAUACAUUCUAACAUGCUCUAACGAUUACACAUACAAUAUGGCAGCUACCCGACAAUCACAAGACAUAAAACCUUGUACGAUGGAUGUUAUACCCAUUAUUCCGUAAUCUCUGCUAUAGCAUUUAGUUGCAGAAUAUAAAGAUGACAGACACUGAUCAGAUUGUAAUGAUAAAACUGCCCACUGCAAAAACUCUCUCGGGUCGGUGACAUAACCAGUCAAAGCUGACGCAGCAGCCGUAUAGGGGGAAGCGAGGUAUAUCUGGUCUUCCUUGUGACCCAUUCGGCCUGGGAAGUUCCUGUUUGUUGUUGAGACGCAUACCUGCAAAGACAAAAUGGUUAAUAAUCUACCAGUAUUUAUUGUCAAUACAAUUGAAACUAAAACCAAGAUUUCUCCUUGCAACAAGGUUAUCUGCAAAUUGGUUAUGAACCCCCAAUGGCAGGGAAGUCAGUCCCAAUUCUAUCGAAGACGACAGAGUGAGAUGCAACAAUGCGUGACGUCCAGCUGCCCCAAGACAGGAGAGCACAUUAGAUCCUUAUGAAUGUGUUGCAGAAAGGAUGCACUCGCCUGAGGUUCAUUUAAGCGUGCAUGCCUGUCUUUCGGACCACCCAUGCAAGCACCGCAAUUGGGACUUGCAGGUGUGUCACAUCCAGCUUCCUCAAAUAUAUGGGAGCAAGUCUUGCCACAAGACCCUGGAACUGGAAGACUAUACACGUCCAUCCAAACCUGCAGAUUUCAGAAUAUACAAUAAACAAGAUUUCAUUUAUCGUGCCUUUCAUAAAAUUUCUUGAUAAAUUUAUAUAUACGGAUGUUGUCACCGAAGUACUUAAUUCUGUAGCUUGACAAACCUUUUGGGUAGCAGGCACAAGAUAUGUGGGAACUUUGACCUUUUUCCCCUGCAGCAAAGGAAUUAAAUCUUUAAGAUUAAACCAAGAAAAGAGAAUUUCCAAAAAAACAUUCAGAUGUCGAUUGAAGUCAGCAUUAUAGCAUAUGCAUAUUAUAAAAGGGAAUAUAAAUGAAUAAAAGAAGGGAAUAAAAGAAUAUGCAUAUUAUAAAAGGGCAAAUGAAUUCCAAAAGGCACAAGAAAUGUGGGAACUUUGACCUUUCUCAUUAAUACAAAUGAAUUCCAAAAGGCCAAAUCUCACGCAUCUUAAGUAAGUCAACAGAAGGAAUAAAAGAAUAUGCAUAUUAUAAAAGGGAAUAUAAAAGAAAUGCGUAUUCGAAUCCUAAAUAUGCUUAACAUCCAAUUCUCUUACCUCUGUUGUAGAUUUACAAAUGAUGAUAAGGUAGUUCGUGACAACCUAAACUAACUACAUAAGAUGAUGACCACAUAGUACAUUAAAUGUGACAGUUAUACUUGUAUAUUUUAAAAAAGAUGAAUAUAGAAUGAUGUCUCAUCUACUAACAUAACAUUGUCAAAAUUCAAAUGCACCAUCAAUGCUUCAAAAGUCCCUCAAAACCAAGGAAGAAAAUAUCGGUAAUAUCGGAAAUAUCGGUAGUCCGAAAACACCGAAAUAUCGAUGGAAAUAUCGGGAUAAUAUCGAUAUCGAUAAAAAUUACAUGGAAACCACGGAAAUUGUAAGAAAAACUUGGAAAUUUUUAUUGAAACUUUGCAGGAUGUUUAUUUAGUCAAUUAUCUAUUAGUUUAUCACAAAAAAUUGGAAGGAAAUGCAUUGCAUAAUGGAUUUAACAUUAUCAAGUUGAUUAUAUAGCGAGCUGAUAAACAUUUUGAGUGUAGAAAAUCUGUAGUAAUUAAUGAAAGAAGUCUAAACACACCAUAAUAAUAUAUAUAUAAUGAAUUAGUACAAUAUUUUACACUUUAUACAUUGCAUUUUGGUUCUUCUCUGACAGAAUUUGGUCUUCACGUGGAGAAGAAGAUAAAGUAAGCAGAUAUUUUUGUUCUUCUCUGACAGAAUAUUUGGUUCUUCUGAGCAAAGUCACUUCCAAUUAUCACACACAUAACCAUACACACACACACACACAAAACCAUGGUUUCAUACAAAACCGUGUGCCACACACACACACACACACACACACACACAAUCUCUCGAUCCUUCUCCCUCAUUCCACACACACACGCACACACACCCUCCCUGUCCUUGUUUCUUCUCCAGUUCUCCCCCCUCCCCCCAAUCUCUUUUCUGCAUAUCUCCUUCCCAGAGGAGACAGACACACACACACCCCACUUCCCCGUGUUUCCCCCUUCCCCAAUCCCUCGAACCUUCUCCCUCAUUCCUCCUUGUUUCUUCUCCCCCCAUUUUUGCAACUCUCCUUCCCGGAGCACAGCCACACCACACCCACACGAGGCGGAGGAUCCAUCAAACCCGAGCGGGUUUUGGGAUCUGGAGAGAAGCGGAGGCAGCGGACACCGGACGAUGGACCGGAACUCAUCGUAGUCGUCGGUGAGGAGGACGACGUUGUCCCAGCCGUCUUGGAUUCGUGAGGAAGACGACGUUCCCAGGCUCCUACUUCUCUUCUUCUCGGCAUGUAAUUUCAUUUUUGUACAGAAUUCGAAUUUUCUGCAUGUAAUUUCAUUUUAGUACUUAAUUCGAAUUUAGGGAUUUAGGGAUUCAGUUAAUUUGCUUUGAAUUCGAAUUUGGGGAUUUAGGGAUUCGGUUAAUUUGCUCCGGUGUUCUUCUCCGAUUAGCAUAGUGCCAAAAUAUCCCGAUAGUUUCGAAAAUAUCGCGAUAUUUUGACGAAAACCAUUUGGAUAGUUAAAAAAAUAUCGGACCCUCAAAAAAACGAUAAUAUCGGCGAUAUUAUCGAUAUUUUCUUCCUUGCUCAAAACCAUAGGAAAUACUAUUUUAAAUAUAUGACAUAAAAACGUUAUUAAAUCUAAAAGGAACAUAAGAUUCUAGAGUGCAUGUCCACGUUGAAAGCAAAAUACAUGCUUCAGAGUUCAAACGUUAUAAACUGGAUCAUGAAAUGGUCUAAUAAAAUGUGGAUAAUCAGUAGCAUACCUUGCUUUAGCAUCACUGUAAACAGGUUCAUAGGGAACAGACGUCUUAUCCUGCGGUUCAACAUUAAACAUCAUAUAGCCUGUGCUACACAACACAAAUGUAUGUGACAUUCAAAAAGAACAAAUUUGUGACAGCCACCCACUAAAAAAAAAAGAAAAAAAAAUUAAAUAAACGUAACUGUACCAAGAAAAUGUUGUGCUCCCAACUCUAUUUUACUGACUCUAAAGGAGGAGGGGAAAGAGAGGGAGAGAGAGCCAUCGUAACAUUUGAAGAUUUGUAGCACUAACCUCAAGGUAAUUAAAUGUAGUGCUAUCAGCAGGAACAAUACCAUUUUUACCUCCAGCCUCAAUAACCAUGUUGCAUAAUGUCAUUCAUUCUUCCAUCUGUCCAGCACAGGUUUGUGAAAGAGUAAUUAACAGAUACAACAAGAUGAAUGGUAUGAUCAUACAUGCAGUAAAAUUCACUUACAGAUAAGCUUUCAACAGUGCUGCCAACAAACUCCAUAGCUUUAUAUGUUCCACCAGCAACAGAUAUUUCACCAGUAAUCUGCCAGAUGAAAUUCAUUUAUCAAGGAAACAACAAGGCUGGAUGUGUUAUAUAUCAAGCAAAUAAAAUCAUAUGAUCUGUCAAGCUCUUAUAAUUUUAACUUCUUUGUAUGCUAUGCAGACUGAGUGAAAAAAAAAUGCCUUGAGAACAGUUAAACUUACUUACAGAAUCAAAUCUUUGUCAAGCAAAUAGUCGGGCAUUUCACCAUCCAUCACAAAUAUCAAUGUUGGUGGCACCUGCAAUUUUAGAAGGAAAUCAGAAAAGUAUGAAAAUACAAUAAAAUUCACAGAAAUUACUGCAAACAAUUAUAACAUUAAAGUACGACAUAAAGCAGUACUGCAGAAAUUGUGAAUCAACAGAUACAACGACCUCGAUCACUCAUAGCUCAUACUGGAAAGAGAAACACAUUUAGCUUAUCAAAAAGCAUAAUUCUCCCUUUUCGGUUCACUACAUGGAGUACUUUCCUGUUUUCUGAGUUUUUACAAUGUCCAAUGAUUUGUUUUGAGACAUUCAGACCUCAGAUUGAGAGGCUGCAACAUGUACCCUUCUUGAUAUUGCCUUCAUGAUCCCAAUGAACAAUAUCAAAUAAUACAGUAAAGUUUAAUGCCUUUUAUAAAGUCUAACCCGUAGCUUCAAAAAUCAAAGGGAAACCAAAUGAAAACCCCACUUCCUAAUAUUAGAACAUAAUAUAAGAUGAAAACAUCUCAACUUGGGCAUGCAGACGUGGUACUUGUGCUUAAUAAAACUUGAGUGUCACAUGCAAAUGGUACUAGAGCCAGUUGUUUCAUAUGGCAUGUAUCUAAACACCUCACACAACACUUGCUUCCAGGACAUAUACAACAAUCUAAAACUGUAUAAAUCAAUCUACAUCAACCAUUUACUAAAAUCCUUUCAUGUGCACAAUACCAAAUUUUCACGAACUCAUCAUGCCUGCCAGUGCACUUUCGAAAACCAUCACCACCUUCGUGAUCACACUUAAACAAGAGUAACGAAGGCAGAAAAGUACUGCAACAAGCAUUUAAAUCGUAUUGGUUGUCACUACCUACUAUUCAAAGCCAUUUCAUAUUGUUUUCCCAUCACUUAUUGCAACAUAAAUACUACUAUUUUCUACAACUAAAUACAUAGUUCUUGAUGUUUGAAGUCGAAUACUCUGCCAAAAAUCAAUGAUUCCAUCAGUCUGUAGAUAUAACAUUUCUGAUGGAAGAUCAUGAUACCAAUGACAAUGGUUCAUUAACCCUUCAUUUAUUACAAAGAAGUUAGAAACUAAUUAUUACCAUCACAAUUUAGAUAAAACAAAAGAAAAGGUAAGAAACAACUCCAAAACCAUUGAAGCACUACGGUGUUACAAUGGCUCAAAUUUUUUAUGUGUAAAGCACAGUAUGAAAGCUAAACAGGGUGAAAGGGGCCAAUAUUCACCAAUAUUAUAUUAGUGGAAGCUAAACUAUCUGUGGAAUUAAACCAUUCGCGUGAACUCCGCCAGAGAGUGACAAUUAUAUGUGAUCAGAAAAGCAGAAAUGAAACAUAUUUAAAAUCUAAAAAACCUUGAGCAGAAGAUUCCCAGUGCCUACUACAAAUCCUGCAUCAGAUUUCCCGAUUCCAGUAGCAAAUUGUCCAAAAGCUCCAGCAGUACAUGUAUGAGAAUCUGUACCCAGCAGAACCUGAAGACCAAAUCAGGUGUUUGGUUGCUGCUUUGGACUGAAAAAACCAUAAAAUAAUAUUGAACUCUUCAAAUGAACGUACCUCCCCUGGCCUGCAAUGACCUUCUUGAGCAAGAGCAACAUGGCAUACGCCCUUAUAACCUGGGUUGGCCUGGCAAAUUGCCAACUAAACUCAAUAUCUGAUGAUUAAAACAAUUAAAACAUGGUGAAAACAUAUCACUUAAAAGCCACACCUUGAAAUUACUUAGAUCCUUGAUAUCAUAGAAAUACUUGAUGUUUUGCUCCGUGCACAAAUACCUCAAGAUAUCCACACUACGGUUUGCACGUUCAUCAGUUGUAAAUAUAUAAUGGUCAGGUAUGAUUACAACCUUUUCGUGGUUCCAAACCUGCAAUAGAAAAACAAUGAAGCACUAUUUUACCCCAUGACAACAAAAACUGCAGUGAUUACAAAAUCUCAGAUAUGAAAAAUAGACCUUUUCUGUUAAAGUUGAUUUGUUUGUGGUGUUUUUGGUUAUAAUUUUGGAUCGGUUUCUUGGGGUAGAAUGGCAAAGAAUUGAGAGGAUAUUGGAGUGUUGCUUUCAACUUCAAGGUUGUGCUAAAAAAAUGCAGCAACCAUACUUCAUUAAGUAGGGAAAAUGUGUAAGAGUAUGGUACAUUUCCAUCACUCAUACUUGUGUAAAAGAGUUGGUGAAAAGACACUAUUUAAAACACUAAAUCACCUUACUACUCCAGAUUAAAUCCUAGCCCUUCAUUGGGAUUUAAGUAAUUUAAUCUGGAGUGUACAUUUGUCAUUCACACAUUUAAACAAAACUAGCCGGUUUGAGGCCAACCCUUCAUUUCUUAUUCUUCCUUUUUCGAUGCAGACAACACCCUUUGCUCAAGAGCUCCUUGCUGCCUUCAACCCCUCGACUCCAGGAGCUGGUUAGCUUCCAACACUCCCUUCUAAACUGCUUCUAGGAGUCAUUCCGAGCAAACCACUCAGGUAACUGAAUCUCUUCUUUGGUAGUGCUGUUGUGAAUAUGUCUGCGAUCUGAUCUUCUGUGCUGCAAUAAAUUAGUUUGAUUGUGUUGUCCUACAAUGCCUCUCUGAUGAAAUGAUAUCUUCUUUUGAUGUGCUUUGUUCUUUGAUGAAAAACUGGGUUUUUGGUCAUGGCAAUUGCAGAGGUGUUGUCACACAGCAGUGUGUGGCAUCAACCUGUAAUUCUCCAAAAUCCUUGAGUAUAAACCUUAGCCAAAUAGCUUGAGCCGUUGCUUCUGAUGCACUCACGUACUCAGCCUCGGCUGGGGACAGUGCAACACUUUGUUGCUUCACAGAGGCUCACGAAAAUAACCCUGAACCAAAGGUGAAAGCGUAGCCCGAUGUGCUUUUGCUAUCAUCUUCACUGCCACCCCAGUCACUGUCACAAAAUCCAAUUAGAAUAGUUGACUUCCCCAUUUCAUACUUGAUCCCAUAAUCUAGUGUUCCUUACACAUAUCUCAGCACUCUCUUAGCUGUGCCCAUAUGUAUCUUGCUAGGAUUCUGCAUAAACCUAGAAAGUAGGCUUGCUGAGAACAUUAGAUCCGGCCUUGUUGCAGUUAGAUACAAUAGACUGCCAACAAUGCUUUUAUAGAGACUAGCAUCUGCAGGUUCACUUCCAUCCUCCUUCUUAAGCUUCUCAUUUGCAAUUAGGGGUGUAGAGACCGGUUUGCAACCCUUCAAACCAAACCUCUCAAGCAAAGUUUCAUCAUACUUCUUUUGAUGAAUAAAGAUGCUACUUGCUUCUUGAAUUUCCCCAAUGCCAAAAAAAUGAUGCAAGAGGCCUAGAUCAGUCAUUUCAUACCUCUUCAUCAUCUCUUCCUUGAACUCUUCAAUCAUUGCAACAUCAUUUCCAGUGUAAACAACAUCAUCCACAUAGAUUGAGACAAUGAGUGUCUUGUUGCUUUCUGUCUUGGUGUAGAGUGUAGCUUCACUAGGACUUUUCUGAAAUGCUUUCUCAGUGAAAUAGGAAUCAAUCUCACUGUACCAAGCUCUUGGAGCUUGUUUUAGGCCAUAGAGAGCCUUCCUUAGCUUGUACACAUUCUCUGGAAACUCUUGAUUUGUGAACCCUUGAGGUUGUUCUACAAACACCUCAUCCUCUAGCACUCCAUUUAGAAAUGCAGAUUUGACAUCCAAUUGAUGUAACUUCCAACCCUUCUUGGCUGCUAGGGCUAUCAAGGUCCUUAUGGUGUCUAACCUUGCUACUAGAGCAGAGGUUUCAUUGAAGUCUACACCUGGUUUCUGUGAGUAACCUUUGGCCACUAACCUGGCCUUGUUCUUUUGCACAAAACCAUCUAAGUUGAGCUUCGUUUUGUACACCCAUUUCACUCCAAUCACAGGCUUGUCACUUGGUCGAUUUACAAGUUCCCAAGUGUCAUUCUUCUCUAUCAUUUCAAGCUCUUCAUUCAUUGCUUUCUUCCAAGCUUUGUCUUUCCCAGCUUCUUCAUAUGUUUCUGGUUCUACUACACAGUAAUUACAUGUAGCAUAAAUCUCAUCCAGGUUUUUCAAUCUCACUGAAGUUGAACUUGGAGUUGUUAUCUGUGAUUGACUUGAUUGUGGACUCAUAGUAACUUGCUGUGAAGUCCUUUGUAUGUCACCAUUAUCUGUGACUUCUUCUUGAACUGAGGUCUCCAUAGGCUCCCUUGUUUGCCUUUUGUUUAGGUCAAGUUGUAGAGAGACAUUAUCCUUUUCCUCUACCUUUGUUUCCCAGUUCCACAUUGAGUCUUCAUCAAAGAUAACAUCUCUUGAUAGGAUUAUCUUUUGAGUCAACACAUUAUAAACUCUGUACCCUUUCUCACUGGUACCAUAGCCUACAAAAACACCUUUGUUACUUGAUUUCUCCAACUUGUGCCUUAGUUGGUGAGGGAUGAAAGUGUAGCACACUGAGCCAAAUACUCUCAGAUGCUUCACAGAAGGCUUCCUUCCACUGAACACUUCGAAUGGUGUCUUCUCGUCCAGUGCUUUAGUAAGGCACCUAUUCAAUAGAUACACUGAGGUGUUCACAGCUUCACCCCAUAAUGUAUAAGGCAUGUUCUUCUCAUGCAUCAUAGACUUAGCCAUUUCAACUAUAGUCCUAUUCUUCCUUUCUGCAAUCUCAUUCUGUUGUGGUGAAUAUGCCACAGUGAGUUGCUUCUCUAACCCCACAUCUUCACAGAAUGCAUUGAACUCACAUGAGGUGUACUCACCUCCCCUAUCACUUCUCAGUCUUUUGAUUUGGUAUCCACUUUGCAAUUCCACUAUUGCCUUGAACUUCUUGAAUAUUGUGAAUACCUCAGACUUGAACCUCAUGAAAUACACCCAACACAUUCGUGAGUAGUCAUCAAUGAAGGUUAGGAAAUACCUGUUUCCACUGAUUUUUGUUGUUUUCAUUGGUCCACACACAUCUGUGUGAAUCAAUUCGAGUGGCUUUGUUGCCCUCUAAGCCUUGCCAACUUUGAAUGGAUCCCUGUGAUACUUCCCAAAUGCACAUCCUUCACAUGUUUCAUUGCAGUGAUCCAUCUUAGGUAUCCCUUGUACCAUUUCAUACUUUUGUAGAUUUUCUAGGCUUGUCAUGUUUAAGUGACCAAACCUCUUAUGCCAUAGUUCUAUAGAACCUGUCACACUUGCUUUCCUUGUCACUUCUUCUAAGUACUUCAACACAAGUGGAAAACUUCUGUUUAUCACUUCUACUUUGGUCACCAAAUUUGAUAAGAAUCUGUCAUCAUAGAUCUCAACCACAGUUCCCCCAAAAAGUAGGAAAUACCUAUGCUUCAUCAUUUGACCCACACUAAGUAGGUUUUCAUCCAAUCCUAGCACUAGCAUCACCUCCCUUAUGCAUCUUCUUCAUUUCUUGGUGUUGAUAACCAGAGUUCCUCUUCCAGUGGCCUUGAUAAUGUUUCCAUCUCCCAUUUUCACUUUUCCAGUGAAGUUUGUGUCAAUGUCAAUGAGUAAUGACUCAUGUGCAAUCAUGUGGUUACUGCAGCCACUAUCAAUCUACCACACUUCAUUGUUUUUCUCCACUUUUGCACUGAAGGCACAGAACACAUUUGCUUCUUCCUGCACUUGGUUUGCACAGUUCACUUGCUGCACAUUCUUUGAUCUGCAGUCCUUCAUAAUAUGCCCAAACCUGUUACAUUUGUGGCACCUAGGCUUGUCUUUGAACCAACACUCUCCAAGAUGAAAUUUGUCACAAUGUUUGCAUUGUUGUUUGGUUCUUGGACUUGCAUUAAUGUUGCUGCCUUGGUUAGGUCUAGAGUUGGGAAACCCUUUUCCUUCCCAUUUCUUAUUCUUGCUCUUCCACUGUGGUUUCUGAUUGCUUGCACUAGCUUGAUUACCAGAUCCAACAUUGAGCGAUUGAAAGGCUUUCUCAGGUGUAAAAUCAGCAUGCCUCUCGAGUCUUUGAUCAAAAGCUCUUAAGGAUGCCAUCACAUCUUGCACACUGAGAGUUUUAGUGUCUUUGGUUUCUUCUAUAACACUCACUAUUGAAUCAUAGGGUUUAGUCAAACUAAUCAACAGUUUUUGAACAAUUCUUUCAUUAGGCAGUUCCUCACCAUAUGUUUUCAUCUUGUUUACAACAUCAAACAACCUAGUGAAAUAGUCUUUUAACAGCUCAUUUUCCUUCAUUUUUGUAUACUCGAAAUCUCUUCUAAGGGACUGAAGUUUUACCUUUCUAACUUUAGUGUCUCCUCUGUACUCUUGCUGUAAAACUUCCCAAGCUCCCUUUGAAGUCUCUUCAUUUGCUAUCCUCGGGAAAAUGGUGUCUGAGACAGCACCUUGAAUAAUUCCAAGUGCUCUAACAUCCUCCAUUAGAUUCUGCUUCAGUGUUUUGAGCAUAGGAUUUGAGGCCAAGUGCUCUAGAGCAUCGAUCUCCAUCUCAGGUAGUUCAUACCCGUGUUGAACCAUAUCACAUAGAUCAUAGGAUUUGAAAAUGGUUGUCAUUCUUAUUCUCCAAAAAUCAUAAUUCUCCCCAUCAAAGACUGGAGCUUUUAGCUCACUGCUACUGCUGGAUCCCUUCAUUUUCAGAAUUGUUUGUUGGUUGUUGUUGUUGAGGACACUUCGUUGGUGCUCCCAAAAGUCUUAACUUUCACAGAUUAUGCCAAGAAAUAUUUUUUAUCAGUAACUGAGCUCUAAGGCCAUGUUAAAGUUGAUUUGUUUGUGGUGUUUUUGGUUAUAAUUUUGGAUCGGUUUCUUGGGGUAGAAUGGCAGAGAAUUGAGAGGAUAUUGGAGUGUUGUUUUCAACUUCAAGGUUGUGCUAAAAAAAUGCAGCAACCAUACAUAAUUAAGUAGGGAAAAUGUGUAAGAAUAUGGUACAUUUCCAUUACCCAUACUUGUGUAAAAGAGUUGGUGAAAGGACACUAUUUAAAACACUAAAUCACCUUACUACUCCAGAUUAAAUCCUAGCCCUUCAUUGGGAUUUAAGUGAUCUAAUCUGGAGUGUACAUUUAUCAUUCACACAUUUAAACGAAACUAGCCGGUUUGAGGCCAACCCUUCAUUUCUUCUUCUUCCUUCUUCGAUGCAGACAACACCCUUUGCUCAGGAGCUCCUUGCUGCCUUCGACCCCUCGACUCCAGGAGCUGGUUAGCUUCCAACAUUUUCAAUAAUAAUGAACACAUACAGAGAUGAUGAAUGGUGAGCUAAAAAAUAAAAAUAUGUCAAUAAGCAAUGAGUUAAAUGCAAAUGAAUUGCUUCUUUCUUUUAUUUCUGUGACUAGUUAUGGUUAUUCACUAAGAAAGUAGUAAGAGAGGACCUGUAAGUUGAUAUGUUUUAUUGGCAGCAGAAACGGGCAUGUGGACUAUGGCAACAAAAAACAAAGACAACGUACUCAUUUCUGCCAUCCACCGUAGGGUUCGGUCAAGCUUCGCUAUGAUGCUGAUGUUCCUCGACUCUUGCAGUGAUGUGCAGAAACCAUUUGGAACACAUUCAUGCAGAAUGUUUCUUGCGGAGCUGGCUAACCCAACACAUAGAAGUAGAUUCUCUAAUGUGAUCAUUACCAUUGCCAGAAGAGUCAACAACUUGAUUAAUGAACUUAUGACUUCUGACUAAAUAUUUAUACCAACCUCUUUUCCUUUUUGGUUUGUAAAGCAUGUCUAGAUCAGCAAACUAAGCUAUUCAAACCCACAGAUAUGGCUUCCGAUGGUACUGCUAGUUUUUUGGGUGUUUAAUACAGUAAUGCAUUUAGAAAAACAAAAAAAAGAAAAGGAAGUACCUUUGCGUUCUGGCCGAACUCUUUCUUGAAGAUUCCAAAUGAACCGGGGCCGCAGACGUCAUGGGUCAUCAAAACGUCGACAUCAACCCAAACAUUCUCACCCGGACUCAGCUGGGUUCUCUCAGAAGCUCGAGCAAAUAUCUUCUCAGUCAUCGUCAUCCCCUUCUUAACCUGAAAAUUAACCAAAAAACCCGCCAAAUGGAGAUUCUCAUCAAUCCUAAUCGUACAAAACAAUGAAAAAAAAAGUUCAUCCUAACCGAGCCGGUGGUGGCGGGCUUGUGCUCCGAUUGCUGCGGAGCCAUGACGGAGCAAAUUUUCUUGGAUUUUCUCUUGCAUUUCUGACUGGAAAUCGGCUUUGCGAAGGAGAAAGCAGAGAGAUUCAGAUCCUUCUGAGGUUGAAAUCAAAUUCAGCAAUGGUUUAGUGAAAACCCAACAACAAAAAUUGGAGGAAAAAAAAAAAGUUGGAGCCAAAAAACAAAGGGGACCUUGUUGCUUUUGAGUUAUGAAGGAGGUGGACGGCGGAGCAGCGGUGGAGCAAGCCAUGGGUGUCAGAAUGCAAGUUUAUGCGGCGUAACUCUGAUGUCUCUGCAGAAGAAGAAGAAAGCGACGAAGAAGUGGAAGAGUUGUGUUUUGGUUUUGCUACUUUGUGGGAAGCGGCGGCUGAGUGGCGUGUGUUUUGGAGUGGCUGUGACUGUGAGGCAGAAAUGACAUGUGGACGUGUGUAGUUGGUGUUGCUUUAUUUUAUGUUGUCCGGAGCGGGAGCUCGAUCAUCUGCGACAAUGCAGCAGGCGACCAAACUUACGUAGCAGCAAAAUAACAUGCGUUUCCUGCAACUUAUUACAUUUUAAAUUUAAAACAUAGAUUAGUGUACAGUAUUAUUUGGCAACGGUUAUUAACAUUUCAAAAAUCUCAUUUUACACUCUUCACAAGUAUAAUUUUUUUACUAAUUAUAAAAAGUUUGAAGUGUAAAAUGAGAUUUUUUUAGUGCAAGGAUAAUUUUCUAUUAUUUAUUAAAAAAAUGAAAAGCACAAUUUGUACCUUAAAUAUAAGAAUGAUGAUAAAAGUUGACCUGAUAACUAUAAUCAUGUUAUAAUUAAAAUGUAAAAAUAUAAAUAAAUAAUGUGAUUGUUGUAUCAACUCACAUGUUGCUUCAACCAUUCUGAAAAAUCUUUCUUGCUUAGCUCCUGAAUUUGUCGAAUAGUUAACAUUUCUUGACGAUGUUUCAUUUUCAAGAAUUCCUCAUGUUGCCUGGGCAUUUAUGUCCAAAUUUAGAUAAUUAAUUUUUCAAAGUUAAGAAAACCAAUAAAACAUUAAGACGUAAGAUUAAACGUUCUUACCUUUUAAAUGGGUUAACUUCAUUACAAUUAUUUAGAAUGUAGUUAUGGCACUGAUCAAGAACAUUUAGAUCGAGCUCCACAUUUUCUCCUGAACCCAUAUAACAUCUUUUGGAGUCAAAAAUUGAUAACCCACCAGACACUCCACGUCCAAUACCAUCUUCAUUUCGGCCUCUACGGGUGCGACGAUACUCUACAUCUCUAAGAUACAUGGAACAGAAGGAUAAGCACUCAUCCACCAAAUAUGCUUCAACAAUAAAACCUUCAGGACGACCCUUAUUACGAACAUAGCACUUCAACGUUUGCAAAUACCUACAAUUAUAAAUGAAACACAAAUUAUUAUAAUUAUAAAUUAAAGCUAUGACUACAAUUGUAAAAAAUUUAUAAAAAUUUAUUAACUACCGUUCAAUUGGAUACAUCGAUCUAUAUUGAACAGGCCCUGCAAAAGCUGUUUCAUCUGCCAAGUGAACUGGAAGGUGCACCAUUAUAUCAAAAAAUGCAGGAAGGAAUAUUUUUUUCAAGUUGACAUAAUGUCAAGGCAAUUCUUGAAUUCAGUUGCUUGAAUCUUUCCUCAGACUCCUUCUUACUACACAACCGUCUGAAAAUUACACUCAACUCUAAUAAUACCAUAGUAACAGCUUUAGGCAAAACCGUGCGUAUUGCAAGCGGGAGUAACUGCUGCAUUAAAACAUGGAAAUUGUGACUUUUCAACCCAUGUAUUUUUCGUUCAUUCACGUGCACACAUCGCGAUAAAUUUGAAGAAUAUCCAUCGGGGACCCGAAUGGUAGACAACACUUUGCAAAACGCAGUUUUUUCUUCUCUUUUCAACAUGAACAAUGCUGAAGGUAGAAAUGUUCUAUUUCCUUCUCUACAUGGGUGUUGAAUACGUCUUAUGUUCAAGACUUCAAGAUCUACACGUGCAGCUAAUCCAUCUUUAGACUUUUCUAUAUCUAGCAAUGUUCCUACCACACUGUCACAUAUAUUCUUCUCAAUAUGCUUAACAUCAAGAUUGUGUCUAAUCAACAGAGGCCUCCAAUAAGGUAGUUCAUAAAAAUAGAUUUCUUCUUCUACUGACUGUUACUACUUGUACUGCCCGAAGUUCUUUUUCUGCGUUGCCCAACAGAAGCAUCUUUGUUUGGUUUUCCAAAAGUAAAUCUCAAUCUAGAAAGUUCUUCGAGACACUAUAAACCAGUCCAUUGCCUUGGUGCACUACGAUGCUCUCGACGAUCAUUAAAAUUUAUGGUUUGCCUUCGAAACUUAUGAUUAUCUUCAAGAAAGCGUCGAUGCCCCAUAUAACAAAUCUUACGACUCGCCAGCAAAUAAAUAGAUUCUUCAUCAUGCAUGCAAUGUGGACAGGCUUUAUAGCCAUGUGUACUCCAUCCUGACAACAUUCCAUAAGCCGAAAAAUCACUUAUAAUCUAUAAGACAGCAGCUUUCAUCGUAAAACUUUGGUUGGAAUAUGCAUCAUAAGUGGGAGUGCCCACCUCCCACAACUCAUUCAACUCGUCAAUCAGUGGACACAUGUAUACAUCAAUCUCUUUACCAGGACUGUGCGGUCCUGGUAUUAAUAGAGACAACAACAAAUUUGGUUGUUUCAUGCACAUCCAGGGCGACAAAUUGUAAACAGAAAGCACCACAGGCCAUGUCUCAUUUUCCCAAAAGGAUUAAAUUCAUCACUGGCCAACCCUAAUCUGACAUUUCAAAUUUUUGACACAAAAUCCGGAUAUAAAUUACCCAAAUGCUUCCAUGCUGGAGAAUCUAAAAGAUGCCUCAUAAACUCAUCCUUAGGACAUUCAGUUGCAUGCCACCUCAUAUGUUCAGCCGUAUGCUUCGACAUAAAAAAUUGUUGCAAUCAUGGUUUUAAAGGAAAAUACUACAUAACCUUAGCUGCGAUCUUUUUUCUCGAGCUAUCCUCUGCGUUGGUAAUUUUAUAUCUUGAUUCACCACAAACCGAGCACACGGUCAACUCCGAAGUAUCUUUCAAAUAGAUCAUGCAAUCAUUAGGACAUGCAUCAAUUUUCACAUACAUCAAACCCAAAUCAUUUAUAAGUUUUUUUGCCUUAUAACAGGAUUCAGUCAAACAAUCUCCUUCAGGCAACAUUCUUUUAAUUAACUCCAGUAAAGUGGUGAAGAUCUCGUAUGGCAUUCCUGUUAAACACUUGAUUUGAUACAGUCUUACAACUGCUUCCAAUUUCUUAAACUCUUUACAUAUUGGCCACAAAUCUUGAUCUAUCUCUUCAAGCAACCUAAAAAAAGUCUCCACCUCUUUUGGACGCCUUUCCCCAAUAGGGGGUUUAGUAGACGGCCCAACACCUUCUUCUGUUAAUGGUUGGACAAAUACAUCAUUAAGAAAAUCAUGCAUACCAGCCACCUCAUCUCCUGUUUCUUUUUCUCCGAUUGCCACAUUUUGCUCUCCAAUGUUUUUCUCACCAUGAUGUCGCCACCAAGCGUUUUUAUAAUCUUUAUCCAUAUCAUACAAUAUGAGAUGUUCAACACAGUGUUCCUAACAAAAGUAUAUCGAUUACAACAUCUUUUGCAAGGACAUCUAAACUUAUCAGGGCCAACACCAUUUGCAACUGCUUGGUCCGAAAACAAAUUAAUUCCAGCUGUAUAAGCUUCCAAAUUUCAAGCUAUCGUCAACCAACUCCUGUCCAUGUUUUACCACUUUACGAGGGCAAAAUAUUACGUUGACACUAAGAUGCCUACAAUCUUUCAAUCCUUAUCAUGUAGGCAUAACUAUUAGAAUUUUCAAUUUCUAUCUUUCAACCCUCGAACUCUAUCACGAUUGCAAUCUUUAAUUUUCAAUACCUAUUAUAGUAAAAACAAAUUAAAAUAACAACAAAAAGUUAUCAAAAUUAUGUUCAUCUAAUCCAUUCUAGUAAAUAACAACCAAAAGUUAUCAAAGUUAUCAAAAUAACAACAAAAACAAAUUAAAAUAACAAUUAGAGUGCAAAACAAAUUAAUUUAACAUAAUAUAUUCUUAUAUUACUAAAUAUUAUAAGUUUAUGUUAUAUUUAAUAUGUCAAUUUUGUGAUAACCCGUCCCUAAUUUUAAGAGUUUUUAAAGUUUUAAUAAAGGAUUUUACAAAAAUGCCCUUUGAGGCACGCACAUUAUUCGAGGUUAAUCGUUGUGUCGUGCCAUCUAAGAUUUGUUUUCUUAACAUAUCCUCGUAGUACUCGUCGCUACGGGCGUGUGGGCGCUGACGGUUCAUGAUUUGGAGUUAUAUCAAAAAAGUUAUUAACGUUUGAAAUUUGGGAUUUUAAGGAAUUAUAAUUUUAGUAAAAUCCAGAAUUUCUUUUAUGAAAAUGGACGGCCCAGAUUUAAUGAAGAAUGAAAUGGAUGGCUUGGAUGUAAGAGAAAGAAAAUAAAAAUAAAAAGAUGAAAGAAGGUUUUGUGUGUGUGUGUACGUGAAAGGAAGAAGAAGAAGAUGGAGGAUUGGGCAAAGCUGCCCAAUCGGAACAAGAGAGAGGGAGGAGUUGGGCCAACCAGAAAGAAGAGAAAGUGGAGGACCAAUCAGAGGGAGAAGAAAGGAGGAAAGGAGAGAGGGCGAGAAGCGGAGGAGAGAAGGAAAGAAACGGGUUUUCCCCCAACCCGUUUACCAGCGCACCCACCUCCAUUUUCCGACGAUUUUCACCGGAUUUCUCACGAAUUGGAUCAAGGUACCACUCCCAAUCAACACCUAGGCCUUCCCUCUUCAUGUUUCAACCCAAAAAUCAUGAAAUUUGAUGAUGAUUUGGUGAAAACCGCACCCGUGGGUGCCUCGACUUUUUGUUCAAAUCUUGAAAUGUUUUCUUUCAAUUACUAACACCAUUAGCAUUCCCCUAGGACCUGGAACAAAGCCCAAGCAUUGGUUGGGACGGCGGAAUUGAUUUGAAGGUCGAAUUGAAAACACCAAAUUCUAGGGUUCUUCACGGUUUUGGUGAGAUUGGAGCUCUUCCAGGCCAAAUUGGCCUUGGCCACAGGUAUAAAGUUUUCUCUACUCAUUGAGAUCUUCAAUUCUGUAUUUUUUGAGAAUUUUUGGAAAUAGUUGGAUUUUCCGGCAAGCCGGGGCGGCCAACCGCCACCCGCGGUGGCCCGUGCGGUGGCGCGUGGCCAAUGGCCCUCCAAUAUCAUUCUUGGCAUGUGCUUAAGGUUCUAGGUUCAGUUUUGAUAAUUGAUGGACGUAAAUUGAAUAAUUGAACCUAAGUUCGUUACGAUUCGUGGUUAGGUGAAAAUGUGAAUUGACGAUCUGACCGUUGGAUCAUCACCAAACUUUGAUACGUUGUAAUACGUAAUAUUUGAGGAUUAUAGGAACUUACGGAUUGGAAAUACGAUUUACGGAUCUUCCGGAAUUGGAGUUGUAAGUUCAUAAAAUAGAAUGUUAACCGUCACUUGGUUUUGGAAAUUGACGGAGAUCCGACCGUUGGAUGGUAAUGAAAUUUUAGGAUGUUGUCCUAGAGGUAUAUUGUGGACCUCUGGAAGUUAUGGAUUUCAAAUCUGAGUUGCAGAUCUUCCAGAUCGAACUGCGUAGUGAUGUGUUUUAUAUAAGUUAUAUUCUAUCGAUAUGAUUUCUGAGGUUGGAUUUGAUUAUUGUUCUAGGCGCCGAUCGUCAUGACGCCUUGAUGUGUUGUGCUAGGGAGUUGUUGGGCGAACUCCAGGUGAGUGGGCAGUACUUUCUAUUUAUACCUAUAUACUAUGAAUUUUCCCAGAAAUUGAGUUUUAAUGAAAGUAUGUUUCUAAAAUGCCAUGCAUGCAUAAUAUGAAUGAUAUGAAUGAUAUGAGUUAUAUGAAUUGAUAAUUGAUGCAUAUAUAUAUAUAUAUAUAUAUAUAUAUAUAUGUGUGAAUUGGUGUUGUGGACGCACAGGUAAGUAUCAGGGGAGUUUUAUAUUAUUCAUGUGAAUCAUUGAUGAUGUAUAUUAUGUUGAUAGCUCAUAACCUGCAAUCAUGGUGUUAGUGCUUAUAUUAUUCACCUCGCACCGCACACUCACUUUGGAUCCAAGUAAGUGCAUGUCGUACAGACCAUGAGAGGGUUCCGACAUGUCGUACAGACCAUGAGAGGGUUCCGACUGAUAGGUGACCUUAGAUUAUGUGCACAGAUGAUUGAUGAGAGAAGCACUAGAGCGUAUUAUUACACCAUUCAUGUCAUACAGACUACUUCAGGUAGUUCCGACUUAUAUGCAGUGUAGUGCCGCACAGGUCACCGAGGUGACUCCGGUUGGAUUGGAUGUUGAGCUAUAGAAUUAACCGUACAAGACCAACUGCAGGGUAUCCGGUUAAUUCACCAUUUCACCUAUUACAUUGAUGCAUCAUUCAUUCUGUUUUUGAAAUUAUAACAUGGCAUACUUUCUGGUUUUUGAGAAAAAUUGAUGAUUUGAGAUUUAUGAAAAGUAUAAUGCUAUUAUGCUAUUUUCUGGGAAAGUAUACAGGUUUUACAGCGAGCAGUUAGAAAUGUUUUAAAUGAAAAGUUUUCGAAAAAAUUUGUUUUGCUGACCCACUCAAUUUUGUUUUGCGCCCCUCCAGGUUCUAGAUAGCAGAGCUUUGGUGGCCACGAGGAAUCCAACGGUGUUCUGACAGAAUUCACAAAAGUAGGACUCACCCUCGGGUGUUUCAUCUUAGUAAUUGUAUUUUUAAAGCUUCCGAACUGUGUAAAUGGUUACGUCACUCUCACGUGACGGCCAGCAUGCCCUCCUUCGGGACGGGGUGUGUCAAAUUUCACAUAAAUGCUUAUAAAUAUUAUUCAUUUCCAUUUUCUCAUAACAAUUCAAGUGACAAAAUUAAUUAAUUCGACUAAAUAUUUAUUAAUUUAACAAAAAUAGUAGAAAUUUAUCUAAGUACUUAAAUUAGAACUUUUAAAUAAAUAAACUUGUGUAUUAUACAAUUUAAAAAUUAAAGAAUUUAGUGAUAGAAACCUGAAUUAUGGAAGAAUUCCGGCGUCGAUCAAAUCUUUAUGUACUUAACCAACUCAAAUAAAUUCCCUACAAAAAUAAAUUGUAAAUAAAAAUUAAACAUGAGUGGAGAAAAUAAAAAUAUUAGAAGCAAGAAAAACUUACUGUUGUGAAGAAUGAACAAAUGAAGUAGGAAGAACAAAUAAGAAAGGUGCAAGAGAGAAAACACGGGGAGGGUUUGAAAUUGGAAGAACGAACAAGAAAAAUGCAAGAAAGGAAGAAGAAAACACGGGGUAAAGUAUAUAAAUACCAUUAUUCUGUCACUUGCAACCGACACCGGGUUUUAAAAUAUUUAAAAAAACUAAAAUCUAUGCCGCUCAGAACCGACGCAAGCUUUAAAAUAUUUAAAAACAAGGACAAGUUUGUGUGGCGUCGAAAUAUGGACAACUUUGUGUUGGUUAAAACCGAUGUUCCCUGACAGUCUUGACAGUCGUAAUAGGCGGCCUCGAAAUAGAACAAGUUUGCGUCGGUUCAAACUGACGUGAGCCUGACAUGUCAGUGCACUUGGAUGUGGCGUCAAAAUAAGGAAACUUCUGCGUUGGUUAAAAACGACGCCAACACUCACUGAAAAAUCUCUUCCAGUCGUUUGCCCCUACACUCAUAAUUUAUGUUGCUUAAAAGCGACACCAAUAUUUAAAAAUAUUAAAAUGUAUGUUUACAUCGGUUUAAAAGCGAUACUAGUAUUUUAUGACGCUUAUAAGCGACAGUAAAUCUGACGUCAUGUUCAGUUAGUGUCGCAACUGUCUUGUCUACCACUAUAUUAAAUUAAACCGACACCACCCACUGACACUAUAAGACCAUUUUGUAGUAGUCUGUAGUUUUCAUUGAAGUUUUAACCAAAUUUACUCGUGUGAUUGUCAUGUGGAAGGGGUAAAGCAAAAAGUUUAGCGUAUUAGUCAAACUUUUACUAUUUUAUAUAAUUAUAUAUUUAUACUAAUAGAUCGAAUGAAAAUUAGUUUCAAAUUGUCGUAUAAGAAAUUUGAACUUAAAACUUCUUACUUGUCAUUUAUAUGUGAAGAAAAUAUCAUCAUAUUAUAAUAUUAUGUGAUAAACAUUAUUUCAUACUUAAACCCUUUUAAUGAUUUUUUAAUGAGACACACAUGAAUAAGAUUGAGCAAAUUAUAUGAGAAACCCGAUGUUGAUGGCAAGUUUUUUUUUUUUUUUUUUUUUUGGCUUUUGAAGGUACGUAUAAAACUCCGAAGGAUGAUAUUGAUUUAUCACGAAGCCACAUUCAGGAAUUUAGAGAUGCCCAGCCGGAAAAAUCAAGGGAGAAUGAGAGCUGAGGGAAGCCCUCGACGUCAGUAUUUGUUGGGCAAAACGUUCGGUGGAAACGUCCCAGUUUUGGGACUUUGAAUAUUAACUGUGAUGGGGCAUGGAGUGGAAAAUCGAUGUUAGGUGGCUAUGGGUGGGUGGUGAGAGAUUUUGCGGGACUUUUGAAGAUGGCUGGUGGGUUGGGGGCCGAGUUUUUUAAUGGUGCAAAUAUGGCGUAGCGCCGGGGGUAGCUGCAAUUCGUGUAGCUUUGGUGAUGUGCAGAGACUUGAAUUAUGAGAUGGUAGAGAGAGAGUCUAAUGCUCUCUUACAAGUUACAACAUGAUAAAUGGGGAAUGCUCUAUUGAUGCAAGCUUGGAAUGUUUCAUUUUUUAUAUUAAGACAUUGGCGUCUCAGAUUAGAGAGGUGGAGUUUAUGUAUGUUAAUAGGAGUGGUAACCUCAUUGCCCAUGCAAUGGCUUCCUGUGCUACCUCGCGUGGUGGUUUGUUCCAGUGAGAUCUUAUGGCCAUAAAUUCUUUUUUUAAUAUUCUUGCAGAAGAUGCAAAUGUUUCUAUUAGAAUUUAAUAAAAUUUAUCCUUUGACAUAAAAAAAAAAAUCUCUUAUUAACAAAUUUAUUGUUAAUUGUUUUGUUUAAUCGGCAUAGCUGACAUUACCAAAAGAGAGUAAAGGAUAAUUGAAGAUUAUAGUAGUGCUAUUUGAGGAGAAAUUUUUGUGUGUAUUGAGAAUACGGUCCGGUAUGUAUUGAGACUACGGUUUGGUACAUUAAGUAUGUGGAUUUGUAUUCACGAUGGAGUAGAAGGAAGACUAGCAUAUUCUAUAACCAUGGCGGAGACAAGAGUGCAUGGACUAACCUAUUUGGUUGUAAUCCAAAGUAUCGUGAGAUUGUAGUCCACAAUGGCCAUUUGUUUGCAUUGGUCGGGGACCAAUAAGUUCUUGUUUGGGACUCAGUUAAACUAAAUAUGGUAAAUACAAAAAAUAUAUAUGACAAUAUUCAGGAAUUUUUUGUAUAUUUAUUAAUCUUCAAAGUGGAGUUACUAAUGGUAUUACCUAUACACUUCGUCAAUGUGGGAUAACAUAUUACUAUUUACACCUUAACUAAUAUACAACUCGCAACACUCCCUCUCAAGUUGGAGGAGCAAAGAUGUCACACAUGCCCAACUUGUCAAGCGAGUUGGAAAACACACUAUUAGACACAGCCUUAGUAAGCACAUCAACGUGUUGAUCUUCAUAUCCCAUAAACAGAAACAAAAUAAUUCCAGCAUCCAAUUUUUCCUUGAUGAAAUGUCGAUCAAUCUCCACAUGUUUUGUUCGAUCAUGCUACACUGGAUUAUAAGCAAUCUCAAUAGCAGCCUUGUUAUGACAAUGGAGAUUCAUAGCACCCUUGCGUUUAAAUCUAAGAUCUCUUAACAAUUUUUUCAACAACAACUCACAUACACCAUGAGACAUACCUCGAAACUCAACUUCAACACUUGACGUAGCCACCAAUUUUUGUUUCUUGCUUCUCCAAGUAACUAGAUUAUCACCCACAAAUGCAAAGUAUCCAGAUAUAAAUUGCCGGCCAGUGAUAGAACUUGCCAAAUAUGCAUUUGUAUACCCUUUGACAUUCAAAUGAACAUUCUUGGAGAAAACCAAGCCUCUGUCAGGAGCCAUCUUCAAGUACCUCAAAAUACAGAUUACUGCAUCUAUAUGAGCUUCACUAGGUGAGUACAUAAACUGACUUACCACAGUAACUGCAUAAGUAAUGUCAGGGCGAGUGUGAGACAAAUAAAUUAAUCUCCCCACAAGCCUCUGAUACCAUUCCUUAUGAGUAGGAACUUGAUCCGGAAAUAAACCCAUACAAUGAUUCUACUCAAUCGGAGUAUCAAUAGGUUUGCAAUCUAACAUACUUGUUUCAGCUAACAAAUCAAGAACAUACUUCCUUUGAGACAGAAAAAUACCAUGUUUCGAUCGUGCAACCCUGAUUCCAAGAAAAUAUUUCAAUUCACCCAAUUCUUUCAUCUCAAAUUCAUUAGCUAGGUACUUUUGAAGGCACUGUAUCUCAUUCUAAUCAUCACCAGGCACUAUCAUGUCACCAAAAUAAAUAAUCAAUACAAUUAGCUUACCAUUUUGUCUCUUGGCGUAGUGAAGCUGAGGUGAGUCUUGGAACGGUUCAAAGAUUUCGCAACUAAGGUCAUAUCAUAGACCUCCAAGAUAUUGCGAUAUCCCUAACAGUAAAGACAUAACCAUUUGGCAGCAUAACAAACAAGACAAGCAUCAUUAUGAGGAUCAAGGGGGUCGGUUGGCUCACGAUACAUUGGGAUAAGCCCAAUCUGUAGUACCUUUCAUAGAAAUACAUCUUUAAUACCAAUUCAGUGGAUGCAUGUAGGCGUGGUGUUGCAUCUUUACCAAUAGAUCAACAGCGAAUGAGAUAUCAUGUCUAAUGCAAUGAGGCAAGUAUAACAAAGCGCAAAGGUUGAACUCAGAUAUGGAACUUCAGAUUCCAUAACCUUUUCAAGGGUCUCAUUUGCAUAUAGCGUAUGGUAGAUCAUGUGUAUACUCAAAGGUAACACCUUCGUGGUGUAGUUCGAUUGGUAGCCCAAAAUACCGUCAGAAUAAUGCUUGAACUUCAUAUCAAGGCUUAAACGAGUUUUUCCAAGAUCCAUCAUCUCAAAUUUUGUCUUCAGGUACGAGGCAAUUUUCUCAAGCUCUUCCAGAGUCUUAGUGAGAUUUAUGUCAACGACAUAAACUGCAACUAUAUCAAUUUGGAAUAAGACUUCAUAGUUUAACACGCAAGGGGAUUCAUUCAUAUCCCUAAUUGAUCAAAUAAUCACUUAGAUGGGUAUACCACAUCCGGCCACAUCCGCCGAAUUGCUUCAAUCCAUAAGUGAACGCCUUAAAUGAGUUGAUAAGGUGUUAUGUGGUUUGGAAUUAUUUGAACCAGUCCAUGUAAUUCUUCAGGAACUUAGGCGUAAAUCUCCAAAUUAAUAUCCCCAUGGAGAAGCACUAACCAUAUUCAUAAUGCUACUGUCAAUCACAAACAUUGCACUGUUUCGUUCAUCUCAUUACGCUUCAUUUCUUACUUGUAACACAACCUUGGGCAGUGUAGGAACUACAGGUCCAAACACACCUUGAUAAGGAAUUUAACCUGGUUUGAGAUUUCGGUUGUCUAAUUAGUUCUACGUUGUCAAUAAUCAACAGAACACAUUUUGAUAUCGUUGUUUUUCAUUUAUGUCGAUAGCUAACAUACAAGUGAAAACAUCAUCGAUGAUAAUCUCAUUCCAAUUCCAUUAUCUCAUUCACACUAUUAUAUUGGACCAAGAACUUCAAGUCUCAGGAGUAAUCCAGAUUAAUCUCAUGAGAUAAAACGAUCGAGUAUUCUUGCAAAGGCUCUAAGGGAGCUAGUGCGCAGGAGAAUCAUAAUCGACAAAGAUUCACAUCCUUCUUUGAGGACCCAUAACGGUGCAACUUGGCACAUGGAAUGCACACCCAAAUGCGUAAAUACAAAACGUCAGGUUUGUACCUAGUAACCAACUAUAACGUCAAAUAGGUUAGGUGGUAAUGGGCCUCAAGGCAGACCAAUAUAGCUGCGUACAAGAUUGCAUAGCCCUAGACCGAAACCGAAAGCUUGGUGUGUUAACCAAGGUCCAUGCGAUCAUUGAAUUGCGCUUUAUGAUCACUCUGCAAGGUUGUUUUGCGAUGAACAUGGGAAUUCGAUGUUCAAUUAUAAACCCAAAAGACAUGCAAUGUUUUAUCAAAAAUCGUCUAUAUAAACUCUUUAGCAUUAUCUAGUCUUCUAGACUUUAUGGGAUAAUUAGGGUGGUCAACCCUUAAAAUCAACUAGGAGGUUUAGCAGCAAUGUGUGUGGACAAACAUGUGACCAUUUUGUUCAUAUAUCAACCAAAACCAUAAGUAUUUAUAUGGUCUACAUUUUGGUUGGAUUAGUCCACACAUAUUCUCUUGAAUCCACUGUGAAAAGAGGGUGAUUUUGUAUCUUUGCAAGGAAUGAUAGAAAAUCAAAUUCCCUUUUACGAGUGGGCUUGGUGAAGUGUGCGUGUAAGCACAAGAUCCUUACUUCGGGUAAGGAGAUGUUUCGUAGCACCAUUGUUAGACCUAAGUGUCCCAAAGUGUCGUGCCAAAGUAAGUAAACUACUCGAAUCGUCCUGCUACAGGCCGGCCACAUGUGGUGUGUUCCCAGUUGGGAGGCAGCAUAUUGGCCCUAAAAUAUGGCUUCGGGCUUUGUAUUUUGGAGGUGGUGCAAAGAUAUUCCACUCUAUUUUCCAUUAGUGGUUUCAUUCAUGUUUAUUGUCAUCUCGAAUAUCCUUAAAACUCAACGACGUUCUUCUCAAACGAGGAGAAUAUAAGGUCUCUCAAAUGGAAUUUAGUACCAUUCAUACAAUGAGGACCAUGCCAAUGCUCUUAAUCAAGUUGGAUAGACCUGAAGUCAGUUACUAGAGAUGUGAUUUAGGAUAAAAUUAGUGUGCAUUGUAUUGCAUUCAUCCAGACAAUUAACUUUCCCACAUUCGUACAUAAUCAUGUGUUUAAUUGAAUUCAGUCACAUGUAUUAGAAACAUGAUUCAAUUAACUCAUAUUUGAGGACAAUAUUGUUCAGAUUAUCCGUAACUAAAACAAACACCAAAUGUGAAUCCAAGAAUAUAGAAAAAUGAUCACAAAGUAAACCAAAGUUACUAAGGUGGAUUCGGCCGACAAGUUUAUUCAAUUCAAAAUUCUGCUCUUCCAACAAUGUUCGGUGACUACAAGAAUGGUACUCCUCAACGACAUUGGUAGGGGCAUGAACAGGUAUGUAACCAAUGAUCUAUUCCAUUGAGACGGAAGUAGAUUCUGUAGGGUUGAGGUUCGAGAACAAUAUCUCUUAUUCUUGAAGUGUUAGGUCUUAGGUGCCGAUCACACUUCAGGCGUGACACCACACCUUGGCAGGACCUGAUUCUAUCAUAUGUUGUAAAAACAAAGUCGAAAUUAGAUUGUGAGAGAGAGAUAGACCCAUACUUGGGUUCGAUAGGCUCUAACCGAAACUGAAGGGGUCUAUUUGGUAGGCCUCUGCUAAAGCAGAGCAAUACCAUAUCUAUCUGGCCUAGUUAAAGAUAUAAUUGGAGAAAGUUAAAAUAAAAUUAAUAAACAUAUUCAGGGAUUGUUUGAUUGAAAAGUGUUGGAAAAUAUUAGUAUUUUGGUUUAUUUGAAUGUUUGGUUUUCUGGGUUUAGCCAGUUAGAAUUAGGUUUUGUUAGAAAUUAGGGUUAGUUUAUUAUAAAUAGAGUGCUUUGUUAUUCAUUAGAAAAGAAAAUAAGCUAGUCACAAUGUAGUCUCUUAGGGUUUUGUAGUCGUUCCGGCAUUCUCGUUUGUUUAAUAAUAUUCCUAUUAUUUUGUUAGUCUUGUUCGUUGCGUACUCUGAUAUUCAACUAAGGCGAACCGAGUACACAAUGAGGAAAGUCUGUCCCAAGUAACCGAAGAUGGCAUCUACUUCCUUCCGGACUCCUGGACACCCAGCUAGUUGUUUAAAUUAAGUAUGCUAUAUAUCCUUGGCGUUCAACUAUGUUAAAGAGCCACUCCAUUUAACAUGAGGCAACAACUUCAGCAUUGUCACAGAAGCUACUGUUGGAACUGAUGACCGAGAUGAAGCCUCUUUCCAGUACGGAGCUGAUUGAACAAUAAAACGUAGUUGAUUAUUACCCGAUGCUUCCGAGUAAGCUUGCACUCCAUCACCUAUAUUGAGCACAUUUACCAGAUGCACCAGAAGUCAAGGUGCAUUUUGUUUUUGAUCUCCAGGUAACUGUAAACCUGCAUGAAUAUACAAACCCAUCUACAGAAAAUCACACACAAUCAUACACGCUUUGAAUGACAAGUUUUAAAGAGACGCGAGACGUCUAAAAUCAUAAACAAUUACGAGAAAGUGAAACAAAGAACCAAAUGCAAAUAUGAAGACAAAAAUGUAAAAGCUGACCAAGGACCAAAAUAGUGUACAACAUAUGAAUGAAAACAUCAACUGAAAUUGAUCAAGCAAAGUGAUUGACAACAAUGCACCAAUGAAAAGCAGAGAACUUUCUGAAAAAAGGUUAACUUCGCCAAAAUUAACAGCAGCUAGGAGAAGAUUCUCCAAAUCUUUAAUUUUGGCAGCCUCAGCCUUGUCCAGAGUAGGAACAAUUGGAAUGCCUUGACAAGUUCUGAAACAGUAAGCUUUUCGAGUAUCAGCCUACACUUUUUCUAACUCUCACCAACGCUCCAAUCAUAUUAAUCCUCUCCUACGUACACACAACGACUGAAACUUCUAGAUUUGAAUAGCAUACACAAAAUGCCUAAAACCCAGAUAGAGAAAGAAAAAGAGAAAGAAAUGAGGUGAUUAACGUAUUAUUAAUAAAGGAUCUGAUUAAUGUAUUAAGGGAUUAAAAGUAGAUAUUGAUCUUACUCAAGGUUUCAGUCUAGAAGUCAUUUUUGUCAAAGAUUAGAAUGAAGUUUCCUAUAAAAAUAUAUUGCUCAUAAUUAAUAUAAGUUCCCAUAAUAAGAAAUUCAUAUGUUAUCAUCUAUUCUUCAUGGGUGUGAAUUUCACCAUAUACAUGCACGUUAAGUACCUACGUUUUUAUUAUAGUUAAGUACUGAGACAUAUGUACCCAAACCUUUGCACUAAUACAUUUUUAUCGUAACUUAAGUACCAAUACAUUCGUACCAAAAUUUGUACUGAAACUUACUUACUAUGAGCUUUCUUAAUAUAAGUUUUUUUGUAUUGUUUUUAAUUAUAAGAAUUUGAAGUUUGAAUAAAUUUUCAUCUAUUAAUGUAAUUGGAGCUUAAACGAAAUACAUUAAUUGUGGAAUGGUAAAGAAUUUCGGAUAGUGAGUUUAAAAAUAAUAAAUGUGUUAUAAGUAUUUAAACACGGUGAGUCUUAAGUGGACUUGGAUUCUCUGCCCUCCCCGUGCCCUCCUGUUUGUGUGGUCACGGUUAAGCCACGUCAAUAUUUUAUAUUACUAUUUUUUUUUUUGUCUUAUUAUUUUUAUAAAAAAUAAUAUAAAAUGUUAGCAUAGAUUAACCGUGACCACACAAAACAGGAGGGCACAGGAAGAACACCGAAAUGGGAGGGCAGAGAAUCCAAGUCCGUCUUAAGUAGGGACUUGAAUUAGAUUUAGAAUACAAUUCAGCCUGGAAUUUAAAGAGAAUCUUAUUUGAGCCCUAAAAUUUAAAAGCCCAUAAAAUUUAUUUUCCUAAAUAAUAAACUACUUUUCCUAUGAACCCUCUUCACCAUGACUGCAACUACAAGCUCAGACUGCGAGAAUUCCGGCUCCUUAGCCAUGUCUUCAACUAAAAGCUCUCCAGCGUGCGCGGAAAUCACCAUGACUGCAACUAAAAGCCCAGACCCCGAGAAUCCCGACUCCAUAGCCAUGUCUGCAACUGAAAGCUCUCCAUCGUGCGCCCAAAUCUGUUUGGCCGUCUUUGUGACUGCUCUUUUACUCAUGCCUUUUCCUGUUAUAAUUGGGCUCCAGAUUCGGACCAGAAAUAGAAUGUCGGAGUACAAAUGCCCUGACUUCACCAUGAGCGGUGCUUAUCUCAGCGAAUUCAAUUACACCGAAAGCAAUCGUACUCUCUCAUACAACCUCGCCCUCAACAUCACUCUCACAAACCCUAAGAAGAAACUCUUCCACGCGUUGAUUGACAUCAAAGUCGGUGCAUACUAUCAAGACAAGAGAAUUGGUCAGGUAACGUUGAUGGAUCAGUGGAUGUCGACGCCCAAGAACACAAACGUUUUUCAGAAUGUAGUCGUUCAAGGGCACGAUAUGUUGUUUCAGGAAUCUGUGACCCCUGCAGCUGAUCUUUACAGUAUCGACGUGGUCAUUGCUUUCCAGGACGAGAACAAUGAUCGACGGGGUGAGGUCAUUUACAAUCUAAGGCUUCCUUUGAGUUCCAACGGGAGAUCUUGGGAUGCCGACAAGACUGCAAACUGCCCCAUAUAUGAUUAAGUUUAUGGGAAACUUCAUUGUAAUCCUUGAAAAACAUCUCUUUUAGACUUUAAACCAUGUGUUUAUACCAGUUUUUCCCUAUAUUAAAUUUGGGAUUCAAAAUUUAAGCAUCUUUUUUCCUAAUAAUUUAAUUUGUGAAUUUUAAAUCAUUGAUUUGUUAAGGAGAAAUUAGGAUGCAAUCCCCAACCACCAAUACCCUUUGAUUGAAAUCCUAUUGAUUUUAAAUUUUUUAUCAAAGUCCUAUUUUAUACACAUUAGCAUAUUUACAUUUAAAACUUAAUGCCACCCCUAAAUGUAAUUAAUUCAUUUCUUUUCAAAAUUUCAUGAGAUUAUUGAGAAAUAAUCUUAAUAAAUGUGUUAUUGUUGCAAUCCUAUUAGAUUAUGAAUGUGAUUGUGUAAAUCCUAGUGUAUCUAGGGAUAUCUUGAAAUAUUCCCUGAGGUUAGAUAUUAUCCUAUUAGAGUUGUAAUCCUAUUAGGAUAAGAAUUUAACCUACCCUACUACUAUAAGUAAAGGCAUAAUGGGGUGAUACAACACACACCUCAGAAUUACAUAUCUCUCUUCUCUCUAUUGACGUCGGCCCUCUCCCUCUCUAGUCCUAAAAAUAGCUUAGUAAAUUGGGCCUACAACACGUUAUUAGCACGCUCUUGCCAGAAGCUAAGGAACUGAAUGAUCAUGGAGGAGGCUCUUGUGCACAAUCAAAGGCUUAAUCAUUUUUUGCCAAUCAGGUUCUUUUAAAAUAAAUUAAGAUAUUUGAAACGACCUUGAAGCAUGAAAACAUUCCUCAUGAUGCAUCAACCCCCUAUAUUUAUAUUUUCCUUUUAGUUAUAUAUAUGGCAUAUGUGUUCAUAUAUUUUAUCAAUAUAUAUAUAUAUAUAUAUUUGUUCAUGCAAUACACAAUUAUGCUAUGUGAAACUUGUGAGUCAAAGCAUCGAAAUUAAUUUAGAAGCAAAUAGGUUUUUUAACCCUAGAAUUUUGAAAAAAAAAAGGGGGGGGGGAAACUGAGAUUUCUCGCUACUCCACGCUGCACCGUCAAGCCAACAUGGCUGGCCUGCAGCCACGCCAUCACAAGGAUAGCGUCGUGUCGACGCCAUGGACCACCUCACAGCAAUCCCGUGGGCUUGCUGCCCCUGCCAAGACAACCAGGCUUCAAACUGGGUUAGGUUACACAGGCCUAAAGCCCUGAGCCCACCAGCAAGCCUGCAACCUUGCUGGACCGUCCCCUGCAUCUUGGCCCAACCCGCAAGCAAGUCUUAUGCUUGCUGGGCUUUGUCCUAGCUCUGACCUGCCUUCAGCAAGCUUCGGCUUGCUAGGCUUGUUUCCCCAUAACCCACAACCAAGCUAGCUCUCGUUGGGCUGCACGCACCCAUCCCAGGCCAGCUCCGUGCUAGGCCUGUGCACUAGCGCCUGUUGUGGCCCAAAAACCAGUAGCUUUGCUGCUGGGCCUUUUUCCCUGUAAUGGCCCAUGGCUUGUAGCCUAUCCCGUGGCCCAAUAGGCUUUUAGGGCCUUGUCCCGUACACAGCUUCUAGCCUACUGAGUUGGGCUCCGUUUUUUUUCGAACCCAAUGCUAUUUUUGGCAUUCCCGCUAAUAUUAACCCGAAUUGUAUUAUUUUGCUUCUAUGAUCAAACCUGGAUGGUUACGAUCUAUUAAAUUAAUUAAAGUGACCAGCAGUCUAUUAAUAUGACAAUUAAUCCAAAAUUAUUGGCUUGGAGCUCACUUUUUGGCAAUUAACGAUUCAAUAAACUAUUUCUUUUCUUAGAACCAUUGACUAUCUUUGUAUUGAAGCCAAUAAAGGUUUUGUUAGAUUAGUUUCAAGGAGUAAAGACUCCUUGAUUCUUACUUUAUUAGGACUAUUGAAUUACUUAUAUCACAAACAACUUGAUUAACACGUUAUUUGCAAUCCAAAUAGAUUCAUUGGUAUUCAUGAACUUUACAGGAAAUGUUUGUGGCCAUGGACAUAUUUGCCCUCAACGUUACAAGCAGUGCAAACAUUGGAUGUGUUGGUGGCGUCUGUGGCAUAAUCGUCAAAGCAUUUGACACAAGUAAAAUAAAACUCCCUUGAUAAAUUUUUUGCACUGCCCGUUACAAAAAAGGUUUUCCACUGUAAACAAUGUAGAAGAGAGUCAUCACGUUCAUGAAAUCAAGCUCUUCAUGUCCUUCCUUCUUUGGUUCGUGGAAAAAAAGAGGUUACUCAGAUGCAUGCAACCUUCAUACAUCUCCAUGUAUGCCAAGAACUCCUGCAAGCUCACUCGGUCAUUCCAGCACGGUCCAUUUCGGAGAAAAACUCAUCUGCCGCCCGUUGGAUUUGCUCCAGCGCAUCCUUGUAGUAUGCAAAUGCUGUUUGGCGUAAAUCCUUCAUUUUAAAACUUAUGUUCUUGAUUCUUAGAUAUGGACUAGCAAUUGAGCCCCUGUGAGAUGCCGCAAGUUUUAAGACCGUUUAAAGUGAUAUUAUUUUACAUAUAAUAUGUCCACACUAAGAAAUGUUUUUAAAGUGUUAUUUACAAAGAGAUGAUACUAUUUACAACUAGCUCAAAUCACAUUGACAGUCUGCUCUUUGAGGAAGCUUUCAACAAACAUGAAUAGUAAAAUGGACAAAUCAAUAGGUUGUAGGAGAUGAAUGCAAUCAAUUUGGAUUUACCAUGAAUGGAUUAAUGAAGAAUCGAUAGUAACUCUAAACAUGAUAGUCAUACAGAUUAGAAAGUCAUCCAUCUAUAAGCCAGCCCUCAUAAAUUCAUUCGCUUCGACUAUUCUUCUAAUGUUUGAUAAAGAAAGCGAAGUUCCUGUAGGUACUCCCUAACCAUAUGAGCAAUAAAGUCUUUAAUUUAAAAGGAAUCCCAAUUUUCUCGACAUAAAAAUAAAAAAUAUAUAUAUAAGCAUUACUAAUCACUGUAUCUGCAAAACCAAAUCUCCUUUUUUGUACGCGCUAAAGUACACAUAUGAAUAUCAAAACGGAAACCUCAAAUUAUCAUAGCAUUCCCUUUCUACCUUAAUUUCUAAAAAAGGAAACACAAUGGAAGAAAAAAAAUUCAAUAAUUUUAUCUUGUAAGUCAUUGCUAAAGAGAGUCAAAAGCACUUCAAUUAUGGAAGGAGGGAAAAGGGGUGCAAAUAACUGGUGCUAAAUACAAAUCACUGCCUAGUCAUCAAAUCUUUGUAAGCAAACAUUAGAAAGGUUUAGGAUCUAGCAUGAUAGUUUAAGUUACUUGAGAUUUUUCAAUGUUCGCAAGCAUUCUGCUGCUAUAUAAAUUGACGGAUUCUUCAAAAGAAUAUAAUUGGUGUGUACUUAUACAUAACACCACAUAAUUAGCCUUAAAAUCAAUAUGCAUAACUUAAUAAACUUGCACGACACUCAUUUUACUACUUACCAUUUUAAACAUUGGCUCUUAAGAUAAGAGAUGUAAUGGUGACUUCUUAGCCUUAUACGAUGCAUGGUACCUUAGAUCGCAGAAUGUACAAAACUCUAUGAAUGUCCAAAAUUCAUACUUAUAUAAUCAACAAAACCCCAGCAAAAUGUUUUAUACAUUAGUUUUCGAUACUGCUAACAAAAUGCACAUGUUUAUACAGGGAGUUACAACAAAAUGUAAAUCUUGGUAUUCUUCCCUAAACCGUAGAAGCCCUCCAUACCUAAACUUUUUUCAAUCUACCCCGAGUUAGUAACGAUCUACUGUAGGUUCUUUUGGUCUGGAUAGCAAUUGAAUGCAAUCUGAGCGUGAAGGGUACCUGAUGCAUGGUGGUUUAAUUUUCAUCUGCUGCUUUUUGAGCGGAAAUGGACUAAUUCUUGUCUUGAGCUUAAUGAUAUCAAAUUCAGCUUGGUCCCAAAUGUUAAAGACAUCUUUGCAAGUAAAAAGCCAAUUGAAAGUUAAAGACAUCUUUGCAGGUAAACAAUAGUUUAAUUAGUAGUAAGAUUUGAUCAGCUCUGCAUCACAGAGGUGGGAGCACCAUAUAUAAAAUUAGGUCCCUAAAUAUUUUCAGCAAACUAAAUGACAAUAUUCUUAAUACGGAAACUACAUUAUGGUUCGUAAGAAAUAUUCUAAGCUAGAACUGGCCUAAAAUUGAAAUAAAGAAGUGUUGUUAGAAAUAACGAUUCCGGUAUGUUUUGGUCCUAUAAUUACUCACUCCCAAAUUAUCAAAUUCUAAAUACCAUUUUCUCAAAAACUUGCAUACAACGGCUAUCCAUCUUAGUAGUUGUAAACCAAUUCAUUCUCAGCUCAGUUUUGGUCCUAUGAUUACUCACUCCCAAAUGUGAUUGUUAUUCUGUGUGCAAAAUAAAAUUCACUAAAAUUUAAGGCUGUGAACAUUUAUUCAUCACAAAGUUUUCAUACCUAUGCUGUUUUUAAAACCUUUUGAUUAGUAAUACAGAAUUGAAUGUGAGCUAUUCUAUUUGGUAGGAACCAAUAAACUCAAAAAUGCCCAAGAAGCAGAAGCUCGAAGACAAAAUAGAAAACAAAAAUCCAUUGGGAAAGAGGAAGUUUUUGCCGGGGAUAUCACAAAUUUAACAAUUACAUUUGUAUGUGUGCAAGAUUUGGUUUUAUACAAGAUGUACAUCUCUGUACAAGAGUCCAACAAUUUACAGCUAAAUUUUUACUUACCUGAAAUCAAUACCAUAUUUCAUGCGCCUUUUGCUUAGGGGAUGUCUAAACGAUUCCUACCUUUUAGUUUAAAAGAGUUUUUAUCACAAAUAGUGUCUGAAAUUGAUUCAACUCAUCAAAAUGUUGUUUGAAAUUAAACAUUGAUCAAUGUAUUCUUUGAAAAUAAGUGUCGCAAAUCAAAGUCGUCAUUCCGUUAUAAUUCCGUAAAAAUAUUUGUUAUGUAAUGGUGUGGCACAUAACUGAGACCAACAAAUCUAAUUAAAUAUUGCUAUGUGAAUUUAAAAUAUUUAAAUAAUAAAAAAAUUUGUUUAUAUAAUUAAAAACUUAAAAAAAAAAAAAAAAAAAAAAAGAAGAUGACUGGUCAUUAUCUUCUCCUCCUCCCAUCCGAGUAAUCAUAGGAGCAGACUCGUCGUUUGCUCCUCUACGAGCACUGCCUUUGAGGCCGACCGAGCUCCAACUUCCGCCAAUCCGUCCAAUCUUUUACCUUUUCGGGUUGGGCACGGGUUCGACCUGCACAAGCUGGAGCUCAGGUACCCUCCGAUCAAACCUCAUGGCAGAGGCUGGGAUGCGCAUUGCGACGGUAAUUCCUCCAUAAAUCUGCUUUUUCUUCCCAUAAUUUCACAUUUUCUAAUUUAUUUUUUACAUUUUCGAUAUAUUUUUUGAAGUUUGGGGAUGUGUUGCUUCAUUGUGUGGUGGAUGCGAUAUUCGGGGCUUUGGGGCUUCUGGAUAUUAGGCAUAUAUUUCCUGAUUCAGAGCCGAAGUGGAGGGAUGCAGCUUCCUCGGGUGGAGAAAUUUUUCAUUGUGACAGAACCUAAGUGGUACACUACGUGUUUUUAUGUAAGUGGUGAGAAUUUUUAUAUUUUAAGUUAUUAACUUUUUAACACACAUAUUCCACAAUUUAUAUAGUAACAUAUGGUGUAUUACCCCGUGUAUUGGUCACACUGAAAAAUCUUUCCCUCGAGUGAGAGAAGAAGAUGAGAACAACUCCAGGUUUGAGGCCUCUUAGGUUUAGAUUAUACCCUAAUUUCAUUAGCCAGUAAAUGCUUCUGUGACUUUGUUCUUAUUAGUAAAUUCUUUAAACAAUGGAUUUUUUUCCAAUUUAAUAUUGAGAAAAUAAACAGAAAUACAGAGGUUCUCGAACUGAAUCCUCAGCCCUUUGGCGACUACUUUGCAAAAAAAGCAGCAAAAUUAAUAAUUUGAGAUUGAAUUCACAAAUUAAAAAAAAAAGUAAUUGCAGAGGGAUCGAAAAUUGAAAUCACUCCUAAGUAAAGCUCGAAGAGAUUGGAUUAGGGUUUAGGAAUUGAGGAUUAAGGAAUCUCGUCGAAAACUGAAUUUUCAAAGAAAUUUUUCCAUAAAUGUAUUAGCUUCUACAGGAAAGACUGGACAACAACUUACCUUUGAUUCACCUUGAACCGUAAAGAAUCGAGGCAUGCAACGGGUGAUUUUGGUUUCUAAGAUGAAGGUUAAACGACUGGCUGUAACAAUAAGGUCUGAUCGCCAUCGUUUGGCCAGAAACAGCUCGCUGGACUUCAGGCACCAACUUAAUAAUAAAAAACGGCCAAUAAUUUCUAGAAAUAGAUUUGAGGGUUACAUUGAAGUGAGAGAGGUAUGUUUUUAGUUGGUUUGUCGGUCUGUAGUCACUGGAAACGGCGAAAUCAUCGCCGACCACAUACAAUGGUGAGUCGUGGAGUGAAUAGCGAGAGGGAAGGGCGAGAAGGGAGACAAAGAAAAGGAAAAAAAAGAGUUUUUCUAUAUUUUCUCAAACAGUAGCUUAUGAACAGUGAUUCAGUGUGUUUUUUAUUUUAGUUGCACUCAGGCAAGGCAGAAAGUGGUAUAUAUAUUAUGGAUUUGAGGUUAAGUUUCAAGGAACUUUCUCAUGUGAUGUGACUAAUUACGCGCUAUAUAAGGGGAGGUGGAUUGUCUGCCCUCCCAUUUCCAUACUCUUCCCAUCCCCUCCUAUUUGUGUGGUCACAGUUAAGCCACGUCAACAUUUUAUAUUGAUUUUUUUAUAAAAAUAAUAAAACAAAACGUAAUAUGAAUAUAAAAUGUUGACAUGGCUUAAUCAUGACCACACAAAACAGGAGGGGAUGAGAAGAGUAUGGAAAUGGGAGGGCAGACAAUCCGCCUCCUAUAUAAGGUCGGUAGCAUUAGUCAUCAGUGGUGGGGUUUCGUGGAAAAGGAUCCGGUGAGGUUUCGUGGAAAAGGAUCCGGCGAGGUUUCAUGGAAAAUGAUCCUUACCGGAUCUUUUUCCUGGGGAUCCUAGAGAUUCCGUAAUCGUGAUCGUUUAUCAUACAUAUACGAUCAGAAAUCAUUUCAAAAUUUAAAAUUUAAAAUUAAAUAUAAAUAGUACCCAGCGAAAACUGACCGCACGAUGUACGAUGAACAAUCACAAUCACGGGAUUCCUAAAAAAAGAUCCUUAUUCGGGUUUCGUCUUCAAACUUGAAGCUUCCAAACAAUAAGGAGCUUAAUUACGUGCUACUUUCAUUGAAAACAAAGAAAAAACGUGUUACUUUUAGGUUUAGGCUAAUUGUUUAUACGAUGAGUUUUGAUUUUGAUGUAAUUUUUCGCUUGAAUUUGUAACUGUGUGAUUUUUCUUUUUCUUUUUAUUUGGUGUCACAUGUUAUUCAAUUCCAAAAUUAUUGAUUUGAUUGGUGUAAUGUUUCUUCAAAAUUCGAAGUUUUCUUUAUUUUGACUUUAGUUUCACAAUAGUCAAAUUAACGAUUUUCUUGAUUAACUAAUUAAGUUGGGGCACCAAAUCAACCUAUAGGAACAAAAGUUACACAAUUUGCAAGUUGAGAAAGAAAAAUAAAAUAUCAAUGAGACAUAUAAACAAAAAAACCUUUCAAGUAAUACGUAAUCUAGUACUGGUUUGGUACUGAGAUGCUUUUAUAAAAAGUGGGUAUAAAAAAAAACUAAGCUCAAAAAUGUGUUUCGUAAACACUUAAAAACAACUUAUUUUCACAGUUUUUGGUGAAAAAGCUAAAAACGUGAAGCAACAAAAAGAGCUUAUUCUCACCGCACAACAGAAGCAGUUUUUUUUUUCAAAGUACAGCAAUACCAAACCAACCCAAAUCUAAUGUACAUAUAUUACUGCAACCGCCAUUGUACAAGUUAAGGGACAAUACUAAUCUGGGUUGGCCUGCCAAAUUGUCAACUAAACUCAAUAUCGAUGAUUAAACCAAUUUUAAAACAUGGUGAAAACAUAAAACUUAAAAGCCACACCUUAAAAUUACUUAGAUCCUUUAUAUCAUAGAAAUACUUGAUGUUUUGCUCCGUGCACAAAUCCCUCAAGAUAUCCACAUUACGGUUCGCACGUUCAUCAGUUGUAAAUAUAUAAUGGUCAGGUAUGAUUACAACCUUUUCACGGUUCCAAACCUGCAAUUUCAAAAUAAUGAAGCACUGUUUAUACCCCAUGACAACAAAAACGUUGACUAUCAGAGUGCGCAAUGAACGAGACUAAUAAAAUAGAAAGAAUAUUAUUAAACAAAUGAGAAUGCCGAAACGGCUACAAAACCCUAAGAGGCUACAUUGUGACUGACUUAAUUCUCAAACUAAAUUACAAGCUUUAUUUAUAGAGAAUUAAACCUAAGGAAUCCUAACUCAUAUGGGUUAGUCUCAAAUCCUAAACUAACAAGGAAAACCCAAAUACUAAAAUAAACCUAAAUACUAAUAUUUUUCAACACCCCCUGUCAACUCAUGGCGGAACACAGACAUGAGUUUGCCAAAGUAGAUGUGGAUGCAAAGCUCCAAAUUCUAAUGUCGAUGCCGAUGCCAAUGCCGAUGUUGAUACCGAUGCUAAUGCCAAUGCCAAUGUCAAUGCCAAUGCCGAUGCCGAUGCCGAUGUCAAUACGAAUAUCAAUGCCAAUACCAAUACCAACUUCCAAACAAACAAUAAAAAAAUCCAACCAAAUAAACCAUAUAUUUCUUUCUGCCUGUGUGGGCCUUCAAACAAAAAACCAACAUUUUUUGUCUUUAUUCUUUUCUACCUUUUUUUUCCCCUUUUUUUCCCUAUUCUUUUUUUUCCUUCAAACAACACGUCUUCUUUCUUUUUUUCUUUUUUUCUCUAUCCUUCUUCCUGUAUUCUUCUUCCAACCUCUUUUGUACAAACAAACAGCAACUUUCAAGGGUGCAGCAACUGGUUCGUGCAGAUGGUGGUGGUGAGUUGAACUGAUGCAAAUACAACGGAUCUUGUACUGGUGCAAGAGUGGUCUAGGCAGGCCUGGAUGCAGUGAUGCAACGGUGGGGCUGGAGGGAUUCGAAUAUGCAGGGAAGCAGCGGAUUCAACGGGUGAUGGAAUGGACAAAUAAAUUGUAGUAGCAGGUGCAUGCAGAUGCGGAUGGUGGUUCAACGGUCCAUAUGCAGAAAUGUUGUGGGAUGCGAGUCAGGUGCAGGUCAUAAGCCGGAGUACAAGACAAGAAUGAACGACGACAAAGGCAAACAAUUGAUACCAAUGAGAAAGGAUUGAACCCUAAGGAUCGAACCCACCCUGAUACCAAGUUGAAUAUCAAAGUGCGCAAUGAACAAGACUAACAAAAUAAAAGAAUAUUAUUAAACAAAUGAGAAUGCCGAAACGGCUACAAAACCCUAAGAGGCUACAUUGUGACUAACUUAAUUCUCAAACUAAAUUACAAGCUCUAUUUAUAGAGAAUUAAACCUAAAAAACCCUAACUCAAAUGGGUUAGGCCCAAAUCCUAAACUAACAAGGAAAACCUAAAUACUAAAAUAAACCUAAAUACUAAUAUUUUCCAACACUGCAGUGAUUACAAAAUCUCAGAUAUGAAAGAUAGACCUUUUCAAUAAUAGUAAUCAACACACCUUCAGAGAUGAUGAAUAGUGAUCUAAACAAAGAAAAUAUGCCAUCAAGCAAUGAGUUAAAUGCAAAUGAAUUCCUUCUUUCUUUUAUUUCUGUGAUUGGUUAUGGUUAUCAACAAACAAAGCAGUAAGAGAGGACUUGUAAGUUGAUAUGUUGUAUUGGCCUCGCAUACAUACAAGAGGUUUACCAGCAGAAACGGGCAUGUGGACUAUGACAACAAAAAAACAAAGACAACCUUCUCAUUGCUGCCGUCCACAGUUGGGUUGGGUCAAGCUACGAUGUGAUGCUAAUGUUCCUUGACUCUUGCAGUGAUGCGCAGAAACCAUUUGGGACAUAUUCAUGCAGAAUGUUUUUUCGCGAAGCUGGCCUAACCCGACACAUAGAAGUAGAUUCUCUAAUGUGAUCAUUACCAUUGCCAGAUGAGUCAACGACAACACGACUCGAUCAAUGAACGUAUUACUUCUAACUAAAUAUUUAUGCCAACCCCUUUUCCUUGUUGGUUUGUACAGCAUGUCUAGAUCAGCAAACUAAGCUAUUCAAAACCGACAAAUAUGGCUUCCGAUUUUACUGCUAGUCUCUUGGAUUUUCUCAUGCAUUUCUGACUGGAAAUCGGCGCUGAAGAGGAGAAAGCAGAGAUAUUCAGAUCCUUCUGAUGUUCAAAUCAAAUUCAGCAAUGGUUUAGUGAAAACCAAAAAAAAAAAAAAAAUGGAAGAAAAAAAAGUUGGAGCCAAAAAAGCAAAAGGGACCUUGUUACUGAUGAAGGAGGUGGACGGCAGAGAAGCGGUAGAGCAGGCCAUGGGUAUUGCGGCGAAGCAGAAGAAGAACAAAGUGAAGAAAAAGUGGAAGAGUUGUGUUCCGGUCACAAUGAAAAUUUUUUCUGGCAACUGAGAACCUUGUGUUUUGGAGUGGAUAUGUCACCGGUACACGAGAUAAUAUACGACGUGUUACUAUACAAAUACUGGAAUAUGUUUGUUAAAAAGUAAAUAACUUAAAAAGUAAAACUUUCUACCACUUUUAUUAAAAUAUGUAGUGUACUACUCCUAUUCCGGUCACAAUGAAAAAUUUCUCAUUUGCUGAGGGGCGUGUGUUUUGGAGUGGAAGUGACUGUAAAGCAGAAAUGACAUGUGGAGGUGUGCAAUGUUGCGAGUUAUAUAUUAGUUAAAGUGUAAAUAGUAGUAUGUUGUCCCACAUUGACGAAAUGCAUAUGUAAUACCAAUUGUAACUCCUAUAUAUACUCCACUUUGAAGAUUAAUGAAUAUACAAGAAAUUUCCAAAUAUUGUCAUAUAUAUUUUUGGUAUUUACCAUGUUAGUUUAACUUGAUAUCAAAGCAAUUCGCUCUUUGAGACUUGUGUGCUUUAAUUUUAUACCCAUUAAAAAAAAGUGAAUAGUGCCACAAAUAAUGCAUCGCUGUAGUGCAGUGAACAAUGCCUUGCUACAGCAGUGAACAAUACAUUGCUACAAUAUAGUGAACAGUGCCUUGCUACAAUAUCAUGAACAGUCUCUGCUACAGUGUGUGAAUAGUGUUAUGGUAAAUUGUUUUCAUUUCGUUACAUAUCUUUUGUGCCUUUAUUGUUCGUGGUUUAGUUAAAUGGCUCAAUAUAAUCAUAGUGUUGUUAUGCAUCUUGGUGGAACAAAUAUAUGGAUAAUUGAUACUGCGGCCACUGAUCAUGUGACUGGUGACCCUAGAGUGUUUGAUAAGUUAUGUGACUAUGUUCGUGAUCCAUUUAUUAAUAGUGCAAAUGGAGCACAUUCCUCUGUGAAGGGUGAAGGCACUAUCUCUCUUACUCUGACCUUAUCACUUAUUCCUGAUGUUAAGUGCAAUCUUUUGUCAGUAGGAAAACUACUGGAUACCUUAUAUUGUUAAGCUCACUUCUACCCUACAUAAGAUAAUUGGUCGUGGUAAAAGAAUUGGGGGUUUGUACAUCUUGACUAUAGAGGAUACUGUUGUUUCCGGUUCAAAUAAUUAUCAAGUUUUAAGUGCUAAAGUGGAUGAUAGACAUCAAAUUUGGUUGUGGCAUGGAUGAUUUGGGACAUCCAUCAUUCGGUUAUAUGAAGCAUCUAUUUCCUUCUUUGUUUCACACUUAUAGUGAUUCAGAGUUCAAGUGUGAAACAUGUGUCAUGGCUAAUAGUCAUCGUGCUUCCUUUCCCAUAAGUGAUUCUAAAGCUACUUUGUCAUUUGAUUUAAUAUAUUCUGAUGUGUGGGGUCCGGCGAAGGUUACUUCUAAUGGAUUCCGUUGGUUUGUUACUUUUAUUAAUGAUUGUACUCGAUUAUCUUGGGUGUUUUUAAUGAAGAUUAAGAGUGAUGUUCCUUUGCUUCUUCAAGAAUUUUGUGCAAUGAUGUCUACUCAGUUUCAGACCAAAGUUAAGGUCUUUAGGUCUGAUAACGGAAGAGAAUAUGUGAAUCACACUUUGGCGUGCUUUUUUCGUGAUUAGGGUAUUAUUCACCAAACGACUAUUCCGUUUACACCCCAACAAAAUGGUGUGUUCGAACGGAAGAAUCAUCAAAUAAUGGAGGUUGCUCGCUCCUUGAUGUUGGAUACAUGUGUUCCUAAUCAUUUGUGGGGUCAUACUGUUUCGGCUGCUGUGUAUUUGAUAAAUCGUGUUCCAAGUAGGGUUCUUGAUUUUCAAACACCGCUUGAUGUGCUACAAAAGCAUGUUUCUCUUGUUUCUAUGUCCAAACUUCCUCUGAAGGUGUUUGGGUGUAUUGCAUAUGUGCAUGCCUACUCUUAUCAGCGAAGUAAACUUGAUGCAUGUGCUCUCCGAUGUGUAUUUAUUGGGUAUGCUAACAAUCAGAAAGGCUAUAAGUGUUAUCAUCCUCCGAAUCAGAAAUAUUACCAUGGAUGACACCUUGCACAAAGAAGUUUCGUAUUUUGUGAAGCCCUCCGACUCUCCACUUCAGGGGAGGAAUGUGAGUGAAGUGCAUAUUCGAAGAGAUGGUAUAGAUGAUGUGUUACAGGCAGAGUUGGGGACAUAAUCUAUUAUGUUGCGUGAUACUGAUCAGUCGGCUAUAGAUAAUGAUUGGUCAACUAUUAUUCACGAGACUGUUUCUACUGACGACCGAUCAGAUGUGCACAACGAGUUGCUUGUUGGUAUGUCUAAUGAAUUACCUUCUCAUGACUCAUUGCCUACUGCUGGUAUGUCUAACGAGUUGCCUGAUGAUGGUUCAUCUAGUGAUGAUUCUUCUAAUAGUUUGGUACAAGAUUGUGACAUACAUGAGGUAAAUUCUUAUGAUUCUUCUACUUAUCAGUUGCCUCUACGAGCUAAUCGUGGAAAACCUAAAGUACAAUAUGAGUCUGAUAUGCAUGCCAAAGCCAAGUAUCCUAUCAACAAUUACGUGUCUACUCAUCGUUUGUCCAAACCAUAUGCAUCUUACAUAUGUCAGCUAUCUAAUGUAUCAAUUCCAACAAAAUUGCACGAUGCUUUGUCUGAUCCUAAGUGCGUUAAUGCCAUGAAAGUAGAGAUGGAAGCUUUGCAAAAGAAUUCCACUUGGGAUUUGGUUCCUUUGCCAAAUGGGUUGUUGGUUGUAGAUGGAUGUUCAAUAUUAAACACAAAGCAGAUGGUUCUAUUAAUAGGUAUAAAGCCAGAUUAGUUGCUAAGGGUUAUACUCAAACCUAUGGGGUGGACUAUCAGGAGAUUUUUACUCCUGUUGCCAAACUUAAUAUUGUACGUGUUCUUCUAUCCUUAGCCGCAAACCAGGAUUAGCCUCUAUUGCAGUUUGAUGUUAAGAAUGUUUUCCUUCAUGGUGAUCUCAAGGAAAAAGUUUAUAUGGAUCUCCCACCUGGUAUCGGAAUAUCUCCUGGAAAAGGUAUUGUGUGCAGAUUGCGAAAGGCUUUGUAUGGUUUGAAACAAUCACCUAGAGCAUGGUUUGAGAGGUUUAGAAGUUCAAUGAAGAAGUUUGGGUAUGUCCAGAGUCAUUCAGAUCAUACUUUGUUUCUAAAGCGACAAAAUGGUAAGCUAACUGCAUUGAUUAUUUAUGUUGAUGACAUGAUAAUGACUGGUGAUGAUCAGAAGAAGAUACAACGCCUUCAAAAGUACCUAGCUAUUGAAUUUGAGAUGAAAGAAUUGGGUGAAUUAAAGUAUUUUUUUUUGGAAUUGAGGUUGCAUGAUCCAAGCAUGGUAUUUUGCUAUCUCAAUGGAAGUAUGUUCUUGAUUUGUUAGCUAAAACAGGUAUGUUAGAUUGCAUACCUGUUGAUACUCUAAGUGAGCAAAAUCAUCAUCUUGGUUUAUUUCUGGAUCAAGUUCCUACUCAUAAGGAAUGGUAUCGGAAACUUGUGGGGAGAUUAAUUUAUUUGUCUCACACUCGCCCCGAUAUUGCUUAUGCAGUUAGUGUGGUAAGUCAUUUUAUGCACUCACCUAGUGAAGCUCAUAUGGAUGCAGUAAAACGUAUUUUGAGGUACUUGAAGGUGGCUCCUGGCAGAGGCUUGGUUUUCUCCAAGAAUGGUCAUUUAAAUGUCGAAGGGCAUACAGAUGCAGAUUGGGCAGGUUCUAUCAUUGAUCGGCAAUCUACAUUUGGAUACUUUACGUUUGUGGGUGGUAAUCUAGUUACUUAGAGAAGCAAGAAAUAAAAAGUGGUGGCUAGGUCAAGUGCUAAAGCUGAGUUUCGUGGUAUGUCUCAUGGUGUAUGUAAGUUGUUGUGGUUGAAAAAAUUGUUGAGAGAUCUUGGAUUUAAACCCAAGGGUACAAGGCUGCUAUUGAGAUGUUCAUAAUCCAGUGCAACAUGAUCGAACAAAACAUGCGGAGAUUGAUCGACAUUUCAUCAAGGAAAAAUUAGAUGCUGGAAUUAUUAUGUUUCCGUUUAUGGGAUCUGAAGAUCAACUCGCUGAUGUGCUUACUAAGGCUGUGUCUAAUAGUGUGUUUUCAACUCGCUUGACAAGUUGGGCAUGCGUGACAUCUUUGCUCCAACUUGAGGGGGAGUGUUGCGAGUUAUAUAUUAGUUAAAGUGUAAAUAAUAGUCUAUUAUCCCACAUUGACAAAGUGCAUAUGUAAUAUCAAUUGUAACUCCUAUAUAUACUCCACUUUGGAGAUUAAUGAAUAUACAAGAAAUUCCCAGAUAUUGUCAUAUAUAUUUUUGGUAUUUACCAUAUUUAGCUUAACUGUUGGUGUUGCUCCGUUUAGGAUGAACUAAUUUAGUUAUUUUAUGUUGUCCAAAAAGGGAGAUGCGAUCAUCUAAGACAAUGUAGUAGUCGACCAAAUUUACAUAGCGGCAGCAUACCACACGUUUCCCAGAACUUAUUUAGUUUUGUUUGUUUGUUACCCACACUCGUAAUAGGUGGGGCGUUUUUAGGGAUGGCAUUUCUAGCCGUUAAACCAGAUAAUCGUGGAUAAUUGUCCAAAUGGAAUGGAUUUGAGUAUGGAAGUUUGGGUAUAUUUUGGAUAUGGGGAAAAACCGUUUAUAUUAUUCGGUUAUAGUUUUGGAUAUGGUUAUAGACGUCCCAAGCCGUAUCCAUAACCGAAUCCGACCCGAUUAGUAAAUAAUAUAAUUUAUAUUUAAUAUAAUAGUAUAAUAUAUAUAUAUAUAUGUAUGUAUUUGUAUAUCCAUUAUUCACCAAACCAUUACCUUGAGAAUACAAAAGUUGCAUUUUGUAGGAAAGUAAAGUUUUGAAUCAAAAUCAAUGUGAACUCAAUGGUGCUUACGUGACAAGCCAACAUCAUUAGUGUUUUAAUUUUGGGUAAAUUACACAAAACUACCUUAACUAUUGGUCUCACGACACUUUCAUACCUAAUCUUUUUAAAAUGACAAUGUCAUACCACAUUUUACGAAUUUGUGCCAAUGUCAUACCUCUCGUUAGUUUGGCCGUUAAUUUGUCAGUUAAGUGCUGAAGUGGCUUGAUCCAGAGCCCACUUUCUAUUAAAAAAUUAAUAAAAUAUUAAAAAACUAAAAAAAAUCAUUUAAUAUUUUUUAAAUAUUAAAAUAAUAAAGAAAAGUAAAAAAAAAACAAAAAACAAAAUAAAACAAAACCUUUCGUCCCUCCCCCCCCCCGGUCCCCUCUUUUUAAAUAUUAAAAUAAUAAAGAAAAGUAAAAAAAAAAACAAAAAACAAAAUAAAACAAAACCUUUCGUCCCUCCCCCCCCCCCCCCCCGCCCCCGGUCCCCUCUGUCUCUCUCCCCUCCCCCAUCUUCAUUUUCUACCCUGCAACCCAGAAAAAAAAAAAAAAAAAAAAACCAAUUUGUCUUCCCUCUUCCCCACCCCACCCCACCCCCUUUCUCCCCCACCUGAGCCCAACCUGAAACCCACCCCUUUCUUCCCCCUCCCAUCUUCCCUAAACCCUCCGCACCCACUUCCUGCAACCCAGAAAAAAAAAAAAAAAAAAAAAAAAAAAAAAAAAACCCAGAUCCCAUGUGGGUGCGAGGUUGGGUGCGUAGGGUGGGUGUGAGGGUGGGUGCUGGGAGAAGACGAACUGGGAAGAAGAUAAAGAUGGGGGAGAAAAGGGGAGAGGAUGAGGGGAAGGGGAAGGGGUCGGGGUCAAGGAAGUUUGGGCUUUUUUUUUUCUUUUUUUUUUCUGGGUUGCAGGUAGGGGGAAGUCGGGUGGGAAAGGGGGAUGCAGAGAAGAGAGAGAGGCGAGAGAGAGGGGGGAAAGAAAGGAGAGAGAGAGAGAGAGAUUUAAUAAAAAAAAAAUAUUUUUUUAUUUUUAAUUAUUAAAAAUAUAUUUAAUAAUUUUUUAAUCUAGUUGGAUUAGUGAGUGGAUCCUGCAUGUAGCCACAUCAGCACUUAAUAGAAAAAUUAACAGAAAAACUGACGGAGGUAUGACAUUGGCACAAAUUUGUAAAAUGUGGUAGGACAUUGUCAUUUUAAAAAGAUUAGGUAUGAAAGUAUCGUGACACCAAUAGUAGAGGUAGUUUUGUGUAAUUUACCCUUUCAUUUUUAUACUCAACAAGAUGCAUUCAUUGGAUCAUUUUAUACUCAACAAGAUGCAUUCAUCGGAUCAUUUUAUACACCAAUAUUUUUCGUAUUGACAAAGAUGGAUAUACUCGUUAACCGAUGUGGAAUCCGUUACCCUGUGGGUAUGGUUAUGGAUAAUACCCAAUGGUUAAUUUGCAGUUAUGGAUAUGGUUAAUUUUUGUGGUUAUGGGGAUGGAUAUAACAUUUCCGUCCCCAAACCGAACCGUUGUCAUCCCUAGACGUCUUUUCUAACCCGAGUGGGUUAAAAGCAUAUUUAAAAUGAUGUUACAAGAGUAGUGAACAAAUUACAAACACCAUACUUCACUUAACCAACCUCGAACACCCAUCAAUCAUUUUAUAAUAUAUUAGUGUAAAAUAUUACUUAUAAAAGGGAAUAAAAUGAAAAGUAUAAUUUGUACUUUAGAUUAAACAUUGUAGUUUCUAUUGAAAUUUUAACCAAAUUUAGUAGUGUGAUUGUCAUGUGGAAGGGGUAAAAGGUGAAAGGUCUAGCGUAUUAUUCACAAUUUUAAUUUUUUAUAUAAUGAUAUAUUUACACUAAUAGGCAGUAAUAAAUUAGUUUUAAAUUUGUUCAUGAGAUUUGAAUUUAAAUAUCUCACUUACAAGUGAAACAAAAUAUCAUUAGACUGUAAUAUUACAUGGCAAAUAUAGUUUCACACCUUAAAAACCAUUUUCAUGAUAUUUUUUAUCAGACACACGAAUAUUGAGCAAAUUAUAUGAGAAAUUCGAUAAUGAUAACAAGUUUUUUUUUUUUUUUGUUGGAUGUUGAUAACAAGUUUAAUUACUCAACAAAUUUAUUGUGAAGCGUUUUCUUUAACCGCAUAGCUGACAUUACCAUAUGAUUCUCGUUGCGUGAAUUCCUGAAAGAGAGUGAAGUAUAAUUGAAGAUUAGUAGUGCUAUUUGAAGAGAAAUUUUCAAUGUAUUGUGAAAAUGGUUCGGUGCACAUUGGCGGCACGAUUUGGUACCUCAAAUUUCAAAAGAAAUGGUUGGAAGUUUUUUUUUCAAGUAUCCAACUACUUGUACUAUGACACCUAGUAUACCGAGUCAUGUUCUCGGUAAAAAAAAUCUCUUCUUACAUUUACUUUCACAAUAAUGGCAUAUUCAAAUUGUUGUUGAGGACUGAUAUACAUUUUAAUUCCACAAUAAGGGCGUAUUUAGUUAUUUGAAAUAUGAGAGACUAUGAAUUAGAUGAUAUAAGAAUGUUACCUACUUGUUUACUUAUGCCAUAAACGACUUCCUUUUGGUCUCAUACUUUUGUUCAGGUACAAGUGUAACUUGCAUAUUUUCAGCAUGCGAACUUUUUUAUUCGUCUAGAAGGGGUUUUUGAACAUUAGUCCUUACAAAAGAUUAAAAUUUUAAAAAAAACCUAGUGCUAGAUUAAAUAUUCAAUUUAAUCCCUUGAAUAGUGCUUUUAUCAAAAUUUACAUUCAAUUUUUGUUAUUUAAUGUGUAUUUUUAUUUAAUCUCUCCAUAUUAAAUUUGAAUUUUAUUAAUAUGCACAUAUUUAGUUUUUUAAUUAUAAAUGAACGUAAAUGAGAAAAUAUUAAAAGACAUUUGUGAUACAAAAAUAUAUAAAUACAUAAGUGUACAGAAAUAACUAUGCCGAAAUAUAUAAAAUUGACUUUUUUUGUACCGAAAUAUUUGUACCUACAUGAUUGUACCGAAAUGUAUUAUUGAAUUAAUGUACCUAAAUGUCAAUACCGAAAUGUAUGUACCAAAAUGUACGUACCGAAAUGUAUGUACCUAAAUGUCAAUACCGAAAUGUAUGUACCUAAAUAUCAAUACCGAAAUGUAUGUACCAAAAUGUACGUACCUAAAUGUAUUUACCGAAAUAUAAUAUAUUGAAUUAAUGUACCUAAAAGUCAAUACUCAAAUAUGUGUACCAAAAUGUAUGUAACGAAAUGCAUUAUAUUGAAUCAAUAUAACUAUAUGUUUGUACCAAUGGAUAUACCGAAAUAUUCAAAUAUAUUAAUGUACCUAAAUGAAUAACAUACAAAAUUGUUAUCGGAAUAUAUAUUAUAAAAGAAUUAGUUACCUAAAUGUAGACAUUAAAAUAUAUUAUGAUGAAUGAAAUAAAAAUUAAAUUUAAAUGUAAUUGAUACAUUAAAAUAAAAAUAAAUAAAUAAAUAAAACAUCAAAAUAUAACUAAUAAAUGAUAUGAUUAAAUGUACUAGGGACUAAAAUUGGAUUUUAAUCUUACACAAGGUUAAAAUCUAAAACUCAUAUUUUUUAAGGAUUAAAAUGAAGUUUUCUAUAUUCUAAAACCCAAGCUUAUAGCGAGCCACCUGGAUUGCUCCUAAUCUAGUAAUGUAAGGUUUGUCGCGUUUGUCAUUUUUGUGGCAAACCUACAUCAGUGGUGGCUUUUGUGUAUGUGGUGUGUGAAGUCUAAACUUAGUUGUUUUUGGCUUUAAGUCAUAUUCUAAAACCCAAGCGUAUAGCGAGCCAUUUGGAUUGCUCCUAAUCUAGUAAUGUGAGGUUUGUCGCAUCUGUCAUUUUUGUGGCAAACCUACAUCAGUGGUGGCUUUUGUGUAUGUAAUGUGUGAAGUCUAAGCUUAGUUGUUUUUGGAUUUUCUUGUUAAUCUUGUAAAUAUGUACAACACAUGCUCUUUAGAUCAGUUUUCCUUAGAUGAGACUUUAGGAUACUUGGUUUAUAAAGUUGGGGUUAUGGAAGAUCAAAGUGCAAAUGGUGUUGCUUCAUCACAAGUAGGGUUUGUACAUGCAUAUGCAUUUCACGUUUAAAUUUUUUAUGCAUUCUGACGAGUGAAGUUGACCCAUCAGAAUUGCUCGCUGCUUUUAUGCAAGCUGUGCACACAAUUUAAGACAGCCUGUGUGGGCCGACUGACACCUUUUAUAUGAGGUUGAGUUGUUCAUCAUUGAUCUGCUCAAAUUGCUUUUACAUUUGACAAGUGUCUUUUUUGUACUUUAUUUACAGCAAUCAAAUUUUUUGUUUAAUAGGGUUAGAGGAUUUCGUUUUCUCCUUAGUUGAGAUAGAUUAUAUUUUAAAGGAGUAUCUUUGCUUUUCAUUUUCCAACUCAGAUCCCUUACGAGCAUCAAACAUUUUUUUGGAUAAAGUUCUUCAUUGAAUAAUCACCAAAAUAUACAUGAAAAUGUUUGCUUAAAUCUUCUUAGACCCUCCUUUGUUUUGGGUUAGAUAAAUUGCAUUUUCAAGAGAGCGCCAUAAGAUCUUUGAGCUUCUGCUUCUUGUUUCUGUGAAACCCUAGCAACAUACACCUUUUUCAUGAGUUAAACUUGUGCUAGCUCACCCACAUCAUAUUUGAAAAAGGUUUUCAUUGGACGUGUUGCUCCCGUUGCCACAAGGAAAAGAGUUCAAGGUUGGAGUUGCUUCCUCGUGAAGACCGAUGAUGGCUCCAUCUCGUUCAAAGUAAGGUUACACAAAGGUAAAGCUGCUUCAUAGAUUAGAUCUUGGAAAUGAACUUGAUGUGGUACUUUGUAUGAACCUUAUUUGCACUAGUGGAUUGGACUUAGUGGGGUCCCCAGUUUUUUAAUCGAGAGGUGGAUUUUUCCGAUAAAAACUUCUUGUGUUCUCUAUUACUAACACUUGUCCACGUAUCUUAUUUAUUAGCAUAUGUUACAUGCAUCCUAUGGGUCGUUAUAUGAUAUGUGUUUGGGACUAACUUUACACUGCAUAUUAUGAGUAAUGAACUAUAUUGUUGUUGACUAGAAUAACUCGUAGGAAACUAAGUAUGUGUGAUAGAUUUGUGCUUGGUUAACUAAGGAAUCUGGACUUAGUUGACUAGUGAAUUUGACUAGCCAAUCCAGCCUACUUUAAUUCAUAAUUACUUUGUCAUCGUUGUUUGCAUAAUGGACAGAUGUGUGAAUGCGUUCCAUUUUGUGAUUUUUUGUUGUUAGACAGAUCUAGGUAGACUUUGACUAGUUAGACGUACUAGUCAAUUAAGUUUAGUUCUUGCAACUGUACUUUCUGUCACUGAAAAACUUGUAACUAGUUUACUGUGCAAAGUUUAAAUUUUUAUUAGCAGGAUAUUCUGCCUAGUACCAAUUCGAAUUGGUAUAAGAGCUUUGCUCUAGUUAUACGUAGAGUAAUCUUUGAGAGUUACUGGUAUUGAGCAGCAUCUCACCAUUGAUUGUGAUCGUGUUAUCGGCUCUUAUAACUCACCUCUGUUCUUUGUUGGAACGGACCAUGCCGCAUGGAGUGAGAAGUUCACCGACACGCCCUCUUUAUUCCAUCGUUUCAUAAAUACAUUCUAACAUGCUCUAACGAUUACACAUACAAUAUGGCAGCUACCCGACAAUCACAAGACAUAAAACCUUGUAGGAUGGAUGUUAUACCCAUUAUUCCGUAAUCUCUGCUAUAGCAUUUAGUUGCAGAAUAUAAAGAUGACAGACACUGGUCAGAUUGUAAUGAUAAAACUGCCUACUGCAAAAACUCUCUCGGGUCGGUGACGUAACCAGUCAAAGCUGACGCAGCAGCCGUAUAGGGGGAAGCGAGAUAUAUCUGGCCUUCCUUGUGACCCAUUCGGCCUGGGAAGUUCCUGUUUGUUGUCGAGACGCAUACCUGCAAAGACAAGAUGGUUAGUAAUCUACCAGUAUUUAAUUUCAAUACAAUUGAAACUAAAACCAAGAUGUUCUCCUUGCAACAAGGUUAUCUGCAAAUUGGGUUAUGAACCCCCAAAGGCAGGGAAGUCAGUCCCAAUUCUAUCGAAGACGACAUAGUGAAAUGCAACAAUGCGUGACGUCCAGCUGCCCCAAGACAGGAGAGCACAUUAGAUCCUUAUGAAUGUUGCAGAAAGGAUGCACUCGCC